UAGAUUGGGCUGCGUUGGAGUUACAAGAGUGGCUGAAGUUCGGAACCAGCAGAAGGUUGUACAUAAGCCGUGAAAGAAAAUUGGAGUGCUGUUGGCUGCAAAUACUUACUCCACCUAUUGCAUGGUUACAGUUGUACAUAUGUUUUUUUGCUUCCCCAGCAUAUUCAAAUGAGCAAUCGAUUUUGACCAUCCAGUCCUUAGUUUUGCCGAGUCGAUUCGGCAAGAUUUAGUGUUGUCACACAUGGGAAGUGCUCGUCUGCACAUGGUGGCAGCUGCACUGGACUAUCCACGGAUUUGUUUAGUACGCUCGUGCUGGUAUCUGGAUCGAUCGUGGACAAGGUCUACUGAUGGCUAUUGACCUAACUAAUUGUUUGGGCAUGGUCUACUGAUGAUUUCGUAAAUAUUCGUGUACUCCCCAGACCCGGUCUACUGACGGCUACCUAUCUCAUCUUCUCCAUUGUUACUCCCUCCAUUCGGAAUUACUUGUCUCAAAAAUGGAUGUAUCUAGAAUUAAAACAUGCCUAGGUACAUCCAUUUCUGCGACAAGUAAUUCCGAAUGGAGGGAGUAGUUUUCUAUUAAAGCUAUGGAGCCAAGCAUAUAUAACAAUAUCAGUUUCAGGAGCUAACGCGUACGAUGUCAUUUUCAUGUAUUUUUGAUGACCUACUCUAUGUCACCUGGUCAGCGCGCUUACACCCGAUGUCCUUUAACACAUCCAUCGCCUAUAUAUGUUGACACACUAGUACCAAUGAUCUCACAACACGAUCUAUCUUGCAGCCAUUUCUCUCUUUAGCUUCCUUGGAGCUUGUGAUCAUUAGUUGAUCAGACAACAUAACCAAUUUUCUCUCUAGCGCUAACUUCCACUCCCCAUCAUAUUUUCAGUUACUAGUAAGUCAGCUAGCUAGUACUCCCUCCGUCCGGAAAUAGUUGUCAUCAAAAUGGAUAAAAGGGGAUGUAUCUAGACGUAUUUUAGUUCUAGAUACAUUUCUUUUCAUCCAUUUUGAUGACAACUAUUUCCGGACGGAGGGAGUAGAUCCAUAUUUAAUCCAUGGGGACCAAAGCUCUUAUUCUGAUCACCGUGGCCAUGACCAUGCUUGGGAUGGCGCUCGGUGCCAGCCACACUGUCGGCGCGCCGGACGGGUCGUGGGACCUUCGGACCAACUACUCCUAGUGGGUUUCGAGAAUCAGGUUCACCAUCGGCGAUGAGCUCAAGUUCCAGUACCCAGCCUCCGUGCACAGCGUGGUGGAGGUGAGCAAGACGGGGUAUGACUCCUGCCACGGCUCCAGCCCCAUAGCAACUUUCUCGACCAGUAAUGAUGUUGUUCUGCUUGCCACCGUUGCGACCCGGUAUUUCAUUUGCGGCGUCUCCAGGCACUGCGACGCCGGCAUGAAGGUCGAGGUCAACGUCAAGUCGAAAGAAGUGCGGACUGUGCAACGGUGCCGACGGACAGGGAACCGACGUCGCUGCCAGUCUGAGACAGUAUUAAGCUCAGCUGCGGCGGCUGGCGUCGACCAGUCUACGGCGGCCCGACUCGGUCUGAUAGUUGUUGUGACUGGUCUUACUUUGUUCUCUUAGAGUGAACAAUGAUUGUGGUCCUUUUUUCCUUGUUCGGUCCUAGCAUGGUCCCUUUGUGUAUUAAAUUCAAUUCUGUUGUGAAAUGUAAUUGCAUUCAUUAUAAUUGAAUUCAACAUAUCUUCUUGCAAGAACCCAAAUAAUAACCAAGCGUGUAACCAUGAAAUAAAUUUACAAAAGAUGUGUUGAGUGCAAUGACAUUACAUCCAUCCAUUAGAUACAACGGAAAUUCAGGUAGAGCUAAAUUCGUCUAGAUAAGUAACAUGAUCUUUAAGGCGAAACGGUGGGGUAAACACCCACUCCAAAAUUUUAUAUUAUUGGGAAGUGUAUGUACACACUGGUUUGAGAUAAGCCUAAAAAGAAGAUAAAUGAAGAAAACAAACCCUAACAAACUGAGCCAAAAAAUAAAAUAAAAUUACAAGACUUCAGAUCGCCAAGCUUUGAAAGCAUUGCCAUAUUUCGUUUUCAUCUUGUGUCCCAAAAUCUGCCCGCCAAGAAACAGAAAUUACAAGAGUUCAGCUCGCCAAGCCCUUGUUCAUCCUGUUACCAUCAAGCUAAAAUCAUCAGCUCGGGACCCCUUACUGGAGAGCCCCUGACACGGGCUACGUGGCUUAGCUCUCCAGCGAGCGACGUGGUGGCGGGUGUUGACGGUCUACCUCGGCCCUGUGGGUGGCGAGGUGCAUGGUGAUGGGUGAUCCUGGCGUAGCAGAUGACUUCGAUGGAAGCUUUGCCCUGAUCUAGAUGUGGUGCUCCCAUUCCAUCAUGGUGGGGUCCCGUUAGAGUUUCCUCGAUGUGGUGGGAGCGAGCAAAAGCUUUGCGCUCCGGCACCGGCGGCGACAAGGCCUGCGGGGGAUGUUGUAUCCCUCUUGGGGCGUCACCUUGGACCUCUUCUUGCCGUCCAACUCUUAAGGUGAAACCUUUCUUAGCUUUGGCGGCGGCGACGCUUUGUGUCGUUACCCUCCUGGGGGCAUCGCCGGUGAGGGUGGGUCUUCCUCUUGCACGGUGGCGUGUUUCAUGUGCUUCUUCUCGGCUACUAGCUCGAGGCGUUUAGGUGCACUUAGAGCGUUUGGCUAGUAUUACUGAUUUUCUUUAAAUCAGCUUAUGAGGUCAUGCCUUGUAUCGGGUCAUUUUGUAUCAGUUUGGUUGUUUAUGCCUUUAUCUAUAAAGGGGGCGAAAGCUUGUUUCGAAAGAGAAAACGAUUCGUGAAAUCGACUGUCCUUGAUGGCCUAUUACAAUGGUGCGCAUGGUGACCGAUCUUGACCAAAUUCAGUCGACCAACGCCUAUUACUAUCCUUCUUGUAUUUGUUAUCAUGCCUUCUAUACAAUAAAACUAUGCUACGUAAUUUGUGUACUCUUGAGAAAAGAUGAUUACGUUUUAUUUUCCAAUUUUUACAAUGAUAUACAUUUUAAUAAAUCAAUUAUCAUGUGGUAGAAAUAUGCACGCGCGCACCAAUACGUUCAUAAUGUUAAUCAAUGAUUAAGUUCAAAUAAUUAAUGUUUAACACGCUCGGGCACCGGAUUGGUAGCAGCCUGAGGGAUUGCCGCCAGACCCAAUCUAACCUCGGCUAUGAAUUCCAUCGUCACCAUUAUUAGAUUAUUGUCAUAGUAUAAUAGGCGAGCCAAGUGUUAAAAGAAAAGAGAGACAAUUGACAAGUAGUGGAAUUGCUAUUCUCAUUGAUUGGGUUUGUUACAAUAUAUACAUCCCGUAGGGACGCGACGAUACAUAGGGACACGAAGGGAGAGGCGUGUCGGUUGCCUGUUGGCAACGGCAUGGCAGUUAACAAGGGGAGAUUCCCUUUCAAUUAAACAUGUGUGUUUAAUUCUAACACUCCCUCUAAUCUUCGCUUGUCGAUGUAGUAUCAUCAACUCGAAAGAGUCUCCUCCAAAAACUCUGUGGGAAAAAUAUGAGGAGUAGUGUAAAAUAUGUUGCUAAAACUCCUUCAAACCCAGUGGGAAAAAUAAGGAGAAAAUGAUGCAACAUAUAAUGGUUAUUGUCUCUUUUAACUCAAUACGAGAAAACUCAUAGAGUUUAGAGGACGAUAAAUAUGUCAUAUACACUUUCUUAAAAACCCCGGUGGGGAAAACAGAAAGUAUGACAUAUGAUCUCAUGUUGAUAUUACCUCAUUAAAAACCUUCAUGAGAACCUUUAAAGUAAACUCAUUAAGGAAAAAAGAGUAUAAUAUGAUGCUUUGAACAGGAACAAUUCAGGAAAGUACUCCCCCUGAUCCUUGCAAAUUCCGAAGCCAUCACAUACCAACUCCAUGAACGUAUUUCUGGAAUGUAGAAGCUGGUAGAGACUUGGUGAAUAAAUCAUUCACAUGAUUUGACUUGCAAGAUAUGCAAUAUGAUGAUAUUGCUAAUUACGUAACCUGUUUGCAUCCGGGCAACACAAGCAACAUUAUCUUUGAGAUAAUGGUUGGUGGAUGUAGCCAUGAGGUCUGUUUGGAAGACUCUUCAUGAGGGGGCUACCACACCUAGUAUGAACACCAAGUUUGUCUACGAUCUGACAUAGUGGGGAUCUAAUCGAUGUAUCCAAUGAUAUCGGUGUUCACAUUUCUGUGAAACUGAAAAACCAGGACAAGAUGUUUGAUGCCUUUGGAGAUAUCGAUAGAUAUUCUUGAGUCCCAACCAAUUGUGUUUGGUGUAUCCAAUGGCAUUAUGGAACGUUGAGUCCCAAUAUCUCAUUUCCAUCAUCUCUUGGUCUAAAUAGAUCUUUCUCUACGUCUAGAGAAUGAACUACCAUGAGAGUUAUGGAUGGAUAAUAUUUGUCCAUAAUGGAUUUCUCCAAUAUAUUUUGGAUAUAGACAACAUAGUAUACCAUAAUGUAUGAAUGAAGGUGCUCAAGUUGUAAUAACGAGCGGUAUUUUGGUUUACCCAAAUCCUUCUUAAACUCUGUCAUUUAGAUGAUUACAUGUGUCGUCAUUGCAGACACACAAACAUGGAUAAUCAUCAUUGUAGGAGUAAUCCUUGUGAAUAAGGAACUCACUUCGUCGGUUGUACCAAAUGUACCGACGAUAAUAAUAAGUCAUAUGGUGACUCAUUGAUUUUACACAAUGUAUGUUGCAUUUUGUACUUCGAUUCAGAAUUGAGAUUCCAUCGGAAAUCAAUCAUAUAUGUCUGAAUCUAGUGAUCCACAUGGACAUGUGAUCACUACAUCUAUCAACUGCAGAGAUAGAUGAUUUUGAACUGCCAAUGAUAUAAGUUAUCGGAAUGAGAUUCCACCUCUGGAGAAUAGUUGGGUAUCUGCGUGAACCCUUGUGCUACAAUACUUGCUCUUUGUUUCACCACCUCAUUGUUCUCAAUUCUGUUUCCAGAAGAAAAUUGGUGUAGGUAUUGCCUAUGAAUACCUUCCCAUUAUUGAGCAAGAUCAUUUCUACCUAGAUUAUACCCUUUGCUUGAGUUCAGUCCGAGUGAUGAUCACACUUUGCCAUGGCCAUGGUCUUUGGAUCUGAAUCAUUUGUAAGGUUUUGCAAUCUAGUUGAGAAAUGUAUGCCGGCAAUUGUAGACUUCUGGUUAUAUGAUUCUCCAGAAUCUGUAUAUCAAUAUAUAGUUGAUGAAAAUAUCGUUACCCAUAGUGACUUCUCGCGAUUUCCCAAUGCGAUUGAGUCGGGUAUUCCGAUGUCCCGAUCAUUGUGUGCACUAUGACCUGGGUUGAUGGAGGUUUCCCGUCCACUGAGUGUAUACUACCCAUUAAGUGUCUGCCAACGUGAAGUUGACUUGCAUUUACUGAUUCACAGGCCUUGAUAUCCUUGCUUGCGAGAAGCUGAAUCCUGGUGUACUUCUGCCAUACAUCUCCCCAUGUUGCUUUGAACGAGGAGUGGAGUGGAUUUUGCUUGUACCUCCACUCUUUCAGGCGUACUUUUGCAGGAUUGUAGGAUUGUGUGACACCUUUAUAGUCAGUAAAUGAAUCUGACAGAUUAUUUGCAAUGUGUUGCAAAUCUUUUGAAUGCAUGGUUCAGAUCUUUGAGUACGUGGAUUUGAGGCAGAAAUGUGUUGAACAUUCCACUAAUUUCCUGGCAUUUUUAUGGUACUUGAAAUCUCCCCCUAAUGCCUGGAAAUGUUCCUCAUUAAAUCAGCAUACUUGCCUUGAAUAACUCCCCAUGCGAGGGGCUUGAGGUAUUGACGGAAAUACAGUUAUUCCUCACAUAGAUCCCAACUAUAUGUUGAGGGGCCAAUAAUGUAUGCUGGGUGGUGAUAUCGGUAUGCAACCGAAUUACCGCAGAUAGGAAAUACUUGAUAGAUUUCCACGUAUCAAAGACAGAGGGGAAUAAUAUUAUGCAGUUUGGUCAUGAGCGUGUAAAACUACAUGACUCCAACGUAAAGUUGGUAAGUUGCAAUUCCAAAGUAAAGAUAAUGCAAUGAGCAUAACUCUUUGGAUAUGAUUCUACCAAACCAUUUUGAGUCUAGACAUUAGGACAAAUUGCUAAACUUCAAUCCAAGGGCCAGAGAGAAGGCACUCAAGGAGAAUUCUGCAAUGUUAUCCAUUCGAUUUGCUUGAAAUCGAUGUCAGGAUAAUGAGCCAAUGGUUUCGUGUGAAUAAAGGACACACUUAAGACCAUCAUGUAGAUAUGUCUUUUAGAACCAUGGAAUACCUGAAUAGUCUACUCAAUGGCUGGGAAGAGCCACUUACCUCGAAUUGAUGCACUCAAGGAGUCUGAGUGGUUCAGCGUAGACUUUAAGGUGUUCGAACCUUAAAAUUAGCUUCCCUGUGUCACUUGUAGUGCACAUAAAAUCCAAAUGUUAUUAGACUUUAGCAUCAUAAUAAUCACAAACUAUUGGAAUUGCUGAUAGUUUCGGUUUCAACCGAAUGUCUCGAUGACCAAGGCUAGUAUGCCAAGUUUGUCAUGUACAAGACACUCUGGAAAACUAUCUCGUACGCAACAUGUGCUACGGGUUGAGUCGUAUGUGUAGUUCAAUCCAGAAGAUACACAGAGAAUGUGCUUGCCAUAUCCGUUGCAUAUGGUAAAGAGAAGUUAUUUCUCUUUGUUGUCAUCAUAAGUUUCGCUAUGGAAACUAUUUUGACGAAUACCUUCGUAGUUUAGUAGGGUACGAGUUAAACCUGGGAAGCAAUAAAGCAUCCCGACGUUACUCGAGUACCCACAGGGAUAGUAAAUACGACUCGAGUGGAGCCAACAAAUACCUCAUCGCGUGUCGUGAUUUAAAUAUCUCCUUUCUCUCAAUGAGAGUGGAAACAUUGGACUUUCCUGAGUAUAAAGUUUGUGGUGCAUAUGCCCACAAAGCACAUAUCAUUUUUCAUCGGAUUGACUCCCGUAGAAAUCUAUAUAUAGACGUGAAGAUUCUCAAUAUGAAAAUCACUAUCAGAUAUAUAGAAUACAUACAAAUGUAUUUGUAUCAAAGUGUCGAUACAAUAUAUUGUGAUAUAUAGUAUAUGAUGACAACAAUACUUAUGUUCUUAUUAGAACAUCGUAAAUGGACAUAAAUUAUGUUGACCACCGAGGAGAUUGAUAGACUAGACAAAGCCUUCAAACAUGUUAGUUGAUGCAUAUUCAACCUUCAUGUUCUUCGUGCUCAUAGGGUCCCGUGACUGCUAAUAGUCAUGUUGGAGGGAUGAAGUGAGAUUCAAACCUUUGCCCUUGAGAUUCUUUACGCCCCAGGAAUAGCUGAUACAGAAUAACCCGAUGUUGAGACCAGGAUCGAUAUAAUGCCUUAAGAUUUAUAAGGCAACAUAUUUUUCUGUUAGCGGGGUGAUUCCGACCAGAGGUGAAUCCUAUGGUCUUGGAUUGCACACAUUAUUCCACGAGACACAAGAGCGAUCAUGAUGCCCAUGGCCCAGAUAGGGCAGCGGUGGCCAUUGAGGACGAAUGCCUCAAACUCUAUAGCCAUAUUACCUCUAUGGGUAAACCAGAGAUGAUUAAUUUACAACCAGUAAAUUAAAGACCAUCAUGGUUGAUGUUGUAAUGAACUUAGCAAAAUCAAUGGGUAUUUCAAGAAGUUAUCUUGAAAUCAUUAGUGUGAAUCUCAAAUUGCUAAGUAUGACAUCUUGAAGAUAGGGAGUAGAUCUCGCAACACUAGGGAGUAUAAUCUGAUGAAAUCAGUAGAUACUCACUCCUAAUGCCUUAUCUCAUGACUUAGUAAAAUGUGUGGAAGAGCACUUUGUAAACCAAUCAUAAUGUCGAAACGACAAAAUAUAGGCUUUAUCAGUAGUCAUCGAUAAUCUGCGUAGGCAGUAGAUCCAUGACUACUGUGUGAUCUCAAGCAUCAAUUUGAAGAAAUCACCUUGAAUUUGCACCCGUAUUUGCAAAAAAUUGAAAAUCUCAAUUGCAAAUAGACGUAUUAAUCUCGACAUGUAGCAAACAUGGAGAUACAUACAUUCUGGAAUACAUCAUACUCAACGGAAAUACACUACUAUUGUAAUGAAUAGUAAUGAUGUUGUAAACUUGAUGUUCAAGUGAGAGCUUGAGUUGUAUAGACCUCAAACUAAAUGAGAUGAUGUUGUAUCAAGUUGCAAGAUAAUUCAGCAAAGUGAAUUAAUAUUUUGCGAGAGAAAUUAGUCUCAAUCGCAAUGAGAUUGUUUCGCGAGAGAAAAAAAAUAUUCUCAAUCGCAAAUCAGUACUCUAGAGGUACUAAAUUUAUCUUUGCAAGAGAUAAAAACAAAUCUCAAUUGCAAAUAAUAGAUGUAAUGAAUCUCAACAUGUAAGAAACAUGGAAAUAUAUUACAUCACGUUCUGAAAUACAAGGUACUCUACAGAAACAUAGUAUUUAAGACAAAUACUGGAAAUAACAGGGUCAACACAGAUCAACGCUACUACCUCCGUCUCGGUGAAUAAGUCAUUCGCGUAGUUCUAGGUUGACGAUUUAACUAUCUAAAUAUAUAUUAUAUGUGAUAAAAAAUAUAUAUUUAGAAACUACAUCGUUGUAGAAAUCUAGUGAUAUACUUUUCAUGACAUAUAGCACAUAUUUAAUUCCUCAAAUCAAUGACCUAGAACUACGCGAAUGACUUAUUCACCUAGACGGAGGUAGUAGUAAAUAGCAUUGUUAACAGGAGCAAUUUGCAAAAUCCCUGAAAUUGAAGGAUGAUGUGCGAAUAUUAGCCUGGACCACUGAAUCAGCCUGUUUUGCUAAUUCUAGUAACUGUAGGGAUCUUAGUGUAAAGAGACGAAGAGAUAAUGUUCUCUAUCGUGAUUCCCUACGUGGGCACAAAUCAAUCGAUUUGCUUCACAGAACCACCGCCUGGAUGGUUCGAGCCACGCCGGAGGGACACCACGAUGUUGGUCACCGCGGACCGCGCCGACAAAUCCGCGGGGUGGGGAGCAGCGUGCAGCGCCAUGUGGUCGCUCUCGCGGGCGUCACCAGUGGAGAAUCCUCACUGGUGAGAUGCAGGCCGUAAAGCAGCGCGGCCACGGCGAGGCGCGCGAGGGCGAGGCCUCGGCGCGGACAGGUGCAGCGGCGCCAAAGGCGCGGGCGGGCGCAGCGCGCGAGGGCGAGGGGGCCGGACGCGGUGCCGUUCGCGAGCCCGAGUGCCGCGGGGCUCCGUGAGCCGGAGCGGCCGGAGUGGCCGUUCGACGGAGUCGGGGACGGCAGGCGCGGCGGUGCGGCAGCGUCGCCCGGGACACGCGCGACCGUCGGCAACCUCUGGAGCGGCACGCCGGCUUCUGCUUCAACAACCGCUGGGGUCGGAGGCUGCAUCGGCGGAUCAUGACGGGAAAGUCCUACUGGUGCUAAAGUUCAUUUAAUCCAUGGGGCUAAAGUUCUUAUCCUGAUCACCGUGACCGUGGCCAUGCUCCGGAUGGUGCUCAGCGCCAGUCUCACGGUGGGUGUGCCGGCCGGAUCAUGGGACCUACAGACCAACUACACCAUGUGGGCUUUGAGAACUAGGUUUACCAUCGGCUAUGAGUUCCAGUUUCAGUACUCCACCACCGUGCACAAUGUGGUGGAGGUGAGAAAGGCUGGGUACGACGCCUACAACAGCUCCAGCCCCAUCGCGAUGUUCCUAACCAGCAACGAUGUCGUCCCACUUGCAGCCAUUGGGAUGCGGUACUUCAUUUGCGGCGUCCUAGGGCAUCGCGUCGCCGGUAUGAAGGUUCAAGUCAACGUGAAGUCGAAGGCAGUGUGGACAGUACGACGGUGCCGAGGGAUGGGGAAGCGGCUCCGGUGCCGGUCCGAGACUAUCUUAAGCUCGGCCAUGACGGCUGGUAUUGAUCAGUCUGCGAUGGCGCGACUAGGUCUGGCCUUUGUCGCGGCUGGUCUCGUGUUGUUCUAUUAGUGAUCGUCGAUAAUGGUGCUUUUUUCUUCUUAACGCGAUGCGCAUGCGUAUUUGUGUAUUAUAAAUUAAUUCUUUUGUUAAAUGUAAUUUCUUCCAUUAUAAUUGGAUUUAACUUAUAUUCUUGCGAACCAUAAUCAUGUGUAUAUAAUCAUGGAAUAAAUAAAGGGCAGUGCUAGGUGUCGGUCGGCCGUCCCAAAUUUUGGUCGGCCGCGCACUAGCCGUCAGAUGCAAGCUGCGUAGGCCGUCUGAUUUGCCUGCUCAGCUCCUUCCUCCCCACACCUUGCACAAGCUGGCCCAACAGCCUUCCCCUCGCGCAGCUUGCCAGUGCCCCCCUCCCCCCGACAGCAUCACACCUCAUGUCGGCCCGGUCCCUAGCAUGGCGCCAUGCGGGCGAGAUGCAGUAUCAAUGGCUUCUGCCGGGCUGACGCUCGCAAUUGACACUCCCACUAGUUCGAGCAAGAACUCUCUGGUUCCAGCAUUUGCAUGCGCUGGUUGUAACAUCUCGCCAGCAAGCCAGUGCUCACCGUCGCUGAUUCGAACAUGUACAGUCUCUGGUUCCAGCAAAUGCGUGAGCGGGUUCCAGGAAAAGGACUUCGCAUGUGGCCUGUCUGUUCCAGCAAAAAUGUGCAGCUCGCGGUCAUGACCAUCAUAGCUACUCCGAUGACUGCUUGCAACUUUUUUGUUGACGGGCCCCAGCACCUCGUCAAGCUGCUAGAAGCAUGCCGCCAUUCGGCGCCGGUCGGCGCCGUCGCGGGAACCAUGGUUGCACGGUCACCGAGGUUUUGCAGCUUUUCUCCUGCCCCAUUCCAGCAUCCGCACAUGUCAAUUCUAGCAAAAAAGAUGACCGGAUGCAACAUCUAUUGCCAUCGGGUUCCCAAGAUGCACCACGGCUGGUUCCACUGUCCUCACCGACAGGUUCCAGCAAAAACCAUGGCCGGAUGCAGCAUCGCCGUGUCCCGCUGUAGCUUUUCUCUUUGGUGAGCUUAGCUUUCCUCCGUCGUUUUUCUCUUAAGAGGGCAGAUUUAUGAUUUUAUCUUAGCAGCUAUAAAGGGCAUUUACUUUGACGUUAUCGUAUUAGAGAAAAGGGCUAAGAUAUGAGUAACAAAAAGGAUAAUAUUUAGUAUAAAUAUAUUUGUCAUUUAGCUUUGAAUUUUCAUUUACCUCGCAAAUGUUACCUCUCCACGGCCGACCUUGUGAGCCUGCUUCAAAUUGUUCUCUUAUGAGAGUUUUCCUCUAUAUUUAAGGUGUACUUAGUGGUGGUGUUUGGACGUAAGUACCAGGUUGAAGCCAAUGUGCCCAAGGUAUAGUUCCCCACUCAGGACUGCAGAGAUUACCCCUUGAUAUUUAGGCGUACCGCAAAAUGUUGUGGUUUUAGUGUAUGAAAUGAAACAUGGGAACUCGUGCUUAAAAAAAGAAACAAGGGCAUCUCGAGGAGAAAUGAUGGAUUUAAACCCGACACGGGCUACGUGGCUUUGCUCUCUAGGAAGCGACGUGGUGGCGGGUAUUGACGGUGUACCUUGGCCCUGUGGGUGGCGAGGUGCACAGUGAUGGGUGAUCUUGGCGUAGCAGGCGACUUCGAUGGAAGCUUUGCCCUGAUCUGGAUUUGGUGCUCCCAUUCCGUCGUGGUGGGGUCCCCGUUAGAGCUUCCUCGAUGUGGUGGGAGCUGUGGUCGAGCGAAAGCUUUGCGCUCCGGUGCCGGUGGCGACAAGGCCUGCAGGUGUUGUAUUCCUCUUGGGGCAUCGCCUUGGACCUCUCCUUGCCAUCCAACUCUCAGGGUGAAACCUUUCUUAGCUUCGGCUGAUGUGGCGGUGGUGACGCUUUGUGUCGUUACCCUCCUGGGGGCGUCGCCGGUGAGGGUGGGUCUUCCUCUUGCACGGUGGUGGGUUUCAUGUGCUUCUUCUCGGCUGCUAGCUCGAGGAGUUUAGGCGCACUUAGUGCGUUUUUAGCGUUCUUGGCUAAUAUUACCGAUUUUCUUUAGAUCAGCUUAUGAGGUUCUCCUCAAUGCCUUGUAUCGGGUCAUUUUGUAUUGGUUUGGUUGUUUAUGCCUUUAUCUAUAAAGGGGGCAAAAGCUUGUUUCGAGAGAGAGAACGAUUCGUGAAACAACUGUCCUUGAUGGCCUAUUACAAUGGCGCACAUGGUGACCGAUCUUGACCAAAUUCAGUCGACCAACGCCUAUUACUACCCUUCUUGUAUUUGUUAUCCUGCCUUCUAUACAAUAAAGCUAUGGUACGUAAUUUGUGUACUCUUGAGAAAAGAUGAUUACGUUUUAUUUUCUAAUUUUUACAGUGACAUACAUCUUAAUAAAUCAAUUAUCGUGCGGUAGAAAUAUGCACGCGCGCACCAAUACGUUCAUAAUGUUAAUCAAAGAUUAAGCUCAAAUAAUUAAUGUUUAGCACGCUCGGGCACCGCAUUGAUAGCAGCCAGACCCAAUCUACGAAUUCCAUCGUCACCAUUAUUAGAUUAUCAUAGUAUAAUAGGCGAGCAAAGCAUGCACGCACCAACAUGUAUUUAUAUUCAUCUGGGAGUACUAUUACUCAUAUUCAUGCAUCUUAGACCUACCAUACCUCACCUGGUCAACACGCUCUCACCGGGUGAUCCUAGCUUGAACCAAUCCACCGCCUAUAUAUUUUGACAUAGUGGCAUCAACGAUUGUACAACACAUUCCAUCAUGCAACCAUUUCUCUCUGCAACUUCCUUGGAUCCUAUCAAAUUUCUCUCUAGCGCUAACUUCUAGCUCCGAUCUUUUCAGUUAGCUAGUCGGUCGACAUUUAAUCCAUGGGGGCUAAAGUUCUUAUCCUGAUCACCGUGGCCGUGGCCAUGCUCGGAAUGGUGCUCGGCGCCAGUCACACGGUGGGCGCGCCGGCCGGAUCAUGGGACCUGCAGACCAACUACACCCUAUGGGCUUCGGGAACUAGAUUUACCAUCGACGAUGAGCUCCAGUUUCAGUACCCCAACAUCAUGCACAAUGUGGUGGAGGUGAGAAAGGCUGGGUAUGACGCCUGCAACAGCUCCAGCCCCAUCACGACGUUCUUGACCGGCAACGAUGUCGUCCCACUUGCGGCCAUUGGGACGCGGUACUUCAUUUGCGGUAUUCCAGGGCAUUGCAUCGCCGGUAUGAAGGUUCAAGUUAACAUGAAGUCGAAGGCAGUGCGGACAGUACAACGGUGCCGAGGGACGGGAAAGCGGCUCCGGUGCCGGUACGAGACUGUAUUAAGCUCGGCCACGGCGGCUGGCAUUGAUCAGUCUACGGUGGCGCGGCUAGGUCUGGCCAUUGUCGCGACUGGUCUCAUGUUGUUCUUUUAGUGACCGACGAUUGUGGUGCCUUUUCUUCUUGACGCGCCGUGCAUGCUUAUUUGUGUAUUGUAAAUCAGUUCUUUUGUUAAAUGUAGUGUUUAUAAUCAUGGAAUAAAUAAAGCGUAGUGCUAGGUGCCAUUUGGCCGGCCCAAAUUUUGGUCGCCCGCGCACUAGUCAUCAGAUGCAAGUUGCGUAGGCCGGCUGAUUUGGCUGCUCAGCUCCUUCCUCCCCACACCUUGCGCAACCUCGCCCAACACCCUUCCCCUCGCGCAGCUUGCCAGUGCCCCCGCCCCUCCCCCGACAACAUCGCACCUCCUGUCGUGCAGGUCCCUAGCACCGCGCCACGCUGGAGAGAUGCAAUAUCUAUGGUUUCUGCCGCUCUGAUCCUCGCAAUAGACACCGGCACUAGUUCCAGCAAAAACUCUCUCUGGUUCCAGCAUUUGCAUGCGCUGGGUGUAACAUCUCGCCGGCAAGCCGGUGCUCACCAUCGCUGAUUCCAGCAUCUACAGUCUCUAGUUCCAGCAAAUGCGCGAGCCAAAUUCCAGCAAAAGGACUUCACCUGUGGCCCUUCGGUUCCAGCAAAAAUGCGCAGCUCGCGGUCACCACCAGCGUAGCUACUCUGAUGACUGCUGGCAACUUUUUUGCCGGCGGGUCCUAGCACCUCGCCAUGCUGCUAGAAGCAUGCCGCCAUUCGGCGUCGGUCGGCGCCGUUGUAGCUCGCGGGAACCAUGGUCACACGGUCGCUGAGGUUUCACAGCUUUUCUCCUGCCCCAUUCGAGCAUCCACACAUGUCAACUACAGCAAAAAAGAUGACCGGAUGCAGCAUCUAUUGCCGUUGGGUUCCCGGGAUGCACCACGGCUGGUUCCAGUGUCCUCACCAACUGGUUCCAGCAAAAACCAUGGCUGCAUGUAGCAUCACAGUGUCCCGUUGUAGCUUUUCUCAUCGGCGAGCAUAGCUUUCUUCCGUCGUUUUUCUUCAAAGAUGGCACAUUUAUGAUUUUAUCUUAGGAGCUAUAAGGGGCAUUUACUUUUAUGUCAUCGUAUUAGAGAAAAGGGCUAAGAGACGAGUAACAAAAAGGUAAUGUUUAGUAUAAAUAUUUUUUUUCUUUUAGCUUAGAAUUGUCAUUUACGUCGCAAAUGUUAUAACCUCUCCAGGCCGGACCUUGUGAGCCUGCUUCAAAUUGUUCUCUUAUGAGAGUUUUCCUCUAUAUUAUUUAAGGUUUACUUAGUGGUAGUGUUUGGACGUAAGUACCAGGUUGAAGCCAAUGUGCCCAAGGUAUAGUUUCCCACUCAGGACUGCAGAGAUUACCCCUUGAUAUUUCGGCGCACUGCAAAAUGUUGUGGUUUUAGUGUAUGAAAUGAAACACGGGAACUCGUGCUUAAAAAAAGAAACAAGGGCAUCUCGAGGAGAAAUGAUGGUGAUAAAAAAUUAUCCCUCCGAUCCAUAAUAAGUGUCGUGUUUUAGCUCAAAUGUAUAAUACAUAUAUGACAACAAAUUAUUAGUGGAAUUACCUUUCACUAGCCAAAAACUAGGACCAACUAUAAAUCCUCUUUGCCAAAUAUGAUUUUAGCUAUAUGACAACGGCGAGGGGCCCUUACCAAGCAGACCAUGCAACUUUUAAAUUUGGUAAACACAACAUAUUAUCAAUAGUGAAUUUCCAUGAAUUUUGACAGUGGCAUACAUCUUAAUUAUUAUUUUAGAAGAAUCUUAAUUAAUUAUAUAAUUAUUUGACGUACCGAUGUAGUACAUGUGCGCACCAACACGUUCGGAUUGUUUUACUAGAGAAUAUGUUGGAUUAAUUUAUGUUUAGUACUCUCGUGCGGGCAUCCGGAUCUACCGAGGACAAGGUCCACUGAUGGCUACUGAUGAUCUCCUAACUAAUUGUUUGGACAUGGUCUACUGACAAUUUGGUUACUAAUCCUUUUCUCCCCAGACCCGGUCUACUGACGGCUACCAAUCUCAUCUUCUUCAUUGUUAGUUUUCUAUUAAAGCUAUGGAGCCAAGCAUAUAUAAUAAUAUCAGUUCAGGAGAUAACGUGUAUGAUGUUAUUUUCAUGCGUUUUAGACGACCUACUCUAUGUCACCUAGUCAACGCGCUUACACCCGAUAAUCCUUUAACACAUCCAUCGCCUAUAUAUGUCGACACACUGGUAUCAAUGAUCUCACAACACCAUCCAUCCUGCAGCCAUUUCUCUCAUUAGCUUCCUUGGAGCUUGUGAUCAUUAGUUGAUCAGACAGCAUAACCAAUUUUCUCCCUAGCGCUAACUUCCAUCCCCCGUCAUAUUUUCACUUAGUACUACUAAGUCAGCAAGCUAGUAGAUCCAUACUUAAUCCAUGGAGACCAAAGCUCUUAUUCUGAUCACCGUGGCCAUGACCAUUCUUGGGAUGGCACUCGGUGCCAGCCACACCGUAGGCGCACCACACGGGUCAUGGGACAUUCAGACCAACUACUCUCAGUGGGUUUCGAGAAUCAGAUUCACCACCGGCGAUGAGCUCAAGUUCCAGUACUCCGCCGCCGUGCACAACGUGGUGGAGGUGAGCAAAACGGGGUAUGACUCCUGCAACGGCUCCAGCCCCAUAUCGACUUUCCCGACCGGUAAUGAUGUUGUUCCGCUUGCCACCAUCGGGACCCGGUAUUUCAUCUGUGGCGUCUCCGGGCACUGCAACGCCGGCAUGAAGGUCGAGGUCAACGUCAAGUCGAAAGAAGUGCGGACUGUGCAACGGUGCCGACGGACAGGGAACCGGCGUCGCUGCCAGUCCGAGACUGUACUAAGCUCAGCUAUGUCGGCUGAUGUUGAUCAGUCUACGGUGGCCCGACUCGGUCUAAUAGUUGUUGCGGCUGGUCUUAUGUUGUUCUUUUAGAGUGAACGAUGAUUGUGGUCCUUUUUUCCUUGUUCGGUCGUAGGAUGGUCCCUUUGUGUGUCAAAUUCAAUUCUUUUGUUAAUUUUAAUUGCAUUCAUUAUAAUUGGAUUCAACAUAUCUUCUUUGCAAAAACCCAAAUAAUAACCAAGCGUGUAACCAUGAAAUAAAUUUAUCAAAGAUGUGUUGAGUGCAAUGCAUUACAUCCAUCCAUUAUAUACAACAUAAAUUCAGGGCAGAGCUAAAUUCAUCUACAUAAGUAACAUGAUUUUUAAGACGAAACAGUGGGGUAAACACCCACUGCAACAUUUUAUAUUAUUGGGAAGUGUAUGUACACACUGGUUUGAGAUGAGCCUGAAAAGAAGAUAAAUGAAGAAAACAAACCCUAACAAACUGAGCCAAAAAAAGAAGAAACAUAAAUUACAAGGCUUCAGCUGGUCAAGCUUUGAAAGCAUUGCCAUAUUUCGUUUUCAUCUUGUGUCCUAAAAUCAGCUCGCCAAGAAAUAGAAAUUACAAGAGUUCAGAUCGCCAAGCCCUUGUUCAUCCUGUUACCAUCAAGCUAACAUUAUCAGCUCGGGACCCCUUACCCGAGAUCCGCCGGAUUUAACCCCGACACGGGCUACGUGGCUUUGCUCUCUAGGGAGCGACGUGGUGGCGGGUGUUGACGGUGUACCUUGGCCCUGUGAAGGUGCACGGUGAUGGGUGAUCUUGGCAUAGCAGGCGACUUCGAUGGAAGCUUUGCCCUGAUCUGGAUUUGGUGCUCCCAUUCCGUCGUGGUGGGGUCCCCGUUAGAGCUUCCUCGAUGUGGUGGGAGCUGUGGUCGAGCGAAAGGUUUGCGCUCCGGUGCCGGCGGCGACAAGGCCUGCGGGUGUUGUAUUUCUCUUGGGCCAUCGCCUUGGACCUCUCCUUGCCGUCCAACUCUCAGGGUGAAACCUUUCUUAGCUUGGGCUGAUGCGGCGGCGGUGAUGCUUUGUGUCGUUACCCUCCUGGGGGCGUCGCUGGUGAGGGUGGGUCUUCCUCGUGCACGGUGGUGGGUUUCAUGUGCUUCUUCUCGGCUGCUAGCUCGAGGAGUUUAGGUGCACUUAGUGUGUUUUUAGUGUUCUUGGCUAAUAUUACCGAUUUUCUUUAGAUCAGCUUAUGAGGUUCUCCUCAAUGCCUUGUAUCGGGUCAUUUUGUAUUGGUUUGGUUGUUUAUGCCUUUAUCCAUAAAGGGGGCGAAAGCUUGUUUCAAGAGAGAGAACGAUUCGUGAAACAACUGCCUUGAUGGCCUAUUACAAUGGCACGCAUGGUGACCGAUCUUGACCAAAUUCAGUCGACCAACGCCUAUUACUACCCUUCUUGUAUUUGUUAUCCUGCCUUCUAUACAAUAAAGCUAUGGUACGUAAUUUGUGUACUCUUGAGAAAAGAUGAUUAUGUUUUAUUUUCUAAUUUUUACAGUGACAUACAUCUUAAUAAAUCAAUUAUCAUGCGGUAGAAAUAUGCACGCGCGCACCAAUACGUUCAUAAUGUUAAUCAAAGAUUAAGCUCAAAUAAUUAAUGUUUAGCACGCUCGGGCACCGGAUUGAUAGCAGCCAGACCCAAUCUACGAAUUCCAUCGUUACCAUUAUUAGAUUAUCAUAGUAUAAUAGGCGAGCAAAGCAUGCACGCACCAACAUGUAUUUAAAUUCAUCUGGGAGUACUAUUACUCAUAUUCAUGCCUCUUAGACCUACCAUACCUCACCUGGUCAACACGUUCUCACCGGGUGAUCCUAGCUUGAACCAAUCCAUCGCCUAUAUAUUUUGACGUAGUGGCAUCAACGAUCUUACAACACAUUCCAUCGUGCAACCAUUUCUCUCUGCAACUUCGUUGGAUCCUAUCAAAUUUCUCUCUAGUGCUAACUUCUAGCUCCGAUCUUUUCAGUUAGCUAGUCGGUCGACAUUUAAUCCAUGGGGGCUAAAGUUCUUAUCCUGAUCACCGUGGCCGUGGCCAUGCUCGGGAUGGUGCUCGGCGCCAGUCACACGGUGGGCGCGCCGGCCGGAUCAUGGGACCUGCAGACCAACUACACCCUGUGGGCUUCGAGAACUAGAUUUACCAUCGGCGAUGAGCUCCAGUUUCAGUACUCCACCACCGUGCACAAUGUGGUGGAGGUGAGAAAGGCUGGGUAUGACGCCUGCAACAGCUCCAGCCCCAUCGCGACGUUCCUGACCGGCAACGAUGUCGUCCCACUUGCGGCCAUUGGGACGCGGUACUUCAUUUGUGGCGUUCCAGGGCAUUGCAUCGCCGGUAUGAAGGUUCAAGUCAACGUGAAGUCGAAGGCAGUGCGGACAGUACAACGGUGCCGAGGGACGGGAAAGCGGCUGCACUGCCAGUACAAGACUGUAUUAAGCUCGGACACGGCGGCUGGCAUUGAUCAGUCUGCGGUGGCGCGGCUAGGUCUGGCCAUUGUCGCGACUGGUCUCAUUUUGUUCUUUUAGUGACCGACGAUUGUGGUGCUUUUUCUUCUUGACGCGCUCGGGCAUGCUUAUUUGUGUAUUGUAAAUCAGUUCUUUUGUUAAAUGUAAUGCUUUCAUUAUAAUUGGAUUUAACAUAUCUUCUUGCAAAACCGAACUAUAAUCAAGUGUUCAUAAUCAUGGAAUAAAUAAAGCGUUGUGCUAGGUGCCAUUCGGCCGGCCCAAAUUUUGGUCGCCCGCGCACUAGUCAUCAGAUGCAAGUUGCGUAGGCCGGCUGAUUUGGCUGCUCAGCUCCUCCUCCCCACACCUUGCGCAGCCUCGCCCAACACCCUUCCCUCGCGUAGCUUGCCAGUGCCCCCGCCCCUCCCCCGACAACAUCGCACCUCCUGUCGUGCAGGUCCCUAGCACCGCGCCACGCUGGAGAGAUGCAGUAUCAAUGGUUUCUGCCGCUCUGAUCCUCGCAAUAGACUCUGGCACUAGUUCCAGCAAAAACUCUCUCUGGUUCCAGCAUUUGCAUGCGCUGGGUGUAACAUCUCGCCGGCAAGCCGGUGCUCACCAUCGCUGAUUCCAGCAUCUACAGUCUCUGGUUCUAGCAAAUGCGCGAGCCGAUUCCAGCAAAAGGACUUCACCUGUGGCCCGUCGUUUCCAGCAAAAAUGCACAGCUCGCGGUCACCACCAGCGUAGCUACUCUGAUGACUGCUUGCAACUUUUUUGCCGGCUGGUCCCACCACCUCGCCAUGCCGCUAGAAGCAUGCCUCCAUUCGGCGUCGGUCGGCGCCGUUGUAGCUCGCGGGAACCAUGGUCACAUGGUCGCUGAGGUUUCACAGCUUUUCUCCUGCCCCAUUCGAGCAUCCACACAUGUCAACUCCAGCAAAAAAGAUGACCGGAUGCAGCAUCUAUUGCCGUUGGGUUCCCAGGAUGCACCACGGCUGGUUCCAGUGUCCUCACCAACUGGUUCCAGCAAAAACCAUGGCUGCAUGUAGCAUCAUAGUGUCCCGUUGUAGCUUUUCUCUUCGGCGAGCAUAGCUUUCUUCUGUCGUUUUUCUCAAAGAUGGCACAUUUAUGAUUUUAUCUUAGGAGCUAUAAGGGGCAUUUACUUUUAUGUCAUCGUAUUAGAGAAAAGGGCUAAGAGACGAGUAACAAAAAGGUAAUGUUUAGUAUAAAUAUUUUUUUCAUUUAGCUUAGAAUUGUCAUUUACGUCGCAAAUGUUAUAACCUCUCCAGGCCGGACCUUGUGAGCCUGCUUCAAAUUGUUCUCUUAUGAGAGUUUUCCUCUAUAUUAUUUAAGGUUUACUUAGUGGUAGUGUUUGGACGUAAGUACCAGGUUGAAGCCAAUGUGCCCAAGGUAUAGUUCCCCACUCAGGACUGCAGAGAUUACCCCUUGAUAUUUAGGCGCACUGCAAAAUGUUGUGGUUUUAGUGUAUGAAAUGAAACAUGGGAACUCGUGCUUAAAAAAAGAAACAAGGGCAUCUCGAGGAGAAAUGAUGGUGAUAAAAAAUUCUCCCUCCGAUCCAUAAUAAGUGUCAUGGUUUAGCUCAAAUGUAUAAUACAUAUAUGACAACUAAUUAUUAGUGGAAUUACCUUUCACUACCCAAAAACUAGGACCAACUAUAAAUCCUCUUUGCCAAAUAUGAUUUUAGCUAUAUGACAACGGCGAGGGCCCUUACCAAGCAGAUCAUGCAACUUUUAAAUUUGGUCAACACAACAUAUUAUCAAUAGUGAAUUUCCAUGAAUUUUGACAGUGGCAUACAUCUUAAUUAUUAUUUUAGAAGAAUCUUAAUUAAUUAUAUAAUUAUUUGAGUACCGACGUAGUACAUGUGCGCACCAACACGUUCGGAUUGUUUAACUAGAGAAUAUGUUGGAUUAAUUUAUGUUUAGUACGCUCGUGCGGGCAUCUGGAUCUACCAAGGACAAGGUCCACUGAUGGCUACUGAUGAUCUCCUAACUAAUUGUUUGGACAUGGUCUACUCACAAUUUGGUUACUAAUCCUUUUCUCCCCAGACCCGGUCUACUGACGGCUACCAAUCUCAUCUUCUUCAUUGUUAUUUUUCUGUUAAAGCUAUGGAGCCAAGCAUAUAUAAUAAUAUCAGUUCAGAAGAUAACGUGUACGAUGUUAUUUUCAUGCAUUUUAGACGACCUACUCUAUGUCACCUAGUCAACGUGCUUACACCCGAUGAUCCUUUAACACAUCCAUCGCCUAUAUAUGUCGACACACUGGUAUCAAUGAUCUCACAACACCAUCCAUCCUGCAGCCAUUUUUCUCAUUUGCUUCCUUGGAGCUUGUGAUCAUUAGUUGAUCAGACAACAUAACCAAUAUUCUCCCUAGCGCUAACUUCCAUCCCCCAUCAUAUUUUCAGUUAGUACUACUAAGUCAGCAAGCUAGUAGAUCCAUAUUUAAUCCAUGAAGACCAAAGCUCUUAUUCUGAUCACCGUGGCCAUGACCAUGCUUGGGAUGGCACUCGGUGCCAGCCACACCGUAGGCGCACCGCACGGGUCAUGGGACAUUCAGACCAACUACUCUCGGUGGGUUUCGAGAAUCAGAUUCACCACCGGCGAUGAGCUCAAGUUCCAGUACUCCGCCGCCGUGCACAACGUGGUGGAGGUGAGCAAAACGGGGUAUGACUCCUGCAACGGCUCCAGCCCCAUAUCGACUUUCCCGACCGGUAAUGAUGUUGUUCCGCUUGCCACCGUCGGGACCCGGUAUUUCAUCUGUGGCGUCUCCGGGCACUGCAACGCCGGCAUGAAGGUCGAGGUCAACGUCAAGUCGAAAGAAGUGCAGACUGUGCAACGAUGCCGACGGACAGGGAACCGGCGUCGCUGCCAGUCCGAGACGGUAUUAAACCCAGCUACGUCGGCUGGCGUUGAUCAGUCUACGGUGGCCCGACUCGGUCUGAUAGUUGUUGCGGAUGGUCUUAUGUUGUUCUUUUAGAGUGAACGAUGAUUGUGGUCCUUUUUUCCUUGUUCGGUCGUAGGAUGGUCCCUUUGUGUAUUAAAUACAAUUCUUUUGUUAAUUUUAAUUGCAUUCAUUAUAAUUGGAUUCAACAUAUCUUCUUUGCAAAAGCCCAAAUAAUAACCAAGCGUGUAACCAUGAAAUAAAUUUAUCAAAGAUGUGUUGAGUGCAAUGCAUUACAUCCAUCCUUUAUAUACAACAUAAAUUCAGGCAGAGCUAAAUUCAUCUAGAUAAGUAACAUGAUUUUUAAGGCGAAACAGUGGGGUAAACACCCACCGCAACAUUUUAUAUUAUUAGGAAGUGUAUGUACAUACUGGUUUGAGAUGAGCCUGAAAAGAAGAUAAAUGAAGAAAACAAACCCUAACAAACUGAGCCAAAAAAAGAAGAAAUAGAAAUUACAAGGCUUCAGCUCGUCAAGCUUUGAAAGCAUUUCCAUAUUUCGUUUUCAUCUUGUGUCCUAAAAUCAGCUCGCCAAGAAAUAGAAAUUACAAGAGUUCAGAUCGCCAAGCCCUUGUUCAUCCUGUUACCAUCAAGCUAACAUCAUCAGCUCGGGACCCCUUACCCGAGAUCCGCCGGAUUUAACCCCAACACGGGCUACGUGGCUUUGCUAUCUAGGGAGCGACGUGGUGGCGGGUGUUGACGGUGUACCUUGGCCCUGUGAAGGUGCACGGUGAUGGGUGAUCUUGGCAUAGCAGGCGACUUCGAUGGAAGCUUUGCCCUGAUCUGGAUUUGGUGCUCCCAUUCCGUCGUGGUGGGGUCCCCGUUAGAGCUUCCUCGAUGUGGUGGGAGCUGUGGUCGAGCGAAAGCUUUGCGCUCCGGUGCCGGCGGCGACAAGGCCUGCGGGUGUUGUAUUCCUCUUGGGGCAUCGCCUUGGAUCUCUCCUUGCCGUCCAACUCUCAGGGUGAAACCUUUCUUAGCUUCGGCUGACGCGGCGGCGGUGACGCUUUGUGUCGUUACCCUCCUGGGGGCGUCGCUGGUGAGGGUGGGUCUUCCUCUUGCACGGUGGUGGGUUUCAUGUGCUUCUUCUCGGCUGCUAGCUCGAGGAGUUUAGGUGCACUUAGUGUGUUUUUAGUGUUCUUGGCUAAUAUUACCGAUUUUCUUUAGAUCAGCUUAUGAGGUUCUCCUCAAUGCCUUGUAUUGGGUCAUUUUGUAUUGGUUUGGUUGUUUAUGCCUUUAUCUAUAAAGGAGGCGAAAACUUGUUUCGAGAGAGAGAAUGAUUCGUGAAACAACUGUCCUUGAUGGCCUAUUACAAUGGCGUGCAUGGUGACCGAUCUUGACCAAAUUCAGUCGACCAACGCCUAUUACUACCCUUCUUGUAUUUGUUAUCCUGCCUUCUAUACAAUAAAGCUAUGGUACGUAAUUUGUGUACUCUUGAGAAAAGAUGAUUACGUUUUAUUUUCUAUUUUUUACAGUGACAUACAUCUUAAUAAAUCAAUUAUCGUGCGGUAGAAAUAUGCACGCGCGCACCAAUACGUUCAUAAUGUUAAUCAAAAAUUAAGCUCAAAUAAUUAAUGUUUAGCACGCUCGGGCACCGGAUUGAUAGCAGCCAGACCCAAUCUACGAAUUCCAUCGUCACCAUUAUUAGAUUAUCAUAGUAUAAUAGGCGAGCAAAGCAUGCACGCACCAACAUGUAUUUAAAUUCAUCUGGGGGUACUAUUACUCAUAUUCAUGCCUCUUAGACCUACCAUACCUCAUCUGGUCAACACGCUCUCACCGGGUGAUCCUACCUUGAACCAAUCCAUCGCCUAUAUAUUUUGACGUAGUGGCAUCAACGAUCUUACAACACAUUCCAUCAUGCAACCAUUUCUCUCUGCAACUUCCUUGGAUCCUAUCAAAUUUCUCUCUAGUGCUAACUUCUAGCUCCGAUCUUUUCAGUUAGCUAAUCGGUCGACAUUUAAUCCAUGGGUGCUAAAGUUCUUAUCCUGAUCACCGUGGCCGUGGCCAUGCUCGGGAUGGUGCUCGGCGCCAGUCACACGGUGGGCGCGCCGGCCGGAUCAUGGGACCUGCAGACCAACUACACCCUGUGGGCUUCGAGAACUAGAUUUACCAUCGGCGAUGAGCUCCAGUUUCAGUACUCCACCACGGUGCACAAUGUGGUGGAGGUGAGAAAGGCUGGGUAUGACGCCUGCAACAGCUCCAGCCCCAUCGCGACGUUCCUGACCGGCAACGAUGUCGUCCCACUUGCGGCCAUUGGGACGCGGUACUUCAUUUGCGGCGUUCCAGGGCAUUGCAUCGCCGGUAUGAAGGUUCAAGUCAACGUGAAGUCGAAGGCAGUGCGGACAGUACAACGGUGCCGAGGGACGGGAAAGCGGCUGCGGUGCCAGUACGAGACUGUAUUAAGCUCGGACACGGCGGCUGGCAUUGAUCAGUCUGCGGUGGCGCGGCUAGGUCUGGCCAUUGUCGCGACUGGUCUCAUUUUGUUCUUUUAGUGACCGACGAUUGUGGUGCUUUUUCUUCUUGACGCGCUCGUGCAUGCUUAUUUGUGUAUUGUAAAUCAGUUCUUUUGUUAAAUGUAAUGUUUUCAUUAUAAUUGGAUUUAACAUAUCUUCUUGCAAAACCGAACUAUAAUCAAGUGUUCAUAAUCAUGGAAUAAAUAAAGCGUUGUGCUAGGUGCCAUUCGGCCGGCCCAAAUUUUGGUCGCCCACGCACUAGUCAUCAGAUGCAAGUUGCAUAGGCCGGCUGAUUUGGCUGCUCAGCUCCUUCCUCCCCACACCUUGCGCAGCCUCGCCCAACACCCUUCCCUCGCGCAGCUUGCCAGUGCCCCCGCCCCUCCCCCGACAACAUCGCACCUCCUGUCGUGCAGGUCCCUAGCACCGCGCCACGCUGGAGAGGUGCAGUAUCAAUGGUUUAUGCCGCUCUGAUCCUCGCAAUAGACACUGGCACUAGUUCCAGCAAAAACUCUCUCUGGUUCCAGCAUUUGCAUGUGCUGGGUGUAACAUCUCGCCGGCAAGCCGGUGCUCACCGUCGUUGAUUCCAGCAUCUACAGUCUCUGGUUCCAGCAAAUGCGCGAGCCGAUUCCAGCAAAAGGACUUCACCUGUGGCCCGUCGGUUCCAGCAAAAAUGCGCAGCUCGUGGUCACCACCAGCGUAGCUACUCUGAUGACUGCUUGCAACUUUUUUGCCGGCGGGUCCCAGCACCUCGCCAUGCCGCUAGAAGCAUGCCUCCAUUCGGCGUCGGUCGGCGCCGUUGUAGCUCGCGGGAACCAUGGUAUCAUGGUUGUUGAGGUUUCACAGCUUUUCUCCUGCCCCAUUCAAGCAUCCACACAUGUCAACUCCAGCAAAAAAGAUGACCGGAUGCAGCAUCUAUUGCUUUUGGGUUCCUGGCAUGCACCACGGCUGGUUCCAGUGUCCUCACUGUUGGGGAACGUUGCAGAAAAUAAAAAAAUUUCUACGGUUUCACCAAGAUCAAUCUAUGAGUUCAUCUAGCAACGAGAGAGAGGAGUGCAUCUACAUACCCUUGUAGAUCGAGUGGAAGCGUUCAAGACACGUACGGUCAGCGUGACGUCUCCUCCUUCUUGAUCCAGCAAGGGGGAAGGAGAGGUUGAUGAAGAUCCAGCAGCACGACGGCGUGGUGGUGGAUGCAGCAGGGAUCCCGGCAGGGCUACGCCAAGCGUCUGCGGGAGGGAGAGGUGUAGCAAGGGGGAAGGGAGGCGCCAAGUGCAAGGGUGUGGCUUCCCUCCCUCCCCCCUCUUUAUAUAGGGUCCCCAAGGGGGGUGCCGGCCCUAGGAGAUUGAAUCUCCAAGGGGGGCGGCGGCUAAGGGGGUGCCUUGCCCCCUAAGGCAAGUGGAGGCGCCCCCUCCCCUAGGGUUCCCAACCCUANNNNNNNNNNNNNNNNNNNNNNNNNNNNNNNNNNNNNNNNNNNNNNNNNNNNNNNNNNNNNNNNNNNNNNNNNNNNNNNNNNNNNNNNNNNNNNNNNNNNNNNNNNNNNNNNNNNNNNNNNNNNNNNNNNNNNNNNNNNNNNNNNNNNNNNNNNNNNNNNNNNNNNNNNNNNNNNNNNNNNNNNNNNNNNNNNNNNNNNNNNNNNNNNNNNNNNNNNNNNNNNNNNNNNNNNNNNNNNNNNNNNNNNNNNNNNNNNNNNNNNNNNNNNNNNNNNNNNNNNNNNNNNNNNNNNNNNNNNNNNNNNNNNNNNNNNNNNNNNNNNNNNNGCACCAGCUCACCAGGGGCUGGUUCCCCUCCCACUUCAGCCCAUGGGGCCCUCCGGGAUAGAUGGCCCCACCCGAUGGACCCCCCGGGACCCUUCCGGUGGUCCCAGUACAAUACCGGUGACCCCCGAAACUUUCCCGAUGGCCGGAACUCGACUUUCCAUAUAUAAUUUUUUACCUCCGGACCAUUCCGGAACUCCUCGUGACGUCCGGGAUCUCAUCCGGGACUCCGAACUACUUUCGGUUUGCUGCAUACUAAUAUCUCUACAACCCUAGCGUCACCGAACCUUAAGUGUGUAGACCCUACGGGUUCGGGAGACACGUAGACAUGACCGAGACGGCUCUCCGGUCAAUAACCAACAACGGGAUCUGGAUACCCAUGUUGUCUCCCACAUGCUCCUCGAUGAUCUCAUCGGAUGAACCACGAUGUCGAGGAUUCAAGCAACCCCGUAUACAAUUCCCUUUGUCAAUCGGUAUGUUACUUGCCCGAGAUUUGAUCGUCGGUAUCCCAAUACCUCGUUCAAUCUCAUUACCGGCAAGUCACUUUACUCGUACCGCAAUGCAUGAUCCCGUGACUAGACACUUGGUCACUUUGAGCUCGUUAUGAUGAUGCAUUACCGAGUGGGCCUAGAGAUACCUCUCCGUCAUACGGAGUGACAAAUUCCAGUCUCGAUCCGUGUCAACCCAACAGACACUUUCAGAGAUACCCGUAGUAUACCUUUAUAGUAACCCAGUUACGUUGUGACGUUUGGUACACCCAAAGCACUCCUAUGGUAUCUGGGAGUUACACGAUCUCAUGGUCUAAGGAAAAGAUACUUGACAUUGGAAAAGCUCUAGCAAACGAACUACACGAUCUUGUGCUAUGCUUAGGAUUGGGUCUUGUCCAUCACAUCAUUCUCCUAAUGAUGUGAUCCCGUUAUCAAUGACAUCCAAUGUCCAUAGUCAGGAAACCAUGACUAUAUGUUGAUCAACUAGCUAGUCAACUAGAGGCUCACUAGGGAUAUGUUGUGGUCUAUGUAUUCACACGUGUAUUAUGAUUUCCAGAUAAUACAAUUAUUGCAUGAAUAAAAGACAAUUAUCAUGAACAAGGAAAUAUAAUAAUAAUCCUUUUAUUAUUGCCUCUAGGGCAUAUUUCCAACAGUCUCUCACUUGCACUAGAGUCAAUAAUCUAGUUACAUUGUGAUGAAUAGAACACCCAUAGAGUUCUGGUGUUGAUCAUGUUUUGCUCGCGGAAGAGGUUCAGUCAAUGGAUCUGCGACAUUCAGAUCCGUAUGUACUUUGCAAAUAUCUAUGUCUCCAUCUUGAACAUUUUCAUGGAUGGACUUAAAACGACGCUUGAUGUGCCUGGUCUUCUUGGCAAGGGCAAUAGCUCCAGUGUUGUCACAGAAGAGAGUGAUCGGCCCCGAUGCAUUGCGUAUGACUCCUAGGUCGGUGAUGAACUCCUUCAUCCAUAUUGCUUCAUGCGCUGCCUCCGAGGCUGCCAUGUACUCCGCUUCACAUGUAGAUCCCGCCACGAUGCUCUGCUUGCAACUGCACCAGCUUACUGCUCCACGAUUCAACAUAUACACGUAUCCGGUUUGUGACUUAGAGUCAUCCAAAUCUGUGUCGAAGCUAGCAUUGACGUAACCCUUUACGACAAGCUCUUCGUCACCUCCAUAAACGAGAAACAUGUCCUUUGUCCUUUUCAGGUACUUCAGGAUAUUCUUGACCGCUGUCCAGUGUUCCUUGCCGGGAUUACUUUGGUACCUUCCUACCAAACUCACGGCAAGGUUUACAUCAUGUCUGAUACACAGCAUGGCAUACAUAAUAGAUCCUAUGGCUGAGGCAUAGGGGAUGACACUCAUCUCUUCUUUAUCUUCUGCCGUGGUCGGGCAUUGAGCCGAGCUCAAUCUCACACCUUGCAAUACAGGCAAGAACCCUUUCUUGGACUGAUCCAUAUUGAACUUCUUCAAUAUCUUAUCAAGGUAUGUGCUUUGUGAAAGACCUAUGAGGCGUCUCGAUCUAUCUCUAUAGAUAUUGAUGCCUAAUAUGUAAGCAGCUUCUCCAAGGUCCUUCAUUGAAAAACACUUAUUCAAGUAGGCCUUAAUGUUGUAAAAUAGUUCUAUAUCAUUUCCCAUCAAAAUUAUGUCAUCUACAUAUAAUAUGAGAAAUGCUACAGAGCUCCCACUCACUUUCUUGUAAACACAGGCUUCUCCAUAAGUCUGCAUAAACACAAACGCUUUGAUCAUCUCAUCAAAGCGAAUGUUCGAACUCCGAGAUGCUUGCACCAGCCCAUAAAUGGAUCGCUGGAGCUUGCACACCUUGUUAGCAUUCUUAGGAUCGACAAAACCUUCUGGCUGCAUCAUAUACAUUUCUUCCUUAAGAUAGCCGUUAAGGAAUGCCGUUUUGACGUCCAUCUGCCAUAUCUCAUAAUCAUAGUAUGCGGCGAUUGCUAACAUGAUUCGGACGGACUUCAGCUUCGCUACGGGAGAGAAAGUCUCAUCGUAGUCAACCCCUUGAACUUUUCGAUAACCCUUAGCGACAAGUCAAGCUUUAUAGAUGGUAACAUUACCAUCCGCGUCCGUCUUCUUCUUAAAGAUCCAUUUAUUUUCUAUCGCUCGCCGAUCAUCGGGCAAGUCUGUCAAAGUCCAUACUUUGUUUUCCUACAUGGAUUCUAUCUCGGAUUGCAUGGCUUCAAGCCAUUUGUUGGAAUCUGGGCCCGCCAUCGCUUCUUCAUAGUUCGAAGGUUCACCGUUGUCUAACAACAUGAUUUCCAGGACAGGGUUGCCAUACCACUCUAGUGUGGAACUUGUUCUUGUGGACCUACGAAGUUCAGUAGCAACUUGAUCCGAAGUACCUUGAUCAUCAUCAUUAAUUUCCUCUCCAGUCGGAGUAGGCACCACAGGAACAUUUUCCUUAGCUACACUACUUUCCGGUUCAAGAGCUAGUACUUCAUCGAGUUCUACUUUCCUCCCACUUACUCCUUUCGAGAGAAACUCUUUUUCCAGAAAGGAUCCGUUCUUGGCAACAAAGAUCUUGCCUUCGGAUCUAAGGUAGAAGGUAUACCCAAUGGUUUCCUUAGGGUAUCCUAUGAAGACGCAUUUUUCCGACUUGGGUUCGAGCUUUUCAGGUUGAAGUUUCUUGACAUAAGCAUCGCAUCCCCAAACUUUUAGAAACGACACCUUAGGUUUCUUCCCAAACCAUAAUUCAUACGGUGUUGUCUCAACGGAUUUAGACGGAGCCCUAUUUAAAGUGAAUGUAGCUGUCUCUAGAGCGUAUCCCCAAAAUGAUAGCGGUAAAUCGGUAAGAGACAUCAUAGAUCGCACCAUAUCCAAUAGAGUGCGAUUACGAUGUUCGGACACACCGUUACGUUGAGGUGUUCCAGGCGGCGUGAGUUGUGAAACGAUUCCACAUUUCCUUAAGUGCAUACCAAAUUCGUGACCUAAAUAUUCUCCUCCACGAUCUGAUCGUAAGAACUUUAUCGUUUGGUCACGUUGAUUCUCUACCUCAUUCUGAAAUUCCUUGAACUUUUCAAAGGUCUCAGACCUGUGUUUCAUCAAGUAGACAUACCCAUAUCUACUCAAGUCAUCACUGAGAGUGAGAACAUAACGAUAUCCUCCACGAGCCUCAACGCUCAUUGGACCGCACACAUCGGUAUGUAUGAUUUCCAAUAAGUUGGUUGCUUGCUCCAUUGUUCCGGAGAAUGGAGUCUUGGUCAUUUUGCCCAUGAGGCAUGGUUUGCAUGUGUCAAAUGAUUCAUAAUCGAGAGACUCUAAAAGUCCAUCAGCAUGGAGCUUCUUCAUGCGCUUGACACCAAUGUGACCAAGGCGGCAGUGCCACAAGUAUGUGGGACUAUCGUUAUCAACUUUACAUCUUUUGGUAUUCACACUAUGAAUAUGUGUAACAUUACGUUCGAGAUUCAUUAAGAAUAAACCAUUGACCAUCGGGACAUGACCAUAAAACAUAUAUCUCAUAUAAAUAGAACAAUCAUUAUUCUCGGAUUUAAAUGAGUAGCCAUCUCGUAUUAAACGAGAUCCAGAUACAAUGUUCAUGCUCAAACUUGGCACCAAAUAACAAUUAUUGAGGUUUAAAACUAAUCCCGUAGGCAAAUGCAGAGGUAGCGUGCCGACGGCGAUCACAUCGACCUUGGAACCAUUCCCGACGGUCACCUUGUCCUUCGCUAGUCUCCGCUUAUUCCGCAGCUUCUGCUUUGAGUUACAAAUAUGAGCAACGACACUGGUAUCAAAUACCCAGGAGCUACUAUGAGCACUGGUAAGGUACACAUCAAUUACAUGUAUAUCACAUAUACCUUUAGUGUUGUCGGCCUUCUUGUCCGCUAAGUAUUUGGGGCAGUUCCGCUUCCAGUGACCCUUCCCUUUGCAAUAAAAGCACUCAGUUUCAGGCUUGGGUCCAUUCUUUUACUUCUUCCCGGCAACUGGCUUACCGGGCGCGGCAACAUCCUUGCCGUCCUUCUUGAAGUUCUUAUUACCCUUGCCUUUCUUGAACUUGGUGGUUUUAUUGACCAUCAACACUUGACGUUCCUUUUUGAUUUCUACCUCUGCUGACUUCAGCAUUGAAAAUACUUCAGGAAUAGUUUUCACCAUCCCCUGCAUAUUGUAGUUCAUCACAAAGCUCUUGUAGCUCGGUGGGAGUGACUGAAGGAUUCUGUUAAUGACCGCCUUGUCUGGGAGGUUAAUGUCCAGCUAGAACAGGCGGUUGUGCAACCCAGACAUUUUGAGUAUGUGCUCACUGACAGAACUAUUUUCCUCCAUCUUACAACUAUAGAACUUGUCGGAGACUUCAUAUCUCUCGACCCGGGCGUGAGCUUGGAAAACCAUUUUCAGCUCCUCGAACAUCUCAUAUGCUUCGUGUUGCUCAAAACGCUUUUGGAGGCCCGGUUCUAAGCUGUAAAGCAUGCCGCACUGAACGAGGGAGUAAUCAUCAGCACGUGUCUGCCAAACGUUGCAGUGCUGGGAGAGUAGGUGGGUCACCUAACGGUGCUUCAAGGACAUAUGCUUUCUUGGCAGCUAUGAGGAUGAUCCUCAGGUUCCGGACCCAGUCCGUAUAGUUGCUACCAUCAUCUUUCAGCCUGGUUUUCUCUAGGAACGCAUUGAAGUUCAUGUUGACAUGAGCGUUGGCCAUUUGAUCUACAAGACAUUUUUUGCAAAGAUUUUAGACUAAGUUCAUGAUAAUUAAGUUCAUCUAAUCAAAUUAUUUAAUGAACUCCCACUCAGAUUAGACAUCCCUCUAGUCAUCUAAGUGAUACAUGAUCCGAGUCGACUAGGCCGUGUUCGAUCAUCACGUGAGACGGACCAGUCAUCAUCGGUGAACAUCACCAUGUUGAUCGUAUCUUCCAUACGACUCAUGUUCGACCUUUCGGUCUCUUGUGUUCCGAGGCCAUGUCUGUACAUGCUAGGCUCGUCAAGUUAACCUAAGUGUUUUGCAUGUGUAAAUCUGUCUUACACCCGUUGUAUGUGAACAUUAGAAUCUAUCACACCCGAUCAUCACGUGGUGCUUCAAAACAACGAACUGUCGCAACGGCGCAUAGUUAGGGGGAACACUUUCUUGAAAUUAUUAUGAGGGAUCAUCUUAUUUAAUACCGUCGUUCUAAGUAAACAAGAUGCAAAAACAUGAUAAACAUCACAUGCAAUCAAAUAGUAGUGACAUGAUAUGGCCAAUAUCAUAUAGCUCCUUUGAUCUCCAUCUUCGGGGCUCCAUGAUCAUCUUCGUCACCCGCAUGACACCAUGAUCUCCAUCAUCAUGAUCUCCAUCAUCGUGUCUCCAUGAAGUUGCUCGCCAACUAUUAAUUCUACUACUAUAGCUAACGGUUUAGGAAUAAAGUAAAGUAAUUACAUGGCGUUAAAUCAUUGACACGCAGGUCAUACAAUAAUUAAGACAACUUCUAUGGCUCCUGCCGGUUGUCAUACUCAUCGACAUGCAAGUCGUGAUUCCUAUUACAAGAAUAUCAUCUCAUACAUCACAAUAUAUCAUUCAUCAUUCAUCACAACUUUUGACCAUAUCACAUCACAAAGCAAUUGCUACAAAAACAAGUUAGACGUCCUUUAAUUAUUGUUGCAUCUUUUACGUGGCUGCAAUAGGGAUCUAGCAAGAACGUUUUCUUACCUAUGACAAAGCCACAGCGUGAUUUGUCAACUUCUAUUUACCCUUCAUAAGGACCCUUUUCAUCGAAUCCGCUCCAACUAAAGUGGGAGAGACAGACACCCGCUAGCCACCUUAUGCAACUAGUGCAUGUCAGUCGGUGGAACCUGUCUCACGUAAGUGUACGUGUAAGGUCGGUCCGGGCCGCUUCAUCCCACAAUACUGCUGAAGCAAAAUAAGACUAGUGGUGGCAAGAAAGUUGACAACAUCUACGCCCACAACAGAUUGUGUUCUACUCGUGCAAAGAGAACUAUGCAUAGACCUAGCUCAUGAUGCCACUGUUGGGGAAUGUUGCAGAAAAUAAAAAAAAUUCUACGAUUUCACCAAGAUCAAUCUAUGAGUUCAUCUAGCAACGAGAGAGAGGAGUGCAUCUACAUACCCUUGUAGAUCGAGCAGAAGCGUUCAAGAGAACGGGGUUGAGGGAGUCGUACUCGUCGUGAUCCAAAUCACCGGAGAUCCUAGCGCCGAAUGGACGGAACCUCCGCGUUCAAGACACGUACGGUCAGCAUGACGUCUCCUCCUUCUUGAUCCAGCAAGGGGGAAGGAGAGGUUGAUGAAGAUCCAGCAGCACGACGGCGUGGUGGUGGAUGCAGCAGGGAUCCAGGCAGGGUUUCGCCAAGCGUCUGCGGGAGGGAGAGGUGUAGCAAGGGGGAAGGGAGGCGCCAAGUGCAAGGGUGCGGCUGCCCUCCCUCCCCCCUCUUUAUAUAGGGUCCCUAGGGGGGCGCCGGCCCAAGGAGAUUGAAUCUCCAAGGGGGGCGGCCAAGGGGGUGCCUUGUCCCCCAAGGCAAGUGGAGGCGCCCCCUCCCCUAGGGUUCCCAACCCUAGGCGCAUGGGGGGCCCAAGGGGGGGGCGCACCAGCCCACCAGGGGCUGGUUCCCCUCCCACUUCAGCCCAUGGGGCCCUCCGGGAUAGGUGGCCCCACCCGGUGGACCCCCUGGGACCCUUCCAGUGGUCCCGGUACAAUACCGGUGACCCCCGAAACUUUCCCGAUGGCCGAAAGUCGACUUCCCAUAUAUAAUUCUUUACCUCUGGACCAUUCCAGAACUCCUCGUGACAUCCGGGAUCUCAUCCGGGACUCCGAACAACUUUCGGUUUGCUGCAUACUAAUAUCUCUACAACCCUAGUGUCAUCGAACCUUAAGUGUGUAGACCCUACGGGUUCGGGAGACACGUAGACAUGAACGAGACGGCUCUCCGGUCAAUAACCAACAGCAGGAUCUGGAUACCCGUGUUGGCUCCCACAUGCUCCUCGAUGAUCUCAUCGGAUGAACCACGAUGUCGAGGAUUCAAGCAACCCCGUACACAAUUCCCUUUGUCAAUCGGUAUGUUACUUGCCCGAGAUUCGAUCGUCGGUAUCCCAAUACCUCGUUCAAUCUCGUUACCGGCAAGUCACUUUACUCGUACCGCAAUGCAUGAUCCCGUGACCAGAGACUUGGUCACUUUGAGCUCGUUAUGAUGAUGCAUUACCGAGUGGGCCCAGAGAUACCUCUCCGUCAUACGGAGUGACAAAUCCCAGUCUCGAUCCGUGUCAAGCCAACAGACACUUUCGGAGAUACCCGUAGUAUACCUUUAUAGUCACCGAGUUACGUUGUGACGUUUGGUACACCCAAAGCACUCCUACAGUACCCGGGAGCUACACGAUCUCAUGGUCUAAGGAAAAGAUACUUGACAUUGGAAAAGCUCUAGCAAACGAACUACACGAUCUUGUGCUAUGCUUAGGAUCGGGUCUUGUCCAUCACAUCAUUCUCCUAAUGAUGUGAUCCCGUUAUAAAUGACAUCCAAUGUCCAUAGUCAGGAAACCAUGACUAUCUGUUGAACAACGAGCUAGUCAACUAGAGGCUCACUAGGGACAUGUUGUAGUCUAUGUAUUCACACGUGUAUUAUGAUUUCCGGAUAAUAAAAUUAUAGCAUGAAUAAAAGACAAUUAUCAUGAACAAGGAAAUAUAAUAAUAAUCCUUUUAUUAUUGCCUCUAGGGCAUAUUCCCAACACUCACCAACUGGUUCCAGCAAAAACCAUGGCUAUAUGUAGCAUCACAGUGUCCCGUUGUAGCUUUUCUCUUCGGUGAGCAUAGCUUUCUUCCGUCGUUUUUCUUCAAAGAUGGCACAUUUAUGAUUUUAUCUUAGGAGCUAUAAGGGGCAUUUACUUUUAUGUCAUCGUAUUAGAGAAAAGGGCUAAGAGACGAGUAAUAAAAGGGUAAUAUUUAGUAUAAAUAUUUUUUUCAUUUAGCUUUGAAUUGUCAUUUACGUCGCAAAUGUUAUAACCUCUCCAGGCCGUACCUUGUGAGCUUGCUUCAAAUUGUUCUCUUAUGAGAAUUUUCCUCUAUAUUAUUUAAGGUUUACUUAGUGAUAGUGUUUGGACGUAAGUACCAGGUUGAAGCCAAUGUGCCCAAGGUAUAGUUCCCCACUCAGGACUGCAGAGAUUACCCCUUGAUAUUUGAAACAUGGGAACUCGUACUUGAAAAAAGAAACAAGGGCAUCUCGAGGAGAAAUGAUGGUGAUAAAAAAUUCUCCCUCCGAUCCAUUAUAAGUGUCGUGGUUUAGCUCAAAUGUAUAAUACAUAUAUGACAACUAAUUAUUAGUGGAAUUACCUUUCACUACCAAAAACUAGGACCAACUAUAAAUCCUCUUUGCCAAAUAUGAUUUUAGCUAGAUGAUAAGGGCGAGGCGCCUUACCCUGCAGACUAUGCAACUUUCGAAUUUGGUCAACACAACAUAUUGUCAAUAGUGAAUUUCCAUGAAUUUUGACAGUGGCAUACAUCUUAAUUAUUAUUUUAGAAGAACCUUAGUUAGUUAUGUAAUUAUUUGACGUACUCAUGUGGUACAUGUGCGGACCAACAUGUUCAGAAGGUUUAACUAGAGAAUAUGUUGGAUUAAUUUAUGUUUAGUACGGCGGGCAUCCGGAUCUAUCGAGGACAAGGUCCACUGAUGGCUACUGAUGAUCUCAUAACUAAUUUUUUGGACAUGGUCUACUGACUUUUUGGUUACUAAUCGUUUUCUCCCCAGACCCGGACUACUGACGGCUACCAAUCUCAUCUUCUCCACUGUUAGUUUUCUAUUAAAGCUAUGGAGCCAAGCAUAUAUAAUAAUAUCAGUUUCAGGAGAUAACGUGUACGAUGUUAUUUUCAUGCACCUAGUCAACGCGCUUACACCCGAUGCUCCUUUAACACAUCCAUAGCCUAUAUAUGUCGACACACUAGUAUCAAUGAUCUCACAACACCAUCUAUCCCGCAGCCAUUUCUCUCAUUAGCUUCCUUGGAGGUUGUGAUCAUUAGUUGAUCAGAUAACAUAACCAAUUUUCUCCCUAGCGCUAACUUCCAUCCCCCAUCAUAUUUUCAGUUAGUACUACUAAGUCAGCAAGCUAGUAGAUCCAUAUUUAAUCCAUGGAGACCAAAGCUCUUAUUCUGAUCACCGUGGCCAUGACCAUGCUUGGGAUGGCACUUGGUGCCAGCCACACCGUAGGCGCACCGCACGGGUCAUGGGACCUUCAGACCAACUACUCUCAGUGGGUUUCGAGAAUCAGAUUCACCACCGGCGAUGAGCUCAAGUUCCAGUACUCCGCCGCCGUGCACAACGUGGUGGAGGUGAGCAAGACGGGGUUGACUCCUGCAACGGCUCCAGCCCCAUAGCGACUUUCCCGAGUGGUAAUGAUGUUGUUCCGCUUGCCACCGUCGGGACCCGGUAUUUCAUCUGCGGCGUCUCUAGGCAUUGCGACGCCGGCAUGAAGGUCGAGGUCAACGUCAAGUCGAAAGAAGUGCGGACUGUGCAGCGAUGCCGACGGAGAGGGAACCGGCGUCACUGCCAGUCCGAGACAGUAUUAAGCUCAGCUGCGGCGGCUGGCGUCGAUCAGUCCACGGUGGCCCGGCUUGGUCUGAUAGUUGUUGCGGCUGGUCUUACGUUGUUCUUUUAGAGUGAACAAUGAUUCUGGUCCUUUUUUCCUUGUUCAGUCGUAGGAGGGUCCCUUCGUGUAUUAAAUUCAAUUCUUUUGUUAAAUGUAAUUGCAUUCAUUAUAAUUGAAUUUAACAUAUUUUCUUGCAAAACCCCAAAUAAUAACCAAGCGUGUAACCACGAAAUAAAUUUAUCAAAGAUGUGUUGAGUGCAACGACAUUACAUCCAUCCAUUAUAUACAACAGAAAUUCAGGCAGAGCUAAAUUCGCCUAGAUAAGUAAAAUGAUAUUUAAGGCGAAACAUUGGGGUAAACACCCAGUGCAACAUUUUACAUUAUUGGGAAAUGUAUGUACACACUGGUUUGAGAUAAGCCUAAAAAGAAGAUAAAUGAAGAAAACAAACCCUAACAAACCGAGCCAAAAAAAAAGAAGAAACAGAAAUUGCAAGACUUCAGAUCGCCAAGCUUUGAAAGCAUUGCCAUAUUUUGUUUUCAUCUUGUGUCCAAAAAUCUGCUCGCCAAGAAACAGAAAUUACAAGAGUUCAGCUCGCCAAGCCCUUGUUCAUCCUGUUACCAUCAAGCUAAAAUCAUCAGCUCAGGACCCCUUACCCGAGAUCUGCCGGAUUUAACCCCGCCACGGGCUACGUGGCUUUGCUCUCCAGGGAGCGACGUGGUGGCGGGUGCUGACGGUGUACCUUGGCCCUGUGGGUGGUGAGGUGCACGGUGAUGGGUGAUCUUGGCGUAGCAGACGACUUCGAUGAAAGCUUUGCCUUGAUCUGGAUGUGGUGCUCCCAUUCUGUCGUGAUGGGGUCCCGUUAGAGUUUCCUCGAUGUGGUGGGAGUUGUGGUCGAGCGAAAGCUUUGCGCUCUGGCGCCGGCGGCGACAAGGCCUGCAGGUGUUGUAUCCCUCUUGGGGCAUCACCUUGUACUUCUUCUUGUCAUCCAACUCUUAGGGUGAAACCUUUCUUAGCUUCGGCUGAUGCGGCGGUGGCGACGCUUUGGGUCGUUACCCUCCUGGGGGCAUCGCCGGUGAGGGUGUCUUCUUCUUGCACGAUGGUGGGUUUCAUGUGCUUCUUCUCGGUUGCUAGCUCCAGGCGUUUAGGUGCACUUAGAGCGUUUUGAGUGUUCUUGGCUAGUAUUAUCGAUUUUCUUUAGAUCAGCUUAUGAGGUUCUGCCAUGUAUCAGGUCAUUUUGUAUCGGUUUGGUUGUUUAUGCCUUUAUCUAUGAAGGGGGCGAAAGCUUGUUUCGAGAGAGAGAAUGAUUCGUGAAAUCGGUUGUCCUUGAUGGCCUAUUACAAUGGCGCGCAUGGUGACCGAUCUUGACCAAAUUCAGUCGAGCAACGCCUAUUACUGCCCUUCUUGUAUUUGUUAUCCUGCCUUCUAUAUAAUAAAGGUAUGGUACGUAAUUUAUGUACCAUUGUGAAAAGAUGAUUACGUUUUAUUUUCCAAUUUUUACAGUGGCGUACAUCUUAAUAAAUCAAUUAUCGCGUGGUAGGAAUAUGCACGCGCACACCAAUACGUUCAUAAUUUUAAUCAAAGAUUAUGUUCAAAUAAUUAAUGUUUAGCACGCUCGAGCACCAGAUCGAUAGCAGCAGCCGCCAGACCCAGUCUACUCUCGGUUAUGGAUCCCAUCGCCACCAUUAUUAGAUUAUCAUCAUGGUAUAAUAGGCGAGCCAAGCAUGCACGCACCAACAUGUAUUUAAAUUCAUCUGGGAGUACUCGUAUUCAUGCAUCUUAGACCUACUAUACCUCACCUGGUCAACACGUUCUCACCUGAUGAACCUAGCUUGACCAAUCCAUCGCCUAUAUAUUUUGACAUAGUGGCAUCAACGAUCUUACAACACCUUCCAUCGUGUAACCAUUCUUUCUGCAACUUCCUUAGAUCCUAUCAAAUUUCUCUCUAGUGCUAACUUCUAGCUCCGAUCUUUUCAGUUAGUUAGUUGGUCGACAUUUAAUCCAUGGGGGCUAAAGUUCUUAUCUUGAUCACCCUGGCCGUGGCCAUGCUCGGGAUGGUGCUCGGCGCCAGUCACACGGUGGGCGCGUCGGCCGGAUCAUGGGACCUGCAGACCAACUACACCCCGUGGGCUUCGAGAACUAGGUUUACCAUCGGCGAUGAGCUCCAGUUUCAGUACUCCACCACCGUGCACAAUGUGGUGGAGGUGAGGAAGGCUGGGUAUGACGCCUGCAACAGCUCUAGCCCCAUCGCGAUGUUCCUGACCGGCAACGACAUCGUCCCACUUGCGGCCAUUGGGACGCGGUACUUCAUUUGCGGCGUUCCAGGGCAUUGCAUCGCCGGUAUGAAGGUUCAAGUCAACGUGAAGUCGAAGGCAGUACGGACAAUACAACGGUGCCGAGGGACGGGAAAGCGGUUCCGGUGCCGGUACGAGACUGUAUUAAGCUCGGCCACGGUGGCUGGCAUUGAUCAGUCUGCGAGGGCGCGGCUAGGUCUGGCCAUUGUCGUGACUAGUCUCAUGUUGUUCAUUUAGUGACCGACGAUUGAGGUGCCUUUUCUUCUUGACGCACCCUGCAUGCUUAUUUGUGUAUUGUAAAUCGCUUCUUUUGUUAAAUGUAAUUUUUCCAUUAUAAUUCGAUUUAACAUAUCUUCUUGCAAAGCCGAACUAUAAUCAAGUGUUUAUAAUCAUGGAAUAAAUAAAGCGCAGUGCUAGGUGCCAUUUGGCCGGCCCAAAUUCUGGUCGGCCGCGCACUAGUCAUCAGAUGCAAGUUGCGUAGGCCGGCUGAUUUGGCUGUUCAGCUCCUUCCUCCUCACACCUUGCGCAGCUUGCCAAUGCCCCCCCCCCCCUCGACAACAUCGCACGUCCUGUCGCGUAGGUCCCUAGCACCGCGCCACGCUGGAGAGAUGCAGUAUCAAUGGUUUCUGCCGCUCUGAUGCUCGCAAUAGACACUCGCACUAGUUCCAGCAAAAACUCUCUCUGGUUCCAGCAUUUGCAUGCGCUUGUUGUAACAUCUCGCCGGCAAGCCGGUGCUCACCGUCGCUGAUUCCAGCAUCUACAAUCUCUAGUUCCAGCAAAUGCGCGAGCCAAUUCCAGCAAAAAGACUUCGCCUGUGGCCCGUUGGUUCCAGCAAAAAUGCGCAGCUCGCAGUCACCACCGUCGUAGCUACUCUGAUGACUGCUUGCAGCUUUUUUGCCGACGGGUCCCAGCACCUCGCCACGUUGCUAGAAGCAUGCCGCCAUUCGGCGUCAGUCCGCGCCGUUGUAGCUCGCGGGAACCAUGGCCGCACGGUCGCUGAGGUUUCGCAGCUUUUCUCCUGCCUCAUUCGAGCAUCCACACAUGUCAACUCCAGCAAAAAAGAUGACCGGAUGCAGCAUCUCACUACUAGGGAAAAGCCUAGCAGUAGCGCUGGUUUUUGGCCUAUCAGUAGCGUGGGUAGGCACGCUACUGAUAAGGCGCUACAGCUAAAGCUUAGCAGUAGCGCCGACUGGCACGCGCUACUGAUAUAUCUUCUUAGUAGUAGCGCUUUCCAUGCCAAUCGCUACUGCUAACUACUAUUAGCGCUUUCGAGAAUAACCGCUACUACUAUUAUUCCGUAUUCCAUUUCUUUUGAAUUUUAGGUCGUAUUCAUACACCUGUAUACAAUUUUUCAUACAGUAGCAAUUUAGAGAUUGUUUUAACAUCAUAAUGAGUUAUUAAAUCAUUAGGUGAAAUAACUUUGGAUUAGUUUCAAGUGCAUGGAUCCAAAGUAACCAAUGGUCACUUUGGAUCCAUCCAUUUGAAGCUAAUCCGCGGUUCUUUCACCCAGUGACAUAAUAACUUAUCAUCAUCAUCAUAAUAUCAUUAACAACUUAUCAUCAUAAUAUAUCAUUGUCAUAUAACUUCUCAUAAUCAUCAUUUUCGUCCAUGAUGAGACAUCAUAUAACAACUUCGUCACUAGUUAUAAUGACAAACUCCUCCUCAUCAUCAUCAUAGUACUCAUAAUCACUACUCCUACUCAGCAUCACCAUCAAGUCUAAGACAUUGUAGUCAUAUAUAAUCAACACUAACUAUUUUUUCUUAAUAGUUAGGACCUACUCCUCUCUCCUAGCUAAAAUACCAUAAAAUAGAUAAACCGGUCCUUCACCAUAAUGGAGAAUGGACAUAAACCUAUCUCGAACUUGUGGCUUGCGCACAUUCAUUUUGUCUCCAAUUAUUUGCGUGUGUGCAUUCAUCACUUUGCUCCAUUCUUUGAUUUUGAGCCUUCGAUCAUUUGAAGAAAACGAGUAUGCAAUAUGGUAAGCCUCCGAAGGAGUUGGUCGUAAGCUAACCAUAUGCAUAUCACCUUCGGUACAUAGCAUGUCAGGCACAACCUGCUUCGGGAGCCUCUUUUCAAAACCGAAAUAGUAACAUAUAUAGUUAGCAAUGUAGUUUACUUAAGAAUAAUGUAUGCAAUGAAGUUACCAUCAUUAACAAAAUCUUACCAAGUUUUUGGCAAUGAAGUUACCAUCAAGCAAUGUAUGGACUAGUGGCACGUAUCUAGUAUAAUUUGGGCUGAUAGAGUGACUGGUUUUGAAGGCCUCAACAUCUUCUAUGAAUGAGACAAGAUAACCUUUCUCCUCACAAUUAAGCUUGGAAUCAUAGCUGUAGUGUGUGUUGUGUACUACCUUUCGAGUAUUUCUUGAAGAUAAGAAAUAAGCUGACAAUUAUAAAUAAAUAAGUUUAGUACGGACGAACACCAAGUAUUUUUAAAUUAACAACAUAAAUGACUGAACUUAACAAAUUAGUUUGACAAACUCACAUUUAGGUAAAACUAGAGGCAUAUGCACAUCCACCCAGAUGUCGACAUUAUCAUCAUCAUCAUCAUAAUCUUCAGGACGAAUAUGAAAUCUUAUUCGCAUUCCCUCCUCAAAUCCAUAUGCCUUGCAGAGAGCUUCACAAUUAGAGCAACCAAAAUGGGAGCGAUCGACCGCAUUGUAGAACUUAACCAGAAACUCAUAACCAUGUUUAGUUCUUAAGUGAGCCCUCAUCGUCUCCACAUUCUCAAAGUCAUCUAAACCAAAACCAAGCUUCUCCAAUACAUAUGGUCUAGCAUGGCACGGGAUGUACUAGUCUGAGUUGAAAAAAAAUUCAUAAAUUACAUGUUGAACAAAAGAAGCACAAGUGAUGAUAUUUAUUACGAUGAAAUGCUUGUCGUUGCGUACCGUACAAACACCGAAGGUCUCUUCCAGCUUCACGGUGAAAAACCUAUCAUUUUGCAGGUGAGGAAACCUGUCGCACACAACACGGUCAUCGUAGCAGUACCCACACUCCGGGAUCCCAUCGUCAUCAGACAUCUCCUGUGUUCAAAAUUCAAAGAUUAUAACUCGACAGCAAAACCCAAAAAAUCCGGCAUGACCUUUGCUAAAAAGAUAUAUCGAGCACCUGAAAUUUGCCGGAACGGAAAUUAAUCAACACUUCGGCAAAACAUAGGCCAUUUAUCGAUGGUCAUUGCAUUUCAGUGGUUCAAAAUAUGAAAAUAUCUUAUAUAUAAUCCUAACAGUAAAUAAACUAGUUUUAUUAACUACUUACUAAAUAAACUAGUUUUAUUAACUACUUACUAAAUAAAGUAGUUUUAUUAAGCACUUACUACAAAUAAACUAGUUCUAUUAAGCACUUACCAAAUAAACUAGUUCUAUUAAGUACCUAAUAUAAAUAAACUAGUUAUAUUAAUCACUUACUAAAUAAACUAUUUUCUAUUAAACACUUGCUAAAAAUUCUACUACCCUAGUUCUACCCUAAAUUUUCUUACUUCUAUUUUAUUCAAAACACCUACGAUUUGCAAGAACAGAGACAAGGGAGGGAGGGAGGAGAGAGGAGGGAGAGGGGGUGGCCCAAGGAGGAGNNNNNNNNNNNNNNNNNNNNNNNNNNNNNNNNNNNNNNNNNNNNNNNNNNNNNNNNNNNNNNNNNNNNNNNNNNNNNNNNNNNNNNNNNNNNNNNNNNNNNNNNNNNNNNNNNNNNNNNNNNNNNNNNNNNNNNNNNNNNNNNNNNNNNNNNNNNNNNNNNNNNNNNNNNNNNNNNNNNNNNNNNNNNNNNNNNNNNNNNNNNNNNNNNNNNNNNNNNNNNNNNNNNNNNNNNNNNNNNNNNNNNNNNNNNNNNNNNNNNNGAAGAGGAGGAGGGAGGGGCGGUGGGAGGAGGGCUGCCGGCGGAGGAGGAAGGAGGGGGCGGCCGUAGGCGGAGGGAGGAGGGCGCGGUGGGAGGAGGAGGGAGGAGGGCGCGGUGGGAGGAGGAGGAGGGAUGGAAGGAGGGAGUACCUCGGUGGCGGACGGACGACGGUGAUUAUCGGCGCGGGCGAGAGUGAUGGGGGAGAGUGAGUGAGAGAGAGGGGUCGAUGAGGGAGUCCUGGAUUAGGGGGUCCUUGGACAGCCGGACUAUAUGCUUAUGGCAGAAUGUUGGACUAUGAAGAUACAAGAUUGAAGACUUCGUCCCGUGUUCGGGUGGGACUCUUCUUUGCGUGGAAGGCAAGCUUGGCGAUUCGGAUAUGUAGAUUCCCUUCUCUGUAACCGACUCUGUGUAACCCUAGCCCCCUCCAGUGUCUAUAUAAACCGGAGGGUUUAGUCCGUAGGACGACAACAAUCAUAAUCAUAGGCUAGCUUCUAGGGUUUAGCCUCUACGAUCUCGUGGUAGAUCAACUCUUGUAAUACUCAUAUCAUCAAGAUCAAUCAAGCAGGAAGUAGGGUAUUACCUCCAUAGAGAGGGCCCGAACCUGGGUAAACAUCGUGUCCCCCGCCUCCUGUUACCAUUAGCCUUAGACGCACAGUUCGGGACCCCCUACCCGAGAUCCGCCGGUUUUGACAGCGACAUUGGUGCUUUCAUUGAGAGUUCCACUCUGUCGUCACCAUAAGGCUUGAUGGCCCCUUCGAUCAUCUACAAUGAUGCUAUCUAGGGUGAGGUUUUCCUCCCCAGACAGAUCUUCGUAUUCUGCGGCUUCGCACUGCGGGUCAACUUGCUUGGCCAUCUGGAGCAGAUCGAUAGCUACGCCCCUGGCUAUCAGGUCGGGUUUGGAUGCCUGAAUUACACUGCCGACAUCCACGAAGACUUGAUCUUCGACGGAUUCGAGCCCAUGACAGGUGCACCCUAUAGUCGCGAUGAGCAUGACUUAGAUCUGCCAUCGGACGAUGUUCAGGAGAUCACACCUGCAGCUUCCCCAGCUUUACAUCUAGAGCAGAUCGUGCCAUCCGAGGACGGGUUGAUGGACUAGCCACGGAGGCUGCACACUCAGCGGAGAUAGAGCCGAACACAGAUUUCACUUCCAAGGAGGUCUGUGUCAUCGGAUCCUCGGACUCAUCUCCGGCCAUAUGCUCCGAACCGCGUACAUCCGUGCCCAUCGGAUCUAAUUGGGUACCGAUCAUGGAGUUUAGCUCCACGGAUAUCUUUCAGCACUCACCCUUGGGCGACGUGCUAAACUCAUUAAAAUCUCUCUCCCUGUCAGGAGACUCUCGACCGAACUAUGUCCGGCUGGAGUGGGAAGCGGACGACGAAGAAAUUCGUACCCACCCACCACCCACUUAAUAGCCACUGUCAAUGACUCAACCGACAUGCUUGAUUUUGACUCUGAAGACAUCGACUGUAUGGACGACGAUACCGGGGUAGAACAGGAACCACCGCCCAUAGGGCGCUGGACAGCCACCUCAUCAUAUGACAUAUACAUGGUGGACACACCCAAAGAAAACAAUGGCGAGGAGCAGAAGGAUGCAACGACUCCUGAGAAGCAGCCAAAGCGCCGACAUCAGUGGCGCCGCUCUAAACCCCGCCAUAGCAAAAACAGCGAUACUGGUACAAGAAAGAAUAACACCCCAGACAAUGCCGAAGACAAUGACGACCCCGCAGACCCAGCGAUGAAGCAGGACGGGCCAGGAGACGGCAAACACAGUCCAGGGCCGCUGUCCGAUCACAGCGAUGCCGAAGACAAAACUUAUAAACCUGUCUCUGGAGAGGAGAACAGUCCGGACGAUGAUGCACACAUCAUCUCGGAAAAGCACUUGGAACAAGAGCACCUCUACAAAAGGCUUAUUUCCACCGCGAGGAGCUUGAAGAAGCAGAAGCAAUGGCUUAAAGCCGCGCAGGAUAUGCUCAACCACAGAUGGAACAAAGUGCUCGACACUGAAGAAAUAUACGGCGGUGAUCACCACACAAAGAGCUACCCAAAACGCAAGCUGCUACCCGAAUUCGACGACGAGGCUAUCGCGCCCAUUCCGCCAAAAAACAACACGACCGAUCUGCCGGACCGACCACCCCGUGGCCGAGACAGAGCGGCUAAUGACGCUGCACACAAGUCAGCACACGGUCUACGUGAGCACCUGGACAAAAGAGCUGGUAUGACCAAGUCCAUCUAUGGAUCUAGGAAACGUGUUCCUACGCAGGAUCACGACCACCAAACCGACUAUAAUGAUCGACUACCAGCUCGGAAUCAACACCGAACACUACAGCCAUCGGAACCACGCCACAACACAUCCAAGUACAGGGGCACCGCACACCCCCUGUGCUUCAUUGAUGAGGUGCUGGAUCAUGAAUUUCCAGAGGGGUUUAAACCCGUAAACAUCGAGGCAUACGACGGAACGACAGACCCUGCAGUCUAGAUUGAGGACUUUAUUCUUCACAUCCAUAUGGCUCACGGAGACGAUCUCCAUGCCAUCAAAUACCUGCCCCUCAAGUUGAAAGGACCAGGUCGACACUGGUUGAAAAGCCUUCCCGAAAAUUCCAUUGGAAGCUGGGAGGAACUCGAGGACGCUUUCAGGGCUAAUUUUCAAGGGACAUACGUUCGACCCCCGGAUGCAAACGAUUUAAGUCGCAUAAUUGAACAACCCGGAGAGUCAGCCCGUAAGCUUUGGAACAGAUUUCUCACCAACGAUGCCGAAGCCCUAGAAGCUUUCAAACACAGUGUCCGGGACGAAUGGCUUGCCAGACACCUCGGCCAGGAAAAGCCAAGGACAAUGGCAGCCCUAACAACUCUUAUGACCCACUUUUGCGCAGGUGAGGACAGUUGGUUGGCCCGAAGCGGCACCAACGAUCCAGGCACAUCCGAAAUAAGGGAUGGCAAUGGAAAAUCGUGACGCAAUAAAAACAAGCGUCAAAAUAAUGAAGGCAGCCCAGACAACACAAUGGUAAACACUGGAUUCAGGAGCUCCAGACCCGGUCAACGGAAAAAGCCAUUUAAAGGCAGUAGAGAUGGACCGUAUAGUCUAAAUAAAAUUUUAGACAGGUCCUAUCAAAUUCAUGGCACCCCCGAGAAACCUGCGAAUCACACCGACAGAGAAUUCUGGGUCUUCAAGAAGGCCGGCAAGCUAAAUGCUGAACACAAGGGGAGGGAGCCGCCAAGUGAAGACGAGGACGAACCUCGCCAGCCGAACACUGGGGAAUAGAAAAAAAUCCACCGGAGGUCAAAAUAGUGAACAUGAUUUACGCCACCCACAUACCAAAGGGGAAGCGCAAACGGGCACUCUGAGACGUAUACGCUGUAGAACUAGUCGCCCCCAAAUUCAAUCCAUGGUCGACCUGCCCAAUCACUUUCGAUCGCAGGGAUCAUCCGACUAGUAUCCGGCAUGGAGGUUCGGCCGACUUGGUGAUCGACCCAAUAAUUGACGGAUACCAUCUCACCCGAGUCCUCAUGGACGGCGGCAGUAGUCUUAAUCUGAUAUAUCAGGACACUGUCCACAAGAUGGGGAUAGACCCGUCAAGAAUCAACCAAAGCAGUACUACCUUUAAAGGAGUAAUACCAGGCGUAGAGGCCCGCUGCACAGGCUCUUUGACGUUAGUGGUUGUAUUCGAUUCUCCCGACAACUUUCGAAGCGAAGAACUAAUCUUCGACAUCGCUCCGUUCCAAAGCGGUGGUCAUGCACUACUCGGAAGAAUGGUCUUCACCCGUUUCAAUGCAGUACUGCAUUACGAUUAUCUCAAACUUAAGAUGUCUGGUCCACAUGGCGUCAUCACAAUCAGCGGAAACACAGACCGUUCUCUUCGUGCGAAAGAUUACAUGGAGGCUCUAGCAGCCGAACCACUGAACGGCCCUCCAACCCAAGUAACUCAUCGGUCUUCGAGACCACAGACACGGCUAGACGCGUACGGCGCACACCUAGUUAUAGCAGCCCAGAUAAACCUGAGCUUGAUUAAUGGCUAUGCCCCCAUAUGUGGUGCUAGGGGCUACCCGCAUGUAAAAGGCCCAUAGUUCGGCUCGACCCUAUUUACACUCAAGAGAUCAAAUUUUCACGGUUCAUUAAGAUUAACCGACUUUACGCACGGUCACACCAGAUUCUUUCACCUAGGUUUUUCUUUCUUUUUACAGAUGACCAUCGUGCUAUGCCCUUCCAGGAUACAGCACAACGGAGACAAAGGCAUAGACGUGCAGCAGGGCCCCGUUCAAAGGUUUCUUUUUAGAUUAAGACCCUGUGUAAACCUUUUUGAUUGUCUCUUGUUGGCCCACACCCUCUUGGUACUUAAAAUGACCAAGAGGGAUACUGGCGUCAUUGGCAAGCUUAUGAUUCACCAAUCUAAAAUAGACAUUACAGGGGCCGCAACCAAUGUGUUUUUGGGAUCUAUGCUCUCACCACAGCCGCUCUUUCAUCACGCCGGAUUAAUGCACGUACCUAGAAAUUCAGGGCUCGUUAUCGAGGGCGGUACUCAGCCCAGUAUAUGUUGUCAAGUCCGAAUACCUUCGGGAGUAUUCGGCGUCGCGAGUUUGGCCUUAUAUGCAUCAGCUCCGAAUCAUGUCUUUGGUCAAUAGUUGGGUUUGCCCGUCUCUUGUGUUUUGCUACCUUACGUUCCACUCUAUCGGCUAAGGUGGCACCGGGAGAACUACUGCGAUUGUGCCCUGGUUCAUCCGGAUGAGCACCUCAGUAGAGAAAGCCAAAAACUGACUGUCAUGAUAAAGCGAGAGACUGGUCAACCACUCGAUGACUCAGCGGAAUCUUAGCGAUUCAUCUGCAUUAACGAAGGACCGGUUUCCUGGUCACGUAUGUACACGCACCGUAUUCGGAUGAAAGCGAACAUACCAGGGGCUAUAUAGUAGCCCCACUGUCAAACUCCUAUGGCUAAGUGAAAGUGUUAAAGCUAUAUAGUCUGAUUGCCUUGUUCGCCGCGCUACCACCUCCUUAACGUACCAAGACAUUGGAUCAAGUGUGAUUACGCGCUUUGCCGAACACCCCCGCAUUAUAUGCGAGGGGGCUGAAGCCGACGACUGCAAACUUUCAGGUUAUAUACAUAUAUACAUAAGCGGCCGCACAGGAGGCACUACAAUACUUUACGGGCAAAAGUAUACAUAUAGCCUUUAUUAUCAAAAGCAUUGUUUUUACAAACAAGAUACAUGUCAUUUGAACAUGGUAUUCUUUGAGCACUGAGCCUCUAUUAAACGGGCACCUUCUAAGACUUCUUCAAAAUAGUGCUCGGGCAAGUCCUGGCCCCCGGGCGGAACCCUGGUUGCAAUAUCGGUGGCCUCCAUCUUCGCCCAAUAUGUCUUAACACGGGCAAGGGCCAUCCGCGCACCCUCUAUGCACGCCGACCUCUUGACAGCGUUGAUAUGCGGCACAGCACAAAUAAAUCGUUGCACCAAACCAAAAUAACUAUCUAGACUUGGUUCCGUCGGCCACAGGUGAUCCACGACGGCCUUCAUGGCAAGCCCGGAUAACCUAUGGAGCUCGGCCCAUUCGGCCAUUUGCUCAUUCAACAGCAGCGGACGCCUUGGAGUACUGAACUGCGACCAGAACAAUCUUUCCAUUUCAUGAUCUUCUCGAUCUUCGAAAUACUGUGUCGCAUCAGCAGCACUCUUUGCCAAAUCCAAGUAUGCGUCUGAAGAACUCCACAAUUGAUCAAGAGGGGCAUACUUCGGAUCGCCGAAUUUCGUUCACAACAAAAAGGGCUUCCCAGCCGCGAUCUCACCGGCUUGCCGAAGCUCCUCCCGAGCCGCUCUGAUCUCAGAGUGAGUUUCCUUUGCUGCUUAGAAGGCCUUCUUUAGGUCAGCCGUUUUCUUUUGGUUUUCCCUUUCAAGAAGUUCAUAUCGGCUGGCGACAUUUUGUAGCUCAAGAGCCAUGUCGGCUAUUUUAUCCUCGCUUUGGUGAUGAGCAGCCUGUUCGGCUUUUAAUUCAUCAGCUGCCUUCACGGCGGCCGCAUUGCUUCUCCUGGCUUGCUCCUUGGCCCGGGCAAGAUCUGCCCGAAGGGUCUCCACAGCGGCAGCACCAUCUGUACUCAAAGCAUAUUAUAAAUCCUAGCAUCAUGCUCUUAUUAAUAUUUGCUGACCACCCAAAUAUACAUACCCUGUGCCUUGUCAAGCCGCUUGUUCACAAGUGUGAUGUCUGCAUCCGCCACGUCAAGUUGCCGCCUCACUUCAGCAAAUUCAGCAGUUCAGUCAGCCGCCGGAGAUGCAGACGCCUGCACACAAAAUUGGCACCAUCAUUACCUAAGACUAUGAUCCUCUGCUCGCCUCGUCCGGAUGGCAACCAGAGUCUCAGGGGCUACUAUCCAUACAAAGUGCACUGAUACGUCUCCGUCGUAUCUAUAAUUUUUGAUUGUUCCAUGCCAAUAUUAUUCAACUUUCAUAUACUUUUGGUAACUUUUUAUAUUAUUUUUGUGACUAACAUAUUGAUCCAGUGCCUAGUGCCAGUUCCUGUCUGUUGCAUGUUUUAUGUUUCGUAGAAACCCCAUACCAACGGAGUCUAAACAGGAUAAAAACGGACAGAUAAUUAUUUUGGAAUAUUUGUGUUUUUUGGGAAGUAAAAUCAACGCAAGACGGUGCCCGAGGUGGUCAGGAGAUAGGGGCCCACGCCCACUCUAGGUGGGCACGCCCCCACCCUCCUAGGCCCCUCGUAAGGCGGUUGAUGCCCUUCUUUGGCUGCAAGAAAGCUAAUUUUUGGAAAAAUAUCUGGGCGAAGGUUUCAAUCCAAUCGGAGUUACGGAUCUCUGGAUAUAAAAGAAACGGUGCCAGGGCAGAAUUCCAGAACGCGGAAACAGAGAGAGACAGAGAGAUAGAUCCAAUCUUGGAGGGGCUCUCGCCCCUCCCACACCAUGGGAGCCAAGGACCAGAGGGUAAACCCUUCUCCCAUCUAGGGAGGAGGUCAAGGAAGAAGAAGAAGAAGGGGAGCUCUCUCCCCCUUGCUUCCGGUGGCGCCGGAGCGCUGCCGGGGCCAUCAUCAUCACCGCGAUCUUCACCAAUACCUCCGCCAUCUUCACCAACAUCUCCAUCACCUUCCCCCAUCUAUAUUCAGCGGUCCACUCUCCCGCAACCCGCUAUACCCUCUACUUGAACAUGGUGCUUUAUGCUUCAUAUUAUUAUCCAAUGAUGUGUUGCCAUCCUAUGAUGUCUGAGUAGAUUUUCGUUGUCCCACCGGUGAUUGAUGAAUUGCUAUGAUUGGUUUGAAUUGCAUGUUUUAUUAUUGGUGCUGUCCUAUUGUGCUCUCAGUGUCGCGCAAGCGUGAGGGAUCCCCGCUGUAGGGUUUGCAAUAUGUUCAUGGUUUGCUUAUGGUGGGUGGCGUGAGUGACAGAAGCACAGACCCGAGUAAGUAGGUUGUUUGUGUAUGGGAUAAAGGGGACUUGAUACUUUAAUGCUAUGGUUGGGUUUUACCUUAAUGAUCUUUAGUAGUUGCAGAUGCUUGCUAGAGUUCCAAUCAUAAGUGCAUAUGAUCCAAGAAGAGAAAGUAUGUUAGCUUAUGCCUCUCCCUCAAAUAGAAUUGCAAUAGUGAUUACCGGUCUAGUAACGUAGUCAAUUUCUUAGGGACAAUUUCACAACUCCUACCGCCACUUUUCCACACUCGCUAUAUUUACUUUAUUGCUUCUUUAUCUAAAUAGCCCCUAGUUUAUAUUGGAUCGUUUGGGCUCCUUCAAACCUACUACCAUGUGUUUCAAUCUCCCCCGGAUCAUCAGACAAAUCCCUGGUCUGGAAAUGCUGCCUCUGCCUUUCUCUAAGGAGGAGAUUGACGCAGUGGUGAAAGAAAUGCCGGACGAUCGUGCCCCGGGCCCCGAUGGAUUUCAUGGUUGCUUUCUCAAGAGCUGCUGGCCAAUCAUUAAAGAGGAUUUCUAUAAAAUGUGUCAAGAUUUCCAUGAAGGCAAUCUUGAUAUUACCAGCAUCAGUGAGGGGUUCAUUACCUUGAUUCCAAAGACAUCUUCUCCUGAAACUGCCAAUAACCCUGCUGAAUUGCUGUCUGAAAAUCAUCACCAAAAUCUUGGCCAACCGUCUGCAGAAAGUUAUCUUGAUGAUCAUCCAUAGAAACCAAUAUGGUUUCAUUAAGGGGAGGACCAUCCAGUACUGCCUUGCUUGGUCGUUUGAAUAUAUCCACCAGUGCCAGAGGUCGUCGCGUGAGAUAAUGUUGCUCAAAUUGGACUUUGCCAAAGCCUUUGACACCAUCGAACAUGCCCCGAUGAUGGAGAUCAUGAAACAUAUGGGUUUUGAUGACAAGUGGCUGGGUUGGAUGGAAUCUAUCUUUGGUUCCGGUGUCUUCUGUCUUACUCAAUAGGGUUCCUGGCAGAAAAUUCCAAUGCAAAUGCGGGGUGCACCAGGGCGACCCCCUCUCUCCUCUGAUUUUUGUCUUUGCUGCUGAUCUUCUCCAAGCCGCGGUCAAUGAUGCUUUUGCUCGUGGAUUGAUUGAUCUACCCAUCCCAUGCAAUCACGACGGGGAUUAUCCGGUGGUGCAGUACGCAGACGAUACCAUUCUGGUGAUGCAUGCCUGCCCUGACCAAGCUGCCCGUAUGAAAACAAUCCUAGAGGAUUAUGCAGCAUCUAUUGGUCUGAAAACUAAUUUUUAUAAUUCCACGCUUAUACCCAUUAACCUUGAUCAACAACGCGCACUUGACCUGGCUCACAUUUUCAGUUGCUCGAUUGGAUCUAUGCCGUUCACAUACCUUGGCCUCCCCAUGGGCACGGCCAAGCCGACGCUACUUGAUCUCAUGCCGUUGGUGCAUGGGGUGGAAAGGAAAAUGUCAACGGCUCUUGCGUUAAUGUCAUCGGGGGCCAAGCUCACCUUGGUCAAUUCUGCAGUCACCUCCAUGUUGAUCUAUGCCAUGUGCAUGAUCAAGCCGCACCCAAAAGUGAUUGAGCACCUUGACAAGCUACGCAUGUACUGUCUUUGGGCAAAGAACUCUGAUUAUGGCGUCAAAAAUAAUUCCCUCGCUGCUUGGGAAUUGGUCUGUAGACCCAAAAGUAAAGGGGGGCUUGGAGUCAUCGAUAUCAAAACCCAGAACAUUGACCUCCUUCUGAAACAUCUGUUUAAGUUUUACAACCACCACAAUGUCCCCUCGGUGACCUUGAUCUGGGACACAUAUUACUCUGACAGAAUUCCACAUGCAGUGGAACCGUUGGGUUCUUUCUGGUGGCGUGAUGUUAUGCAGCUCAGCGAUGUGUUCCGUGGGGUUACCAAGGUCGCUCCGGGCAAUGGCUCCUCAUCUCUGUUUUGGAAAGAUGCAUGGUUCGAUGAUCGUUACGCCCCUCUGAUGGAGAUCUACCCCAGAGCUUUCUCUUUCUGCCUGAAUGAAGACGAGCCAGUGGUUAAUAUUCUCACUGCCACUGACCCAAGCUUGAUCUUCCACCUGCCUCUCUCCACGCAAGCUAGAGAGGAAAUCGGAGAAAUCCAACAUGGGUCCAUGCAUGUCCUGCUUGACAGAGAUUGCAACGACACAUGGGUUUGCAACCUUGGUGGAUAUUUCUCCUCCAAGAGAUACUAUGAUCACUGUUUCAGGGAUACGGUUGCUGAUGUGGCCUUUGGAUGGCUGUGGAAGGCCAAGAGCCCAAUCAAGUUUAAAAUGUUUGGUUGGCUGCUGGUGGUCGAUCGAUUGAACACUAGGAAUAUGCUGAAACGCCGACAUUUUGCUGUGAUCAGGAACAACUACGCCUGCAUGCUUUGUCAAAACCCUCAUGAGGAAACGGUCAAGCAUCUCUUCUUCAACUGCCCGUUUAGCCGCCAUUGUUGAGACAAGGUUGGCAUGCUCUGGCCAAGCUCUGGGAAUAGGCUAACCCUGAUACAUGCUGACAAAGAUGGUUGGCGCAUGCCGUUGUUUAUGGAUAUUUCUUGCUGGCCGCUUGGAGCCUGUGGAAGGAGAGAAACAAUGUUCACUUCAGGGGGAUUCCACACUCUUUUGGUUCAUGGUUGGCUAGAUUCAAAGAGCUUUUGGCUUUGUUAGUUCAUAAUUGCAAGGAGGGCCUGUGUCCCUCCCUAGAAACAAACAUACAUAGCUUGUAGCCGCUGCUUAGGUGGAACUCUAGAACACAUGGCCGGGGGGCCUUACAACCCACUUGUAACAAUGUUGUAACUAGUUCCUUGUGAGUAAUACAAAGUCAGUGGGAGCCUCUCCCACUGUCGUGCAGUUUCAAAAAACACACCUACAAAGUACUUCUAGUUUCAUACUUGUUCUAGGUAAAGCGAACGUCAAGCGUGCAUAGAGUUGUAUCGGUGGUCGAUAGAACUUGAGGGAAUAUUUGUUCUACCUUUAGCUCCUCGUUGGGUUCGACACUCUUACUUAUCGAAAGAGGCUACAAUUGAUCCCGUAUACUUGCGGGUUAUCAAGACCUUUUUCUGGCGCCGUUGCCGGGGAGUCAUAGCGUGGGGUGAAUAUUCUCGUGUGUGCUUGUUUGCUUUAUCACUAAGUAAUUUUUAUUUUCUGUUCUUAGUUGUUUUCUAUCUUUAGUUAUGGGUAGGAAACGCAAAAUACCAAAAAAAUUAGUUGUUCCUACUACACCAAUGGUUGAAGAACCACUCAAAAUCUAUCACACUCCUGAAGCUUUUUACUUGGAUCAUCUUCGAUCCGUUUGUGCUCGUGCCGAAACCCCAACUAGCUUAGUUGAGGGCAAAUCUUUAGAUGAGCAUGCUUGUUAUGUGCGACACCAUAUAUCUAAAAAAGGAAAACUUUUACUGGAUCAAAUUCAUAGUUUGAAAUGCUAUGCUUGGACUUUAUGUGAAAUAUAUGAUGUUACUUGUUGUUCUGAAAACCCUAAGAAACACCUUCCCUAUCAAUGUGAGUUUAGUGAUAAUGGAAUCGUAUCUUCGUAUGCUAAGGGUGUUUAUAAUUACUAUGAUGUUCAACAAACUGAAGAAUUUGUUGCUUUUAAGGGUGCUUAUGAAAUUGCUUCUUUGAUUGAAAAGUAUGAUGCUACUCUCUACAAAUCUGAAAAAUUGCCAUACUUGAAUGUUGCUAUGAUAAUUAUGCUUCUAAUUCAUAUGUUAAACUAUAUAUUGAGGACUACUCUGUUGUCCAAGAAGAGACUAAUAUUUUGCAGGAAGUUAUGGAAGAAGAAAUUGAUGAAACUGUGAGCUCAUUGGAUGAAAAAGAUGAUGAGGAGAGCGAAGAAACAAAGGAGGAAGAGCGGAUUAGCUACCCGUGCCCACCUUCUAAUGAGAGUAACUCUUCAACUCAUACAUUGUUUAAUUCCCCUUCGUGCUUACCGAAGGAUGAUUGCUAUGAUGAUUGUUAUGAUCCCGUUGAUUCUCUUGAAAUAUCCCUUUUUGAUGAUGCUUGUUAUGAUUGUGCCCAAGAUUCCAAUAUGAAUUAUGCUUAUGGAGCCAAGCAUAUAUAACAAUAUCAGUUUCAGGAGCUAACGCGUACGAUGUCAUUUUCAUGUAUUUUUGAUGACCUACUCUAUGUCACCUGGUCAACGCGCUUACACCCGAUGUCCUUUAACACAUCCAUCGCCUAUAUAUGUUGACACACUAGUACCAAUGAUCUCACAACACGAUCCAUCUUGCAGCCAUUUCUCUCUUUAGCUUCCUUGGAGCUUGUGAUCAUUAGUUGAUCAGACAACAUAACCAAUUUUCUCUCUAGCGCUAACUUCCACUCCCCAUCAUAUUUUUAGUUACUAGUAAGUCAGCUAGCUAGUACUCCCUCCGUCCGGAAGUAGUUGUCAUCAAAAUGGAUGAAAAGAGAUGUAUCUAGAAGUUCUAGAUACAUCUCUUUUCAUCCAUUUUGAUGACAACUAUUUCCGGACGGAGGGAGUAGAUCCAUAUUUAAUCCAUGGGGACCAAAGCUCUUAUUCUGAUCACCGUGGCCAUGACCAUGCUUGGGAUGGCGCUCGGUGCCAGCCACACUGUAGGCGCGCCGGACGGGUCGUGGGACCUUCGGACCAACUACUCCUAGUGGGUUUCGAGAAUCAGGUUCACCAUCGGCGAUGAGCUCAAGAUCCAGUACCCAGCCUCCGUGCACAGCGUGGUGGAGGUGAGCAAGACGGGGUAUGACUCCUGCCACGGCUCCAGCCCCAUAGCAACUUUCCCGACCAGUAAUGAUGUUGUUCUGCUUGCCACCGUUGCGUCCUGGUAUUUCAUCUGCGGCUUCUCCAGGCAAUGCGACGCCGGCAUGAAGGUCGAGGUCAACGUCAAGUCGAAAGAAGUGCGGACUGUGCAACGGUGCCGACGGACAGGGAACCGACGUCGCUGCCAGUCUGAGACAGUAUUAAGCUCAGCUGCGGCGGCUGGCGUCGACCAGUCUACGGCGGCCCGACUCGGUCUGAUAGUUGUUGCGACUGGUCUUACUUUGUUCUCUUAGAGUGAACAAUGAUUGUGGUCCUUUUUUCCUUGUUCGGUCCUAGCAUGGUCCCUUUGUGUAUUAAAUUCAAUUCUGUUGUGUAAUGUAAUUGCAUUCAUUAUAAUUGAAUUCAACAUAUCUUCUUGCAAGAACCCAAAUAAUAACCAAGCGUGUAACCAUGAAAUAAAUUUACAAAAGAUGUGUUGAGUGCAAUGACAUUACAUCCAUCCAUUAGAUACAACGGAAAUUCAGGUAGAGCUAAAUUCAUCUAGAUAAGUAACAUGAUCUUUAAGGCGAAACGGUGGGGUAAACACCCACUCCAAAAUUUUAUAUUAUUGGGAAGUGUAUGUACACACUGGUUUGAGAUAAGCCUAAAAAUAAGAUAAAUGAAGAAAACAAACCCUAACAAACUGAGCCAAAAAAUAAAAUAAAAUUACAAGACUUCAGAUCGCCAAGCUUUGAAAGCAUUGCCAUAUUUCGUUUUCAUCUUGUGUCCCAAAAUCUGCCCGCCAAGAAACAGAAAUUACAAGAGUUCAGCUCGCCAAGCCCUUGUUCAUCCUGUUACCAUCAAGCUAAAAUCAUCAGCUCGGGACCCCUUACUCGAGAGCCCCUGACACGGGCUACGUGGCUUAGCUCUCCAGCGAGCGACGUGGUGGCGGGUGUUGACGGUCUACCUCGGCCCUGUGGGUGGCGAGGUGCAUGGUGAUGGGUGAUCCUGGCGUAGCAGAUGACUUCGAUGGAAGCUUUGCCCUGAUCUAGAUGUGGUGCUCCCAUUCCGUCGUGGUGUGGUCCCGUUAGAGUUUCCUCGAUGUGGUGGGAGCGAGAGAAAGCUUUGCGCUCCGGCACCGGCGGCGACAAGGCCUGCGGGGGAUGUUGUAUCCCUCUUGGGGCGUCACCUUGGACCUCUUCUUGCCGUCCAACUCUUAAGGUGAAACCUUUCUUAGCUUUGGCUGAUGCGGCGGCGGCGACGCUUUGUGUCGUUACCCUCCUGGGGGCAUCGCCGGUGAGGGUGGGUCUUCCUCUUGCACGGUGGCGUGUUUCAUGUGCUUCUUCUCGGCUACUAGCUCGAGGCGUUUAGGUGCACUUAGAGCGUUUGGCUAGUAUUACCGAUUUUCUUUAAAUCAGCUUAUGAGGUCAUGCCUUGUAUCGGGUCAUUUUGUAUCAGUUUGGUUGUUUAUUCCUUUAUCUAUAAAGGGGGCGAAAGCUUGUUUCGGAAGAGAAAACGAUUCGUGAAAUCGACUGUCCUUAAUGGCCUAUUACAAUGGUGCGCAUGGUGACCGACCUUGACCAAAUUCAGUCGACCAACGCCUAUUACUAUCCUUCUUGUAUUUGUUAUCCUGCCUUCUAUACAAUAAAACUAUGCUACGUAUUUUGUGUACUCUUGAGAAAAGAUGAUUACGUUUUAUUUUCCAAUUUUUACAAUGAUAUGCAUUUUAAUAAAUCAAUUAUCAUGCGGUAGAAAUAUGCACGCGCGCACCAAUACGUUCAUAAUGUUAAUCAAUGAUUAAGUUCAAAUAAUUAAUGUUUAGCACGCUCGGGCACCGGAUUGGUAGCAGCCUGAGGGAUUGCCGCCAGACCCAAUCUAAUCUCGGCUACGAAUUCCAUCGUCACCAUUAUUAGAUUAUUGUCAUAGUAUAAUAGGCGAGCCAAGUGUUAAAAGAAAAGAGAGACAAUUGACAAGUAGUGAAAUCGCUGUUCUCAUUGAUUGGGUUUGUUACAAUAUAUACAUCCUGUAGGGACGCGACGAUACAUAGGGACACGAAGGGAGAGGCGCGUCGGUUGCCUGUUGGCAACGGCAUGGCAGUUAACAAGGGGAGAUUCCCUUUCAAUUAAACAUGUGUGUUUAAUUCUAACACUCCCUCUAAUCUUCGCUUGUCCAUGUAGUAUCAUCAACUCGAAAGAGUCUCCUCCAAAAACUCUGUGGGAAAAAUAUGAGGAGUAGUGUAGAAUAUGUUGCUAAAACUCCUUCAAACCCAGUGGGAAAAAUAAGGAGAAAAUGAUGCAACAUAUAAUGGUUAUUGUCUCUUUUAACUCAAUACGAGAAAACUCAUAGAGUUUAGAGGACGAUAAAUAUGUCAUAUACACUUUCUUAAAAACCUCGGUGGGGAAAACAGAAAGUAUGACAUAUGAUCUCAUGUUGAUAUUACCUCAUUAAAAACCUUCAUGAGAACCUUUAAAGUAAACUCAUUAAGGAAAAAAGAGUAUAAUAUGAUGCUUUGAACAGGAACAAUUCAGGAAAGUACUCCCCCUGAUCCUUGCAAAUUCCGAAGCCAUCACAUACCAACUCCAUGAACGUAUUUCUGGAAUGUAGAAGCUGGUAGAGACUUGGUGAAUAAAUCAUUCACAUGAUUUGACUUGCAAGAUAUGCAAUAUGAUGAUACUGCUAAUUACGUAACCUGUUUGCAUCCGGGCAACACAAGCAACAUUAUCUUUGAGAUAAUGGUUGGUGGAUGUAGCCAUGAGGUCUGUUUGGAAGACUCUUCAUGAGGGGGCUACCACACCUAGUAUGAGCACUAAGCUUGUCUACGAUCUGACAUAGUGGGGAUCUAAUCGAUGUAUCCAAUGAUAUCGGUGUUCACAUUUCUGUGAAACUGAAAAACCAGGACAAGAUGUUUGAUGCCUUUGGAGAUAUCGAUAGAUAUUCUUGAGUCCCAACCAAUUGUGUUUGGUGGAUCCAAUGGCAUUAUGGAACGUUGAGUCCCAAUAUCUCAUUUCCAUCAUCUCUUGGUCUAAAUAGAUCUUUCUCUACGUCUAGAGAAUGAACUACCAUGAGAGUUAUGGAUGGAUAAUAUUUGUCCAUAAUGGAUUUUUCCAAUAUAUUUUGGAUAUAGACAACAUAGUAUACCAUAAUGUAUGAAUGAAGGUGCUCAAGUUGUAGUAACGAGCGGUAUUUUGGUUUACUCAAAUCCUUCUUAAACUUUGUCAUUUAGAUGAUUACAUGUGUCGUCAUUGCAGACACACAAACAUGGAUAAUCAUCAUUGUAGGAGUAAUCCUUGUGAAUAAGGAACUCACUACGUCGGUUGUACCAAAUGUACCGACGAUAAUAAUAAGUCAUAUGGUGACUCAUUGAUUUUACACAAUGUAUGUUGCAUUUUGUACUUCGAUUCAGAAUUGAGAUUCCAUCGGAAAUCAAUCAUAUAUGUCUGAAUCUAGUGAUCCACAUGGACAUGUGAUCACUACAUCUAUUAACUGCAGAGAUAGAUGAUUUUGAACUGCCAAUGAUAUAAGUUAUCGGAAUGAGAUUCCACCUCUGGAGAUUAGUUGGGUAUCUGCGUGAACCCUUGUGCUACAAUACUUGCUCUUUGUUUCACCACCUCAUUGUUCUCAAUUCUGUUUCCAGAAGAAAACGGGUGUAGGUAUUGCCUAUGAAUACCUUCCCAUUAUUGAGCAAGAUCAUUUCUACCUAGAUUAUACCCUUUGCUUGAGUUCAGUCCGAGUGUUGAUCACACUUUGCCAUGGCCAUGGUCUUUGGAUCUGAAUCAUUUGUAAGGUUUUGCAAUCUAGUUGAGAAAUGUAUGUCGACAAUUGUAGACUUCUGGUUAUAUGAUUCUCCAGAAUCUGUAUAUCAAUAUAUAGUUGAUGAAAAUAUCGUUACCCGUAGUGACUUCUCGCGAUUUCCCAAUGCGAUUGAGUCAGGUAUUUCGAUGUCCCGGUCAUUGUGUGCACUAUGACCUGGGUUGAUGGAGGUUUCCCGUCCACUGAGUGUAUACUACCCAUUAAGUGUCUGCCAACGUGAAGUUGACUUGCAUUUACUGAUUCACAGGCCUUGAUAUCCUUGCUUGCGAGAAGCUGAAUCCUGGUGUACUUCUGCCAUACAUCUCCCCAUGUUGCUUUGAACGAGGAGUGGAGUGGAUUUUGCUUGUACCUCCACUCUUUCAGGCGUACUUUUGCAGGAUUGUAGGAUUGUGUGACACCUUUAUAGUCAGUAAAUGAAUCUGACAGAUUAUUUGCAAUGUGUUGCAAAUCUUUUGAAUGCAUGGUUCAGAUCUUUGAGUACGUGGAUUUGAGGCAGAAAUGUGUUGAACAUUCCACUAAUUUCCUGGCAUUUUUAUGGUACUUGAAAUCUCCCCCUAAUGCCUGGAAAUGUUCCUCAUUAAAUCAGCAUACUGGCCUUGAAUAACUCCCCAUGCGAGGGGCUUGAGGUAUUGACGGAAAUACAGUUAUUCCUCACAUAGAUCCCAACUAUAUGUUGAGGGGCCAAUGAUGUAUGCUGGGUGGUGAUAUCGGUAUGCAACCGUAUUACCGCAGAUAGGAAAUACUUGAUAGAUUUCCACGUAUCAAAGACAGAGGGGAAUAAUAUUAUGCAGUUUGGUCAUGAGCGUGUAAAAACUACAUGACUCCAACGUAAAGUUGGUAAGUUGCAAUUCCAAAGUAAAGAUAAUGCAAUGAGCAUAACUCUUUGGAUAGGAUUCUACCAAACCAUUUUGAGUCUAGACAUUAGGACAAAUUACUAAACUUCAAUCCAAGGGCCAGAGAGAAGGCACUCAAGGAGAAUUCUGCAAUGUUAUCCAUUCGAUUUGCUUGAAAUCGAUGUCAGAAUAAUGAGCCAAUGGUUUCGUGUGAAUAAAGGACACACUUAAGACCAUCAUGUAGAUAUGUCUUUUAGAACCAUGGAAUACCUGAAUAGUCUACUCAAUGGCUGGGAAGAGCCACUUACCUGGACUUGAUGCACUCAAGGAGUCUGAGUGGUUCAGCGUAGACUUUAAGGUGUUCGAGCCUUAAAAUUAGCUUCCCUGUGUCACUUGUAGUGCACAUAAAAUCCAAAUGUUAUUAGACUUUAGCAUCAUAAUAAUCACAAACUAUUGGAAUUGUUGAUAGUUUCGGUUUCAACCCAAUGUCUCGAUGACCAAGGCUAGUAUGCCAAGUUUGUCAUGUACAAGACACUCUGGAAAACUAUCUCGUACGCAACAUGUGCUACGGGUUGAGUCGUAUGUGUAGUUCAAUCCAGAAGAUACACAGAGAAUGUGCUUGCCAUAUCCGUUGCAUAUGGUAAAGAGAAGUUAUUUCUCUUUGUUGUCAUCAUAAGUUUCGCUAUGGAAACUAUUUUGACGGAUACCUUCAUAGUUUAGUAGGGUACGAGUUAAACCUGGAAAGCAAUAAAGCAUCCCGACGUUACUCGAGUACCCACAGGGAUAGUAAAUACGACUCGAGUUGAGCCAACAAAUACCUCAUCGCGUGUCGCGAUUUAAAUAUCUCCUUUCUCUCAAUGAGAGUGGAAACAUUGGACUUUCCUGAGUAUAAAGUUUGUGGUGCAUAUGCCCACAGAGCACAUAUCAUUUUUCAUCGGAUUGACUCCCGUAGAAAUCUAUAUAUAGACGUGAAAAUUCUCAAUAUGAAAAUCACUAUCAGAUAUAUAGAAUACAUACAAAUGUAUUUGUAUCAAAGUGUCGAUACAAUAUAUUGUGAUAUACAAUAUAUGAUGACAACAAUACUUAUGUUCUUAUUAGAACAUCGUAAAUGGACAUAAAUUAUGUUGACCACCGAGGAGAUUGAUAGACUAGACAAAGUCUUCAAACAUGUUAGUUGAUGCAUAUUCAACCUUCAUGUUCUCCGUGCUCAUAGGGUCCCGUGACUGCUGAUAGUCAUGUUGGAGGGAUGAAGUGAGAUUCAAACCUUUGCUCUUGAGAUUCUUUACGCCCCAGGAAUAGCUGAUACAGAAUAACCCGAUGUUGAGACCAGGAUCGAUAUAAUGCCUUAAGAUUUAUAAGGCAACAUAUUUUUCUGUUAGCGGGGUGAUUCCGACCAGAGGCGAAUCCUACGGUCUUGGAUUGCACACAUUAUUCCACGAGACACAAGAGCGAUCAUGAUGCCCAUGGCCCAGAUAGGGCAGCGGUGGCCAUUGAGGACGAAUGCCUCAAACUCUAUAGCCAUAUGUUACCUCUAUGGGUAAACCAGAGAUGAUUAAUUUACAACUAGUAAAUUAAAGACCAUCAUGGUUGAUAUUGUAAUGAACUUCGCAAAAUCAAUGGGUAUUUCAAGAAGUUAUCUUGAAACCAUUAGUGUGAAUCUCAAAUUGCUAAGUAUGACAUCUUGAAGAUAGGGAGUAGAUCUCGCAACACUAGGGAGUAUAAUCUGAUGAAAUCAGUAGAUACUCACUCCUAAUGCCUUAUCUCAUGACUUAGUAAAAUGUGUGGAAGAGCACUUUGUAAAGCAAUCAUAAUGUCGAAACGACAAAAUAUAGGCUUUAUCAGUAGUCAUCGAUAAUCUGCGUAGGCAGUAGAUCCAUGACUACUGUGUGAUCUCAAGCAUCAAUUUGAAGAAAUCACCUUGAAUUUGCACCCGUAUUUGCAAAAAAUUGAAAAUCUCAAUUGCAAAUAGACGUAUUAAUCUCGACAUGUAGCAAACAUGAAGAUACAUACAUUCCGGAAUACAUCAUACUCAACGGAAAUACACUACUAUUGUAAUGAAUAGUAAUGAUGUUGUAAACUUGAUGUUCAAGUGAGAGCUUGAGUUUUAUAGACCUCAAACUAAAUGAGAUGAUGUUGUAUCAAGUUGCAAGAUAAUUCAGCAAAGUGAAUUAAUAUUUUGCGAGAGAAAUUAGUCUCAAUCGCAAUGAGAUUGUUUUGCGAGAGAAAAAAAAUAUUCUCAAUCACAAAUCAGUACUCUAGAGGUACUAAAUUUAUCUUUGCAAGAGAUAAAAACAAAUCUCAAUUGCAAAUAAUAGAUGUAAUGAAUCUCAACAUGUAAGAAACAUGGAAAUAUAUUACAUCACGUUCUGAAAUACAAGGUACUCUACAGAAACAUAGUAUUUAAGACAAAUACUGGAAAUAACAGGGUCAACACAGAUCAACGCUACUACCUCCGUCUCGGUGAAUAAGUCAUUCGCGUAGUUCUAGGUUGACGAUUUAACUAUCUAAAUAUAUAUUAUAUGUGAUAAAAAAUAUAUAUUUAGAAACUAAAUCGUUGUAGAAAUCUAGUGAUAUACUUUUCAUGACAUAUAGCACAUAUUUAAUUCCUCAAAUCAAUGACCUAGAACUACGCGAAUGACUUAUUCACCUAGACGGAGGUAGUAGUAAAUAGCAUUGUUAACAGGAGCAAUUUGCAAAAUCCCCGAAAUUGAAGGAUGAUGUGCGAAUAUUAGCCUGGACCAUUGAAUCAGCCUGUUUUGCUAAUUCUAGUAACUGCAGGGACCUUAGUGUAAAGAGACGAAGAGAUAAUGUUCUCUAUCGUGAUUCCCUACGUGGGCACAAAUCAAUCGAUUUGCUUCACAGAACCACCGCCUGGAUGGUUCGAGCCACGCCGGAGGGACACCACGAUGUUGGUCACCGCGGACCGCGCCGACAAAUCCGCGGGGUGGGGAGCAGCGUGCAGCGCCAUGUGGUCGCUCUCGCGGGCGUCACCAGUGGAGAAUCCUCACUGGUGAGAUGCAGGCCGUAAAGCAACGCGGCCACGGUGAGGCACGCGAGGGCGAGGCCUCGGCGCGGACGGGUGCAGCGGCGCCAAAGGCGCGGGCGGGCGCAGCGCGCGAGGGCGAGGGGGCCGGACGCGGUGCCGUUCGCGAGCCCGAGUGCCGCGGGGCUCCGUGAGCCGGAGCGGCCGGAGUGGCCGUUCGACGGAGUCGGGGACGGCAGGCGCGGCGGCGCGGCAGCGUUGCCCGGGACACGCGCGACCGUCGGCAACCUCUGGAGCGGCACGCUGGCUUCUGCUUCAACAACCGCUGGGGUCGGAGGCUGCAGCGGCGGAUCAUGACGGGAAAGUUGUACUGGUGCAGGGGGCAUACUACCCAGCCAUGCACCGAGCACCAGACCGGCGGCGGCGGAGCCGCCAGCGCCGGGUCGAUGCCCCCAUCGGCCUCGAGCCUUGGUGCAGCCGGAGCGGCCAGAAGCCGGGCGGGCACAUCGGGCUGCACAUGCUGGUUCGACUUCGACGGCCCCGCGCCGUUCCGGUGGUUGCGACGGAGAUCCUGGCGGCGCUGGUUCCAACCUCCACGCCGGAAGCGGCGGAGGUCGCGCACACGAUGCUCAAAGCGGCGGCCACGGCCAUCGAUGCAAAGGAGGCGAAGAAACAGGGACAUCGGAACUCGAGGCAUGGUUCCGUUUCUCACCUUUUCCCUGUUCUCCUUGUCUUCUCGUUGGAAUUGCUCUAGCCGGAGCGCGUGCUGAUAACGUGUUAAAAGAAAAGAGAGACAAUUGACAAGUAGUGGAAUCGCUGUUCUCAUUGAUUGGGUUUGUUACAAUAUAUACAUCCCGUAGGGACGCGACGAUACAUAAGGACACGAAGGGAGAGGCGCGUCGGUUGCCUGUUGGCAACGGCAUGGCAGUUAACAAGGGGAGAAUCCCUUUCAAUUAAACAUGUGUGUUUAAUUCUAACACCAAGCAUGCACGUACCAACAUGUAUUUAAAUUCAUCUGGGAGUAGUAUUACUCAUAUUGAUGCAUCUUAGACCUACCAUACCUCACCUGAUCAACGUCGCUUACACCUGAUGAUCCUAGCUUGAACCAAUCCAUCCCCUAUAUAUUUUGACAUAGUGGCAUCAACGAUCUUACAGCACAUUCUAUCGUGCAGCCAUUUCUCUCUACCACUUCCUUGGAUCCUAUCAAAUUUAUCUCUAGUGCUAACUUCUAGCUCCGAUCUUUUCAGUUAGCCAGCUAGUCGGUCAACAUUUAAUCCAUGGGGGCUAAAGUUCUUAUCCUGAUCACCGUGACCGUGGCCAUGCUCCGGAUGGUGCUCAGCACCAGUCUCACGGUGGGUGUGCCGGCCGGAUCAUGGGACCUGCAGACCAACUACACCAUGUGGGCUUUGAGAACUAGGUUUACCAUCGGCGAUGAGUUCCAAUUUCAGUACUCCACCACCGUGCACAAUGUGGUGGAGGUGAGAAAGGCUGGGUACGACGCCUACAACAGCUCCAGCCCCAUCGCGAUGUUCCUAACCAGCAACGAUGUCGUCCCACUUGCAGCCAUUGGGAUGCGGUACUUCAUUUGCGGCGUCCCAGGGCAUCGCGUCGCCGGUAUGAAGGUUCAAGUCAACGUGAAGUCGAAGGCAGUGUGGACAGUACGACGGUGCCGAGGGACGGGGAAGCGGCUCCGGUGCCGGUCCGAGACUAUCUUAAGCUCGGCCAUGACGGCUGGCAUUGAUCAGUCUGCGAUGGCGCGACUAGGCCUGGCCUUUGUCGCGGCUGGUCUCGUGUUGUUCUAUUAGUGACCGUCGAUAAUGGUGCUUUUUUCUUCUUAACGCGACGCGCAUGCGUAUUUGUGUAUUAUAAAUUAAUUCUUUUGUUAAAUGUAAUUUCUUCCAUUAUAAUUGGAUUUAACUUAUAUUCUUGCGAACCAUAAUCAUGUGUAUAUAAUCAUGGAAUAAAUAAAGGGCAGUGCUAGGUGUCGGUCGGCCGUCCCAAAUUUUGGUCGGCCGCGCACUAGCUGUCAGAUGCAAGCUGCGUAGGCCGUCUGAUUUGCCUGCUCAGCUCCUUCCUCCCCACACCUUGCACAACCUGGCCCAACACCCUUCCCCUCGCGCAGCUUGCCAGUGCCCCCCCUCCCCCCGGCAGCAUCACACCUCAUGUCGGCCCGGUCCCUAGCAUGGCGCCAUGCGGGCGAGAUGCAGUAUCAAUGGCUUCUGCUGGGCUGACGCUCGCAAUUGACACUCCCACUAGUUCGAGCAAAAACUCUCUGGUUCUAGCAUUUGCAUGCGCUGGUUGUAACAUCUCGCCAGCAAGCCAGUGCUCACCGUCGCUGAUUCGAACAUGUACAGUCUCUGGUUCCAGCAAAUGCGUGAGCCGGUUCCAGGAAAAGGACUUCGCAUGUGGCCUGUCGGUUCCAGCAAAAAUGUGCAGCUCGCGUUCAUGACCGUCAUAGCUACUCUGAUGACUGCUUGCAACUUUUUUGUUGACGGGCCCCAGCACCUCGUCAAGCUGCUAGAAGCAUGCCGCCAUUCGGCGCCGGUCGGCGCCGUCGUGGGAACCAUGGUUGCACGGUCACCGAGGUUUUGCAGCUUUUCUCCUGCCCCAUUCCAGCAUCCACACAUGUCAAUUCUAGCAAAAAAGAUGACCGGAUGCAACAUCUAUUGCCAUCGGGUUCCCAAGAUGCACCACGGCUGGUUCCACUGUCCUCACCGACAGGUUCCAGCAAAAACCAUGGCCGGAUGCAGCAUCGCCGUGUCCCGCUGUAGCUUUUCUCUUUGGUGAGCUUAGCUUUCCUCCGUCGUUUUUCUCUUAAGAGGGCAGAUUUAUGAUUUUAUCUUAGCAGCUAUAAAGGGCAUUUACUUUGACGUUAUCGUAUUAGAGAAAAGGGCUAAGAUAUGAGUAACAAAAAGGAUAAUAUUUAGUAUAAAUAUAUUUGUCAUUUAGCUUUGAAUUUUCAUUUACCUCGCAAAUGUUACCUCUCCACGGCGGACCUUGUGAGCCUGCUUCAAAUUGUUCUCUUAUGAGAGUUUUCCUCUAUAUUUAAGGUGUACUUAGUGGUGGUGUUUGGACGUAAGUACCAGGUUGAAGCCAAUGUGCCCAAGGUAUAGUUCCCCACUCAGGACUGCAGAGAUUACCCCUUGAUAUUUAGGCGCACCGCAAAAUGUUGUGGUUUUAGUGUAUGAAAUGAAACAUGGGAACUCGUGCUUAAAAAAAGAAACAAGGGCAUCUCGAGGAGAAAUGAUGGAUUUAAACCCGACACGGGCUACGUGGCUUUGCUCUCUAGGGAGCGACGUGGUGGCGGGUAUUGACGGUGUACCUUGGCCCUGUGGGUGGCGAGGUGCACAGUGAUGGGUGAUCUUGGCGUAGCAGGCGACUUCGAUGGAAGCUUUGCCCUGAUCUGGAUUUGGUGCUCCCAUUCCGUCGUGGUGGGGUCCCCGUUAGAGCUUCCUCGAUGUGGUGGGAGCUGUGGUCGAGCGAAAGCUUUGCGCUCCGAUGCCGGUGGCGACAAGGCCUGCAGGUGUUGUAUUCCUCUUGGGGCAUCGCCUUGGACCUCUCCUUGCCAUCCAACUCUCAGGGUGAAACCUUUCUUAGCUUCGACUGAUGUGGCGGUGGUGACGCUUUGUGUCGUUACCCUCCUGGGGGCGUCGCCGGUGAGGGUGGGUCUUCCUCUUGCACGGUGGUGGGUUUCAUGUGCUUCUUCUCGGCUGCUAGCUCGAGGAGUUUAGGCGCACUUAGUGCGUUUUUAGCGUUCUUGGCUAAUAUUACCGAUUUUCUUUAGAUCAGCUUAUGAGGAUCUCCUCAAUGCCUUGUAUCGGGUCAUUUUGUAUUGGUUUGGUUGUUUAUGCCUUUAUCUAUAAAGGGGGCAAAAGCUUGUUUCGAGAGAGAGAACGAUUCGUGAAACAACUGUCCUUGAUGGCCUAUUACAAUGGCGCGCAUGGACCGAUCUUGACCAAAUUCAGUCGACCAACGCCUAUUACUACCCUUCUUGUAUUUGUUAUCCUGCCUUCUAUACAAUAAAGCUAUGGUACGUAAUUUGUGUACUCUUGAGAAAAGAUGAUUACGUUUUAUUUUCUAAUUUUUACAGUGACAUACAUCUUAAUAAAUCAAUUAUCGUGCGGUAGAAAUAUGCACGCGCGCACCAAUACGUUCAUAAUGUUAAUCAAAGAUUAAGCUCAAAUAAUUAAUGUUUAGCACGCUCGGGCACCGCAUUGAUAGCAGCCAGACCCAAUCUACGAAUUCCAUCGUCACCGUUAUUAGAUUAUCAUAGUAUAAUAGGCGAGCAAAGCAUGCACGCACCAACACGUAUUUAAAUUCAUCUGGGAGUACUAUUACUCAUAUUCAUGCAUCUUAGACCUACCAUACCUCACCUGGUCAACACGCUCUCACCGGGUGAUCCUAGCUUGAACCAAUCCAUCGCCUAUAUAUUUUGACAUAGUGGCAUCAACGAUUGUACAACACAUUCCAUCGUGCAACCAUUUCUCUCUGCAACUUCCUUGGAUCCUAUCAAAUUUCUCUCUAGUGCUAACUUCUAGCUCCGAUCUUUUCAGUUAGCUAGUCGGUCGACAUUUAAUCCAUGGGGGCUAAAGUUCUUAUCCUGAUCACCGUGGCCGUGGCCAUGCUCGGAAUGGUGCUCGGCGCCAGUCACACGGUGGGCGCGCCGGCCGGAUCAUGGGACCUGCAGACCAACUACACCCUGUGGGCUUCGGGAACUAGAUUUACCAUCGGCGAUGAGCUCCAGUUUCAGUACCCCACCACCAUGCACAAUGUGGUGGAGGUGAGAAAGGCUGGGUAUGACGCCUGCAACAGCUCCAGCCCCAUCACGACGUUCCUGACUGGCAACGAUGUCAUCCCACUUGCGGCCAUUGGGACGCGGUACUUCAUUUGCGGUGUUCCAGGGCAUUGCAUCGCCGGUAUGAAGGUUCAAGUCAACGUGAAGUCGAAGGCAGUGCGGACAGUACAACGGUGCCGAGGGACGGGAAAGCGGCUCCGGUGCCGGUACGAGACUGUAUUAAGCUCGGCCACGGCGGCUGGCAUUGAUCAGUCUACGGUGGCGCGGCUAGGUCUGGCCAUUGUCGCGACUGGUCUCACAUUGUUCUUUUAGUGACCUACGAUUGUGGUGCCUUUUCUUCUUGACGCGCCGUGCAUGCUUAUUUGUGUAUUGUAAAUCAGUUCUUUUGUUAAAUGUAAUGUUUUCAUUGUAAUUGGAUUUAACAUAUCUUCUUGCAAAACCGAACUAUAAUCAAGUGUUUAUAAUCAUGGAAUAAAUAAAGCGUUGUGCUAGGUGCCAUUCGGCCGGUCCAAAUUUUGGUCGCCCGCGCACUAGUCAUCAGAUGCAAGUUGCGUAUGCCGGCUGAUUUGGCUGCUCAGCUCCUUCCUCCCCACACCUUGCGCAACAUCGCCCAACACCCUUCCCCUCGCGCAGCUUGCCAGUGCCCCCGCCCCUCCCCCGACAACAUCGCACCUCCUGUCGUGCAGGUCCCUAGCACCGCGCCACGCUGGAGAGAUGCAGUAUCAAUGGUUUCUGCCGCUCUGAUCCUCGCAAUAGACACCGGCACUAGUUCCAGCAAAAACUCUCUCUGGUUCCAGCAUUUGCAUGCGCUGGGUGUAACAUCUCGCCGGCAAGCCGGUGCUCACCAUCGCUGAUUCCAGCAUCUACAGUCUCUGGUUCCAGCAAAUGCGCGAGCCGAUUCCAGCAAAAGGACUUCACCUGUGGCCCGUCGGUUCCAGCAAAAAUGCGCAGCUCGCGGUCACCACCAGCGUAGCUACUCUGAUGACUGCUUGCAACUUUUUUGCCGGCGGGUCCCAGCACCUCGCCAUGCCGCUAGAAGCAUGCCUCCAUUCGGCGUCGGUCGGCGCCGUUGUAGCUCGCGGGAACCAUGGUCACAUGGUCGCUGAGGUUUCACAGCUUUUCUCCUGCCCCAUUCGAGCAUCCACACAUGUCAACUCCAGCAAAAAAGAUGACCGGAUGCAUCAUCUAUUGCCGUUGGGUUCCCGGGAUGCACCACGGCUGGUUCCAGUGUCCUCACCAACUGGUUCCAGCAAAAACCAUGGCUGCAUGUAGCAUCACAGUGUCCCGUUGUAGCUUUUCUCUUUGGCGAGCAUAGCUUUCUUCUGUCGUUUUUCUUCAAAGAUGGCACAUUUAUGAUUUUAUCUUAGGAGCUAUAAGGGGCAUUUACUUUUAUGUCAUCGUAUUAGAGAAAAGGGCUAAGAGACGAGUAACAAAAAGGUAAUGUUUAGUAUAAAUAUUUUUUUUUCUUUUAGCUUAGAAUUGUCAUUUACGUCGCAAAUGUUAUAACCUCUCCAGGCCGGACCUUGUGAGCCUGCUUCAAAUUGUUCUCUUAUGAGAGUUUUCCUCUAUAUUAUUUAAGGUUUACUUAGUGGUAGUGUUUGGACGUAAGUACCAGGUUGAAGCCAAUGUGCCCAAGGUAUAGUUCCCCACUCAGGACUGCAGAGAUUACCCCUUGAUAUUUAGGCGCACUGCAAAAUGUUGUGGUUUUAGUGUAUGAAAUGAAACAUGGGAACUCGUGCUUAAAAAAAGAAACAAGGGCAUCUCGAGGAGAAAUGAUGGUGAUAAAAAAUUCUCCCUCCGAUCCAUAAUAAGUGUCGUGUUUUAGCUCAAAUGUAUAAUACAUAUAUGACAACUAAUUAUUAGUGGAAUUACCUUUCACUACCCAAAAACUAGGACCAACUAUAAAUCCUCUUUGCCAAAUAUGAUUUUAGCUAUAUGACAACGGCGAGGGGCCCUUACCAAGCAGACCAUGCAACUUUUAAAUUUGGUCAACACAACAUAUUAUCAAUAGUGAAUUUCCAUGAAUUUUGACAGUGGCAUACAUCUUAAUUAUUAUUUUAGAAGAAUCUUAAUUAAUUAUAUAAUUAUUUGACGUACCGAUGUAGUACAUGUGCGCACCAACACGUUCGGAUUGUUUUACUAGAGAAUAUGUUGGAUUAAUUUAUGUUUAGUACUCUCGUGCGGGCAUCCGGAUCUACCGAGGACAAGGUCCACUGAUGGCUACUGAUGAUCUCCUAACUAAUUGUUUGGACAUGGUCUACUGAAAAUUUGGUUACUAAUCCUUUUCUCCCCAGACCCGGUCUACUGACGGUUACCAAUCUCAUCUUCUUCAGUGUUAGUUUUCUAUUAAAGCUAUGGAGCCAAGCAUAUAUAAUAAUAUCAGUUCAGGAGAUAACGUGUAUGAUGUUAUUUUCAUGCGUUUUAGACGACCUACUCUAUGUCACCUAGUCAACGCGCUUACACCCGAUGAUCCUUUAACACAUCCAUCGCCUAUAUAUGUCGACACAUUGGUAUCAGUGAUCUCACAACAUCAUCCAUCCUGCAACCAUUUCUCUCAUUAGCUUCCUUGGAGCUUGUGAUCAUUAGUUGAUCAGACAACAUAACCAAUUUUGUCCCUAGCGCUAACUUUCAUCCCCCAUCAUAUUUUCAGUUAGUACUACUAAUUCAGCAAGCUAGUAGAUUCAUAUUUAAUCCAUGGAGACCAAAGCUCUUAUUCUGAUCACCGUGGCCAUGACCAUGCUUGGGAUGGCACUCGGUGCCAGCCACACCGUAGGCGCACCGCACGGGUCAUGGGACAUUCAGACCAACUACUCUCAGUGGGUUUCGAGAAUCAGAUUCACCACCGGCGAUGAGCUCAAGUUUCAGUACUCCGCCGUCGUGCACAACGUGGUGGAGGUGAGCAAAACGGGGUAUGACUCCUGCAACGGCUCCAGUCCCAUAUCGACUUUCCCGACCGGUAAUGAUGUUGUUCCGCUUGCCACCGUCAGGACCCGGUAUUUCAUCUGUGGCGUCUCCGGGCACUGCAACGCCGGCAUGAAGGUCGAGGUCAACGUCAAGUCGAAAGAAGUGCGGACUGUGCAACGGUGCCGACGGACAGGGAACCGGCGUCGCUGCCAGUUCGAGACGGUAUUAAGCUCAGCUACGUCAGCUGGCGUUGAUCAGUCUGCAGUGGCCCGACUCGGUCUGAUAGUUGUUGCGGCUGGUCUUAUGUUGUUCUUUUAGAGUGAACGAUGAUUGUGGUCCUUUUUCCUUGUUCGGUCAUAGGAUGGUCCCUUUGUGUAUUAAAUUCAAUUCUUUUGUUAAUUUUAAUUGCAUUCAUUAUAAUUGGAUUCAACAUAUCUUCUUUGCAAAAACCCAAAUAAUAACCAAGCGUGUAACCAUGAAAUAAAUUUAUCAAAGAUGUGUUGAGUGCAAUGCAUUACAUCCAUCCUUUAUAUACAACAUAAAUUCAGGCAGAGCUAAAUUCAUCUAGAUAAGUAACAUGAUUUUUAAGGCGAAACAGUGGGGUAAACACCCACUGCAACAUUUUAUAUUAUUGGGAAGUGUAUGUACACACUGGUUUGAGAUGAGCCUGAAAAGAAGAUAAAUGAAGAAAACAAACCCUAACAAACUGAGCCAAAAAAAAGAAGAAACAGAAAUUACAAGGCUUCAGCUCGUCAAGCUUUGAAAGCAUUGCCAUAUUUCGUUUUCAUCUUGUGUCCUAAAAUCAGCUCGCCAAGAAAUAGAAAUUACAAGAGUUCAGAUUGCCAAGCCCUUGUUCAUCCUGUUACCAUCAAGCUAACAUCAUCAGCUCGGGACCCCUUACCCGAGAUCCGCCGGAUUUAACCCCGACACGGGCUACGUGGCUUUGCUCUCUAGGGAGCGACGUGGUGGCGGGUGUUGACGGUGUACCUUGGCCCUGUGAAGGUGCACGGUGAUGGGUGAUCUUGGCAUAGCAGGCGACUUCGAUGGAAGCUUUGCCCUGAUCUGGAUUUGGUGCUCCCAUUCCGUCGUGGUGGGGUCCCCGUUAGAGCUUCCUCGAUGUGGUGGGAGCUGUGGUCGAGCGAAAGCUUUGAGCUCCGGUGCCGGCGGCGACAAGGCCUGCGGGUGUUAUAUUCCUCUUGGGGCAUCGCCUUGGACCUCUCCUUGCCGUCCAACUCUCAGGGUGAAACCUUUCUUAGCUUCGGCUGAUGCGGCGGCGGUGACACUUUGUGUCGUUACCCUCCUGGGGGCGUCGCUGGUGAGGGUGGGUCUUCCUCUUGCACGGUGGUGGGUUUCAUGUGCUUCUUCUCGGCUGCUAGCUCGAGGAGUUUAGGUGCACUUAGUGUGGUUUUAGCGUUCUUGGCUAAUAUUACUGAUUUUCUUUAGAUCAGCUUAUGAGGUUCUCCUCAAUGCCUUGUAUCGGGUCAUUUUGUAUUGGUUUGGUUGUUUAUGCCUUUAUCUAUAAAGGGGGCGAAAGCUUGUUUUGAGAGAGAGAACGAUUCGUGAAACAACUGUCCUUGAUGGCCUAUUACAAUGGCGCGCAUGGUGACCGAUCUUGACCAAAUUCAGUCGACCAACGCCUAUUACUAUCCUUCUUGUAUUUGUUAUCCUGCCUUCUAUACAAUAAAGCUAUGGUACGUAAUUUCUGUACUCUUGAGAAAAGAUGAUUAUGUUUUAUUUUCUAAUUUUUACAGUGACAUACAUCUUAAUAAAUCAAUUAUCGUGCGGUAGAAAUAUGCACGCGCGCACCAAUACGUUCAUAAUGUUAAUCAAAGAUUAAGCUCAAAUAAUUAAUGUUUAGCACGCUCGGGCACCGGAUUGAUAGCAGCCAGACCCAAUCUACGAAUUCCAUCGUCACCAUUAUUAGAUUAUCAUAGUAUAAAAGGCGAGCAAAGCAUGUACGCACCAACAUGUAUUUAAAUUCAUCUGGGAGUACUAUUACUCAUAAUCAUGCCUCUUAGACCUACCAUACCUCACCUGGUCAACACGCUCUCACCGGGUGAUCCUAGCUUGAACCAAUCCAUCGCCUAUAUAUUUUGACGUAGUGGCAUCAACGAUCUUACAACACAUUCCAUCGUGCAACCAUUUCCCUCUGCAACUUCGUUGGAUCCUAUCAAAUUUCUCUCUAGUGCUAACUUCUAGCUCCGAUCUUUUCAGUUAGCUAGUCGGUCGACAUUUAAUCCAUGGAGGCUAAAGUUCUUAUCCUGAUCACCAUGGCCGUGGCCAUGCUCGGGAUGGUGCUCGGCGCCAGUCACACGGUGGGCGCGCCGGCCGGAUCAUGGGACCUGCAGACCAACUACACCCUGUGGGCUUCGAGAACUAGAUUUACCAUCGGCGAUGAGCUCCAGUUUCAGUACUCCACCACCGUGCACAAUGUGGUGGAGGUGAGAAAGGCUGGGUAUGACGCCUGCAACAGCUCCAGCCCCAUCGCGACGUUCCUGACCGGCAACGAUGUCGUCCCACUUGCGGCCAUUGGGACGCGGUACUUCAUUUGCGGCGUUCCAGGGCAUUGCAUCGCUGGUAUGAAGGUUCAAGUCAACGUGAAGUCGAAGGCAGUGCGGACAGUACAACGGUGCCGAGGGACGGGAAAGCGGCUCCGGUGCCGGUACGAGACUGUAUUAAGAUCGGCCACGGCGGCUGGCAUUGAUCAGUCUACGGUGGCGCGGCUAGGUCUGGCCAUUGUCGCGACUGGUCUCAUGUUGUUCUUUUAGUGACCGACGAUUGUGGUGCCUUUUCUUCUUGACGCGCCGUGCAUGCUUAUUUGUGUAUUGUAAAUCAGUUCUUUUGUUAAAUGUAAUGUUUUCAUUAUAAUUGGAUUUAACAUAUCUUCUUGCAAAACCAAACUAUAAUCAAGUGUUCAUAAUCAUGGAAUAAAUAAAGCGUUGUGCUAGGUGCCAUUCGGCCGGCCCAAAUUUUGGUCGCCCGCGCACUAGUCAUCAGAUGCAAGUUGCGUAGGCUGGCUGAUUUGGUUGCUCAGCUCCUUCCUCCCCACACCUUGCGCAGCCUCGCCCAACACCCUUCCCUCGCGCAGCUUGCCAGUGCCCCCGCCCCUCCUCCGACAACAACGCACCUCCUGUCGUGCAGGUCCGUAGCACCGCGCCACGCUGGAGAGAUGCAGUAUCAAUGGUUUCUGCCGCUCUGAUCCUCGCAAUAGACACUGGCACUAGUUCCAGCAAAAACUCUCUCUCGUUCCAGCAUUUGCAUGCGCUGGGUGUAACAUCUCGCCGGCAAGCCGGUGCUCACCGUCGCUGAUUCCAGCAUCUACCGUCUUUCGUUCCAGCAAAUGCGCGAGCCGAUUCCAACAAAAGGACUUCACCUGUGGCCCGUCGGUUCCAGCAAAAAUGCGCAGCUCGCGGUCACCACCAGCGUAGCUACUCUGAUGACCGCUUGCAACCUUUUUGCCGGCGGGUCCCAGCACCUCGCCAUGCCGCUAGAAGCAUGCUUCCAUUCGGCGUCGGUCGGCGCCGUUGUAGCUCGCGGGAACCAUGGGCACAUGGUCGCUGAGGUUUCACAGCUUUUCUCCUGCCCCAUUCGAGCAUCCACACAUGUCAACUCCAGCAAAAAAGAUGACCGGAUGCAGCAUCUAUUGCCGUUGGGUUCCCGGGAUGCACCACGGCUGGUUCCAGUGUCCUCACCAACUGGUUCCAGCAAAAACCAUGGCUGCAUGUAGCAUCACAGUGUCCCGUUGUAGCUUUUCUGUUCGGCGAGCAUAGCUUUCUUCUGUCGUUUUUCUUCAAAGAUGGCACAUUUAUGAUUUUAUCUUAGGAGCUAUAAGGGGCAUUUACUUUUAUGUGAUCGUAUUAGAGAAAAGGGCUAAGAGACGAGUAACAAAAAGGUAAUGUUUAGUAUAAAUAUUUUUUUUCUUUUAGCUUAGAAUUGUCAUUUACGUCGCAAAUGUUAUAACCUCUCCAGGCCGGACCUUGUGAGCCUGCUUCAAAUUGUUCUCUUAUGAGAGUUUUCCUCUAUAUUAUUUAAGGUUUACUUAGUGGUAGUGUUUGGACGUAAGUACCAGGUUGAAGCCAAUGUGCACAAGGUAUAGUUCCCCACUCAGGACUGCAGAGAUUACCCCUUGAUAUUCACUGCAAAAUGUUGUGGUUUUAGUGUAUGAAAUGAAACAUGGGAACUCGUGCUUAAAAAAAGAAACAAGGGCAUCUCGAGGAGAAAUGAUGGUGAUAAAAAAUUCUCCCUCCGAUCCAUAAUAAGUGUCGUGGUUUAGCUCAAAUGUAUAAUACAUAUUUGACAACUAAUUAUUAGUGGAAUUACCUUUCACUACCCAAAAACUAGGACCAACUAUAAAUCCUCUUUGCCAAAUAUGAUUUUAGCUAUAUGACAACGGCGAGGGGCCCUUACCAAGCAGACCAUGCAACUUUUAAAUUUGGUCAACACAACAUAUUAUCAAUAGUGAAUUUCCAAGAAUUUUGACAGUGGCAUACAUCUUAAUUAUUAUUUUAGAAGAAUCUUAAUUAAUUAUAUAAUUAUUUGACGUACCGAUGUAGUACAUGUGCGCACCAACACGUUCGGAUUGUUUUACUAGAGAAUAUGUUGGAUUAAUUUAUGUUUAGUACUCUCGUGCGGGCAUCCGGAUCUACCGAGGACAAGGUCCACUGAUGGCUACUGAUGAUCUCCUAACUAAUUGUUUGGACAUGGUCUACUGACAAUUUGGUUACUAAUCAUUUUCUCCCCGGACCCGGUCUACUGACGGCUACCAAUCUCAUCUUCUUCAUUGUUAGUUUUCUAUUAAAGCUAUGGAGCCAAGCAUAUAUAAUAAUAUCAGUUCAGGAGAUAACGUGUACGAUGUUAUUUUCAUGCAUUUUGGACGACCUACUCUAUGUCACCUAGUCAACGCGCUUACACCCGAUGAUCCUUUAACACAUCCAUCGCCUAUAUAUGUCGACACACUGGUAUCAAUGAUCUCACAACACCAUCCAUCCUGCAGCCAUUUCUCUCAUUAGCUUCCUUGGAGCUUGUGAUCAUUAGUUGAUCAGACAACAUAACCAAUUUUCUCCCUAGCGCUAACUUCCAUCCCCCAUCAUAUUUUCAGCUAGUACUACUAAGUCAGCAAGCUAGUAGAUCCAUAUUUAAUCCAUGGAGACCAAAGCUCUUAUUCUGAUCACCGUGGCCAUGACCAUGCUUGGGAUGGCACUCGGUGCCAGCCACACCGUAGGCGCACCGCACGGGUCAUGGGACAUUCAGACCAACUACUCUCAGUGGGUUUCGAGAAUCAGAUUCACCACCGGCGAUGAGCUCAAGUUUCAGUACUCCGCCGCCGUGCACAACGUGGUGGAGGUGAGCAAAACGGGGUAUGACUCCUGCAACGGCUCCAGCCCCAUAUCGACUUUCCCGACCGGUAAUGAUGUUGUUCCGCUUGCCACCAUCGGGACCCGGUAUUUCAUCUGUGGCGUCUCCGGGCACUGCAACGCCGGCAUGAAGGUCGAGGUCAACGUCAAGUCGAAAGAAGUGCGGACUGUGCAACGGUGCCGACGGACAGGGAACCGGCGUCGCUGCCAGUCCGAGACGGUAUUAAGCUCAGCUACGUCGGCUGGCGUUGAUCAGUCUACGGUGGCCCGACUCGGUCUGAUAGUUGUUGCGGCUGGUCUUAUGUUGUUCUUUUAGAGUGAACGAUGAUUGUGGUCCUUUUUUCCUUGUUCGGUCGUAGGAUGGUCCCUUUGUGUAUUAAAUUCAAUUCUUUUGUUAAUUUUAAUUGCAUUCAUUAUAAUUGGAUUCAACAUAUCUUCUUUGCAAAAACCCAAAUAAUAACCAAGCGUGUAACCAUGAAAUAAAUUUAUCAAAGAUGUGUUGAGUGCAAUGCAUUACAUCCAUCCAUUAUAUACAACAUAAAUUCAGGGCAGAGCUAAAUUCAUCUAGAUAAGUAACAUGAUUUUUAAGGCGAAACAGUGUGGUAAACACCCACUGCAACAUUUUAUAUUAUUGGGAAGUGUAUGUACACACUGGUUUGAGAUGAGCCUGAAAAGAAGAUAAAUGAAGAAAACAAACCCUAACAAACUGAGCCAAAAAAAGAAGAAACAGAAAUUACAAGGCUUCAGCUCGUCAAGCUUUGAAAGCAUUGCCAUAUUUCGUUUUCAUCUUCUGUCCUAAAAUCAGCUCGCCAAGAAAUAGAAAUUACAAGAGUUCAGAUCGCCAAGCCCUUGUUCAUCCUGUUACCAUCAAGCUAACAUCAUCAGCUCGGGACCCCUUACCCGAGAUCCACCGGAUUUAACCCCGACACGGGCUACACGGCUUUGCUCUCUAGGGAGCGACGUGGUGGCGGGUGUUGAAGGUGUACCUUGGCCCUGUGAAGGUGCAUGGUGAUGGGUGAUCUUGGCAUAGCAGGCGACUUCGAUGGAAGCUUUGCCCUGAUCUGGAUUUGGUGCUCCCAUUCCGUCGUGGUGGGGUCCCCGUUAGAGCUUCCUCGAUGUGGUGGGAGCUGUGGUCGAGCGAAAGCUUUGCGCUCCGGUGCCGGCGGCGACAAGGCCUGCGGGUGUUGUAUUCCUCUUGGGGCAUCGCCUUGGACCUCUCCUUGCCGUCCAACUCUCAGAGUGAAACCUUUCUUAGCUUCGGCUGAUGCGGCGGCGGUGACGCUUUGUGUCGUUACCCUCCUGGGGGCGUCCCUGGUGAGGGUGGGUCUUCCUCUUGCACGGUGGUGGGUUUCAUGUGCUUCUUCUCGGCUGCUAGCUCGAGGAGUUUAGGUGCACUUAGUGUGUUUUUAGUGUUCUUGGCUAAUAUUACCGAUUUUCUUUAGAUGAGCUUAUGAGGUUCUCCUCAAUGCCUUGUAUCGGGUCAUUUUGUAUUGGUUUGGUUGUUUAUGCCUUUAUCUAUAAAGGGGGCGAAAGCUUGUUUCGAGAGAGAGAACGAUUCGUGAAACAACUGUCCUUGAUGGCCUAUUACAAUGGCGCGCAUGGUGACCGAUCUUUACCAAAUUCAGUCGACCAACGCCUAUUACUACCCUUCUUGUAUUUGUUAUCCUGCCUUCUAUACAAUAAAGCUGUGGUACGUAAUUUGUGUACUCUUGAGAAAAGAUGAUUACGUUUUAUUUUCCAAUUUUUACAGUGACAUACAUCUUAAUAAAUCAAUUAUCGUGCGGUAGAAAUAUGCACGCGCGCACCAAUACGUUCAUAAUGUUAAUCAAAGAUUAAGCUCAAAUAAUUAAUGUUUAGCACGCUCGGGCACCGGAUUGAUAGCAGCCAGACCCAAUCUACGAAUUCCAGCGUCACCAUUAUUAGAUUAUCAUAGUAUAAUAGGCGAGCAAAGCAUGCACGCACCAACAUGUAUUUAAAUUCAUCUGGGAGUACUAUUACUCAUAUUCAUGCCUCUUAGACCUACCAUACCUCACCUGGUCAACACGCUCUCACCGGGUGAUCCUAGCUUGAACCAAUCCAUCGCCUAUAUAUUUUGACGUAGUGGCAUCAACGAUCUUACAACACAUUCCAUCGUGCAACCAUUUCUCUCUGCAACUUCCUUGGAUCCUAUCAAGUUUCUCUCUAGUGCUAACUUCUAGCUCCAAUCUUUUCAGUUAGCUAGUCGGUCGACAUUUAAUCCAUAGGGGCUAAAGUUCUUAUCCUGAUCACCGUGGCCGUGGCCAUGCUCGGGAUGGUGCUCGGCGCCAGUCACACGGUGGGCGCGCCGGCCGGAUCAUGGGACCUGCAGACCAACUACACCCUGUGGGCUUCGAGAACUAGAUUUACCAUCGGCGAUGAGCUCCAGUUUCAGUACUCCACCACCGUGCACAAUGUGGUGGAGGUGAGAAAGGCUGGGUAUGACGCCUGCAACAGCUCCAGCCCCAUCGCGACGUUCCUGACCGGCAACGAUGUCGUCCCACUUGCGGCCAUUGGGACGCGGUACUUCAUUUGCGGCGUUCCAAGGCAUUGCAUCACCGGUAUGAAGGUUCAAGUCAAUGUGAAGUCGAAGGCAGUGCGGACAGUACAACGGUGCCGAGGGACGGGAAAGCGGCUGCGGUGCCAGUACGAGACUGUAUUAAGCUCGGACACGGCGGCUGGCAUUGAUCAGUCUGCGGUGGCGCGGCUAGGUCUGGCCAUUGUCGCGACUGGUCUCAUUUUGUUCUUUUAGUGACCGACAAUUGUGGUGCUUUUUCUUCUUGACGCGCUCGUGCAUGCUUAUUUGUGUAUUCUUUUGUUAAAUGUAAUGUUUUCAUUAUAAUUGGAUUUAACAUAUCUUCUUGCAAAACCGAACUAUAAUCAAGUGUUCAUAAUCAUGGAAUAAAUAAAGCGUUGUGCUAGGUGCCAUUCGGCCGGCCCAAAUUUUGGUCGCCCGCGCACUAGUCAUCAGAUGCAAGUUGCGUAGGCCGGCUGAUUUGGCUGCUCAGCUCCUUCCUCCCCACACCUUGCGCAGCCUCGCCCAACACCCUUCCCUCGCGCAGCUUGCCAGUGCCCCCGCCCCUCCCCCGACAACAUCGCACCUCCUCUCGUGCAGGUCCCUAUCACCGCGCCACGCUGGAGAGGUGCAGUAUCAAUGGUUUCUGCCGCUCUGAUCCUCGCAAUAGACACUGGCACUAGUUCCAGCAAAAACUCUCUCUCGUUCCAGCAUUUGCAUGCGCUGGGUGUAACAUCUCGCCGGCAAGCCGGUGCUCACCGUCGCUGAUUCCAGCAUCUACCGUCUCUCGUUCCAGCAAAUGCGCGAGCCGAUUCCAGCAAAAGGACUUCACCUGUGGCCCGUCGGUUCCAGCAAAAAUGCGCAGCUCGCGGUCACCACCAGCGUAGCUACUCUGAUGACCGCUUGCAACUUUUUUGCCGGCGGGUCCCAGCACCUCGCCAUGCCGCUAGAAGCAUGCUUCCAUUCGGCGUCGGUCGGCGCCGUUGUAGCUCGCGGGAACCAUGGUCACAUGGUCGCUGAGGUUUCACAGCUUUUCUCCUGCCCCAUUCGAGCAUCCACACAUGUCAACUCCAGCAAAAAAGAUGACCGGAUGCAGCAUCUAUUGCCGUUGGGUUCCCGGGAUGCACCACGGCUGGUUCCAGUGUCCUCACCAACUGGUUCCAGCAAAAACCAUGGCUGCAUGUAGCAUCACAGUGUCCCGUUGUAGCUUUUCUGUUCGGCGAGCAUAGCUUUCUUCUGUCGUUUUUCUUCAAAGAUGGCACAUUUAUGAUUUUAUCUUAGGAGCUAUAAGGGGCAUUUACUUUUAUGUGAUCGUAUUAGAGAAAAGGGCUAAGAGACGAGUAACAAAAAGGUAAUGUUUAGUAUAAAUAUUAUUUUUCUUUUAGCUUAGAAUUGUCAUUUACGUCGCAAAUGUUAUAACCUCUCCAGGCCGGACCUUGUGAGCCUGCUUCAAAUUGUUCUCUUAUGAGAGUUUUCCUCUAUAUUAUUUAAGGUUUACUUAGUGGUAGUGUUUGGACGUAAGUACCAGGUUGAAGCCAAUGUGCACAAGGUAUAGUUCCCCACUCAGGACUGCAGAGAUUACCCCUUGAUAUUCACUGCAAAAUGUUGUGGUUUUAGUGUAUGAAAUGAAACAUGGGAACUCGUGCUUAAAAAAAGAAACAAGGGCAUCUCGAGGAGAAAUGAUGGUGAUAAAAAAUUCUCCCUCCGAUCCAUAAUAAGUGUCGUGGUUUAGCUCAAAUGUAUAAUACAUAUUUGACAACUAAUUAUUAGUGGAAUUACCUUUCACUACCCAAAAACUAGGACCAACUAUAAAUCCUCUUUGCCAAAUAUGAUUUUAGCUAUAUGACAACGGCGAGGGGCCCUUACCAAGCAGACCAUGCAACUUUUAAAUUUGGUCAACACAACAUAUUAUCAAUAGUGAAUUUCCAAGAAUUUUGACAGUGGCAUACAUCUUAAUUAUUAUUUUAGAAGAAUCUUAAUUAAUUAUAUAAUUAUUUGACGUACCGAUGUAGUACAUGUGCGCACCAACACGUUCGGAUUGUUUUACUAGAGAAUAUGUUGGAUUAAUUUAUGUUUAGUACUCUCGUGCGGGCAUCCGGAUCUACCGAGGACAAGGUCCACUGAUGGCUACUGAUGAUCUCCUAACUAAUUGUUUGGACAUGGUCUACUGACAAUUUGGUUACUAAUCAUUUUCUCCCCGGACCCGGUCUACUGACGGCUACCAAUCUCAUCUUCUUCAUUGUUAGUUUUCUAUUAAAGCUAUGGAGCCAAGCAUAUAUAAUAAUAUCAGUUCAGGAGAUAACGUGUACGAUGUUAUUUUCAUGCAUUUUAGACGACCUACUCUAUGUCACCUAGUCAACGCGCUUACACCCGAUGAUCCUUUAACACAUCCAUCGCCUAUAUAUGUCGACACACUGGUAUCAAUGAUCUCACAACACCAUCCAUCCUGCAGCCAUUUCUCUCAUUAGCUUCCUUGGAGCUUGUGAUCAUUAGUUGAUCAGACAACAUAACCAAUUUUCUCCCUAGCGCUAACUUCCAUCCCCCAUCAUAUUUUCAGCUAGUACUACUAAGUCAGCAAGCUAGUAGAUCCAUAUUUAAUCCAUGGAGACCAAAGCUCUUAUUCUGAUCACCGUGGCCAUGACCAUGCUUGGGAUGGCACUCGGUGCCAGCCACACCGUAGGCGCACCGCACGGGUCAUGGGACAUUCAGACCAACUACUCUCAGUGGGUUUCGAGAAUCAGAUUCACCACCGGCGAUGAGCUCAAGUUUCAGUACUCCGCCGCCGUGCACAACGUGGUGGAGGUGAGCAAAACGGGGUAUGACUCCUGCAACGGCUCCAGCCCCAUAUCGACUUUCCCGACCGGUAAUGAUGUUGUUCCGCUUGCCACCAUCGGGACCCGGUAUUUCAUCGGUGGCGUCUCCGGGCACUGCAACGCCGGCAUGAAGGUCGAGGUCAACGUCAAGUCGAAAGAAGUGCGGACUGUGCAACGGUGCCGACGGACAGGGAACCGGCGUCGCUGCCAGUCCGAGACGGUAUUAAGCUCAGCUACGUCGGCUGGCGUUGAUCAGUCUACGGUGGCCCGACUCGGUCUGAUAGUUGUUGCGGCUGGUCUUAUGUUGUUCUUUUAGAGUGAACGAUGAUUGUGGUCCUUUUUUCCUUGUUCGGUCGUAGGAUGGUCCCUUUGUGUAUUAAAUUCAAUUCUUUUGUUAAUUUUAAUUGCAUUCAUUAUAAUUGGAUUCAACAUAUCUUCUUUGCAAAAACCCAAAUAAUAACCAAGCGUGUAACCAUGAAAUAAAUUUAUCAAAGAUGUGUUGAGUGCAAUGCAUUACAUCCAUCCAUUAUAUACAACAUAAAUUCAGGGCAGAGCUAAAUUCAUCUAGAUAAGUAACAUGAUUUUUAAGGCGAAACAGUGGGGUAAACACCCACUGCAACAUUUUAUAUUAUUGGGAAGUGUAUGUACACACUGGUUUGAGAUGAGCCUGAAAAGAAGAUAAAUGAAGAAAACAAACCCUAACAAACUGAGCCAAAAAAAGAAGAAACAGAAAUUACAAGGCUUCAGCUCGUCAAGAUUUGAAAGCAUUGCCAUAUUUCGUUUUCAUCUUCUGUCCUAAAAUCAGCUCGCCAAGAAAUAGAAAUUACAAGAGUUCAGAUCGCCAAGCCCUUGUUCAUCCUGUUACCAUCAAGCUAACAUCAUCAGCUCGGGACCCCUUACCCGAGAUCCACCGGAUUUAACCCCGACACGGGCUACACGGCUUUGCUCUCUAGGGAGCGACGUGGUGGCGGGUGUUGAAGGUGUACCUUGGCCCUGUGAAGGUGCACGGUGAUGGGUGAUCUUGGCAUAGCAGGCGACUUCGAUGGAAGCUUUGCCCUGAUCUGGAUUUGGUGCUCCCAUUCCGUCGUGGUGGGGUCCCCGUUAGAGCUUCCUCGAUGUGGUGGGAGCUGUGGUCGAGCGAAAGCUUUGCGCUCCGGUGCCGGCGGCGACAAGGCCUGCGGGUGUUGUAUUCCUCUUGGGGCAUCGCCUUGGACCUCUCCUUGCCGUCCAACUCUCAGAGUGAAACCUUUCUUAGCUUCGGCUGAUGCGGCGGCGGUGACGCUUUGUGUCGUUACCCUCCUGGGGGCGUCCCUGGUGAGGGUGGGUCUUCCUCUUGCACGGUGGUGGGUUUCAUGUGCUUCUUCUCGGCUGCUAGCUCGAGGAGUUUAGGUGCACUUAGUGUGUUUUUAGUGUUCUUGGCUAAUAUUACCGAUUUUCUUUAGAUGAGCUUAUGAGGUUCUCCUCAAUGCCUUGUAUCGGGUCAUUUUGUAUUGGUUUGGUUGUUUAUGCCUUUAUCUAUAAAGGGGGCGAAAGCUUGUUUCGAGAGAGAGAACGAUUCGUGAAACAACUGUCCUUGAUGGCCUAUUACAAUGGCGCGCAUGGUGACCGAUCUUUACCAAAUUCAGUCGACCAACGCCUAUUACUACCCUUCUUGUAUUUGUUAUCCUGCCUUCUAUACAAUAAAGCUGUGGUACGUAAUUUGUGUACUCUUGAGAAAAGAUGAUUACGUUUUAUUUUCCAAUUUUUACAGUGACAUACAUCUUAAUAAAUCAAUUAUCGUGCGGUAGAAAUAUGCACGCGCGCACCAAUACGUUCAUAAUGUUAAUCAAAGAUUAAGCUCAAAUAAUUAAUGUUUAGCACGCUCGGGCACCGGAUUGAUAGCAGCCAGACCCAAUCUACGAAUUCCAGCGUCACCAUUAUUAGAUUAUCAUAGUAUAAUAGGCGAGCAAAGCAUGCACGCACCAACAUGUAUUUAAAUUCAUCUGGGAGUACUAUUACUCAUAUUCAUGCCUCUUAGACCUACCAUACCUCACCUGGUCAACACGCUCUCACCGGGUGAUCCUAGCUUGAACCAAUCCAUCGCCUAUAUAUUUUGACGUAGUGGCAUCAACGAUCUUACAACACAUUCCAUCGUGCAACCAUUUCUCUCUGCAACUUCCUUGGAUCCUAUCAAGUUUCUCUCUAGUGCUAACUUCUAGCUCCAAUCUUUUCAGUUAGCUAGUCGGUCGACAUUUAAUCCAUGGGGGCUAAAGUUCUUAUCCUGAUCACCGUGGCCGUGGCCAUGCUCGGGAUGGUGCUCGGCGCCAGUCACACGGUGGGCGCGCCGGCCGGAUCAUGGGACCUGCAGACCAACUACACCCUGUGGGCUUCGAGAACUAGAUUUACCAUCGGCGAUGAGCUCCAGUUUCAGUACUCCACCACCGUGCACAAUGUGGUGGAGGUGAGAAAGGCUGGGUAUGACGCCUGCAACAGCUCCAGCCCCAUCGCGACGUUCCUGACCGGCAACGAUGUCGUCCCACUUGCGGCCAUUGGGACGCGGUACUUCAUUUGCGGCGUUCCAAGGCAUUGCAUCGCCGGUAUGAAGGUUCAAGUCAACGUGAAGUCGAAGGCAGUGCGGACAGUACAACGGUGCCGAGGGACGGGAAAGCGGCUGCGGUGCCAGUACGAGACUGUAUUAAGCUCGGACACGGCGGCUGGCAUUGAUCAGUCUGCGGUGGCGCGGCUAGGUCUGGCCAUUGUCGCGACUGGUCUCAUUUUGUUCUUUUAGUGACCGACAAUUGUGGUGCUUUUUCUUCUUGACGCGCUCGUGCAUGCUUAUUUGUGUAUUGUAAAUCAGUUCUUUUGUUAAAUGUAAUGUUUUCAUUAUAAUUGGAUUUAACAUAUCUUCUUGCAAAACAGAACUAUAAUCAAGUGUUCAUAAUCAUGAAAUAAAUAAAGCGUUGUGCUAGGUGCCAUUCGGCCCGCCCAAAUUUUGGUCGGCCGCGCACUAGUCAUCAGAUGCAAGUUGCGUAGGCCGGCUGAUUUGGCUGCUCAGCUCCUUCCUCCCCACACCUUGCGCAGCCUCGCCCAACACCCUUCCCUCGUGCAGCUUGCCAGUGCCCCCGCCCCUCCCCCGACAACAUCGCACCUCCUCUCGUGCAGGUCCCUAUCACCGCGCCACGCUGGAGAGGUGCAGUAUCAAUGGUUUAUGCCGCUCUGAUCCUCGCAAUAGACACUGGCACUAGUUCCAGCAAAAACUCUCUCUGGUUCCAGCAUUUGCAUGCGCUGGGUGUAACAUCUCGCCGGCAAGCCGGUGCUCACCGUCUCUGAUUCCAGCAUCUACAGUCUCUGGUUCCAGCAAAUGCGCGAGCCGAUUCCAGCAAAAGGACUUCAUCUGUGGCCCGUCGGUUCCAGCAAAAAUGCGCAGCUCAUGGUCACCACCAGCGUAGCUACUCUGAUGACUGCUUGCAACUUUUUUGCCGACGGGUCCCAGCACCUCGCCAUGCCGCUAGAAGCAUGCCUCCAUUCGGCGUCGGUCGGCGCCGUUGUAGCUCGCGGGAACCAUGGUAUCAUGGUUGUUGAGGUUUCACAGCUUUUCUCCUGCCCCAUUCGAGCAUCCACACAUGUCAACUCCAGCAAAAAAGAUGACCGGAUGCAGCAUCUAUUGCUGUUGGGUUCCUGGCAUGCACCACGGCUGGUUCCAGUGUCCUCACUGUUGGGGAACGUUGCAGAAAAUAAAAAAAAUUCUACGGUUUCACCAAGAUCAAUCUAUGAGUUCAUCUAGCAACGAGAGAGAGGAGUGCAUCUACAUACCCUUGUAGAUCGAGUGGAAGCGUUCAAGAGAACGGGGUUGAGGGAGUCGUACUCGUCGUGAUCCAAAUCACCGGAGAUCCUAGCGCCGAACGGACGGCACCUCCGCGUUCAACACACGUACGGUCAGCGUGACAUCUUCUCCUUCUUGAUCCAGCAAGGGGGAAGGAGAGGUUGAUGAAGAUCCAGCAGCACGACGGCGUGGUGGUGGAUGCAGCAGGGAUCCCGGCAGGGCUACGCCAAGCGUCUGCGGGAGGGAGAGGUGUAGCAAGGGGGAAGGGAGGCGCCAAGUGCAAGGGUGCGGCUGCCCUCCCUCCCCCCUCUUUAUAUAGGGUCCCCAAGGGGGGCGCCGGCCCUAGGAGAUUGAAUCUCCAAGGGGGGCGGCGGCCAAGGGGGUGCCUUGCCCCCCAAGGCAAGUGGAGGCGCCCCCUCCCCUAGGGUUCCCAACCCUAGGUGCAGGGGGGGCAAGGGGAGGGGGCGCACCAGCUCACCAGGGGCUGGUUCCCCUCCCACUUCAGCCCAUGGGGCCCUCCAGGAUAGAUGGCCCCACCCGGUGGACCCCCCGGCACCCUUCCGGUGGUCCCAGUACAAUACCGGUGAUCCCCGAAACUUUCCCGAUGGCCGGAACUCGACUUCCCAUAUAUAAUUCUUUACCUUCGGACCAUUCCUGAACUCCUCGUGACGUCCGGGAUCUCAUCCGGGACUCCGAACAACUUUCGGUUUGCUGCAUACUAAUAUCUCUACAACCCUAGCAUCACCGAACCUUAAGUGUGUAGACCCUACGGGUUCGGGAGACACGUAGACAUGACCGAGACGGCUCUCCGGUCAAUAACCAACAGCGGGAUCUGGAUACCCAUGUUGUCUCCCACAUGCUCCUCGAUGAUCUCAUCGGAUGAACCACGAUGUUGAGGAUUCAAGCAACCCCGUAUACAAUUCCCUUUGUCAAUCGGUAUGUUACUUGCCCGAGAUUCGAUCGUCGGUAUCCCAAUACCUCGUUCAAUCUCGUUACCGGCAAGUCACUUUACUCGUACCGCAAUGCAUGAUCCCGUGACUAGACACUUGGUCACUUUGAGCUCGUUAUGAUGAUGCAUUACCGAGUGGGACCAGAGAUACCUCUCCGUCAUACGGAGUGACAAAUCCCAGUCUCGAUCCGUGUCAACCCAACAGACACUUUCGGAGAUACCCGUAGUAUACCUUUAUAGUAACCCAGUUACGUUGUGACGUUUGGUACACCCAAAGCACUCCUACGGUAUCUGGGAGUUACACGAUCUCAUGGUCUAAGGAAAAGAUACUUGACAUUGGAAAAGCUCUACCAAAUGAACUACACGAUCUUUUGCUAUGCUUAGGAUUGGGUCUUGUCCAUCACAUCAUUCUCCUAAUGAUGUGAUCCCGUUAUCAAUGACAUCCAAUGUCCAUAGUCAGGAAACCAUGACUAUCUGUUGAUCAACUAGCUAGUCAACUAGAGGCUCACUAGGGAUAUGUUGUGGUCUAUGUAUUCACACGUGUAUUACGAUUUCCAGAUAAUACAAUUAUAGCAUGAAUAAAAGACAAUUAUCAUGAACAAGGAAAUAUAAUAAUAAUCCUUUUAUUAUUGCCUCUAGGGCAUAUUUCCAACAGUCUCCCACUUGCACUAGAGUCAAUAAUCUAGUUACAUUGUGAUGAAUAGAACACCCAUAGAGUUCUGGUGUUGAUCAUGUUUUGCUCGCGGAAGAGGUUUAGUCAAUGGAUCUGCGACAUUCAGAUCCGUAUGUACUUUGCAAAUAUCUAUGUCUCCAUCUUGAACAUUUUCACGGAUGGAGUUAAAACGACGCUUGAUGUGCCUGGUCUUCUUGGCAAGGGCAAUAGCUCCAGUGUUGUCACAGAAGAGAGUGAUCGGCCCCGAUGCAUUGCGUAUGACUCCUAGGUCGGUGAUGAACUCCUUCAUCCAUAUUGCUUCAUGCGCUGCCUCCGAGGCUGCCAUGUACUCCGCUUCACAUGUAGAUCCCGCCACGAUGCUCUUCUUGCAACUGCACCAGCUUACUGCUCCACGAUUCAACAUAUACACAUAUCCGGUUUGUGACUUAGAGUCAUCCAGAUCUGUGUCGAAGCUAGCAUCGACGUAACCCUUUACGACAAGCUCUUCGUCACCUCCAUAAACGAGAAACAUGUCCUUUGUCCUUUUCAGGUACUUCAGGAUAUUCUUGACCGCUGUCCAGUGUUCCUUGCCGGGAUUACUUUGGUACCUUCCUACCAAACUCAUGGCAAGGUUUACAUCAUGUCUGGUACACAGCAUGGCAUACAUAAUAGAUCCUAUGGCUGAGGCAUAGGGGAUGACACUCAUCUAUUCUUUAUCUUCUGCCGUGGUCGGGCAUUGAGCCGAGCUCAAUCUCACACCUUGCAAUACAGGCAAGAACCCUUUCUUGGACUGAUCCAUAUUGAACUUCUUCAAUAUCUUAUCAAGGUAUGUGCUUUGUGAAAGACCUAUGAGGCAUCUCGAUCUAUCUCUAUAGAUAUUGAUGCCUAAUAUGUAAGCAGCUUCUCCAAGGUCCUUCAUUGAAAAACACUUAUUCAAGUAGGCCUUAAUGUUGUACAAUAGUUCUAUAUCAUUUCCCAUCAAAAUUAUGUCAUCUACAUAUAAUAUGAGAAAUGCUACAGAGCUCCCACUCACUUUCUUGUAAACACAGGCUUCUCCAUAAGUCUGCAUAAACACAAACGCUUUGAUCAUCUCAUCAAAGUGAAUGUUCCAACUCCGAGAUGCUUGCACCAGCCCAUAAAUGGAUCGCUGGAGCUUGCACACCUUGUUAGCAUUCUUAGGAUCGACAAAACCUUCUGGCUGAAUCAUAUACAGUUCUUCCUUAAGAUAGCCGUUAAGGAAUGCCGUUUUGACGUCCAUCUGCCAUAUCUCAUAAUCAUAGUAUGCGGCAAUUGCUAACAUCAUUCGGACGGACUUCAGCUUCUCUACGGGAGAGAAAGUCUCAUCGUAGUCAACCCCUUGAACUUUUCGAUAACCCUUAGCGACAAGUCGAGCUUUAUAGAUGGUAACAUUACCAUCCGCGUCCGUCUUCUUCUUAAAGAUCCAUUUAUUUUCUAUCGCUCGCCGAUCAUCGGGCAAGUCUGUCAAAGUCCAUACUUUGUUUUCAUACAUGGAUUCUAUCUCGGAUUGCAUGGCUUCAAGCCAUUUGUUGGAAUCUGGGCCCGCCAUCGCUUCUUCAUAGUUCGAAGGUUCACCGUUGUCUAACAACAUGAUUUCUAGGACAGGGUUGCCAUACCACUCUGGUGUGGAACGUGUCCUUGUGGACCUACGAAGUUCAGUAGCAACUUGAUCCGAAGUACCUUGAUCAUCAUCAUUAAUUUCCUCUCCAGUCGGAGUAGGCACCACAGGAACAUUUUCCUUAGCUACACUACUUUCCGGUUCAAGAGCUAGUACUUCAUCGAGUUCUACUUUCCUCCCACUUACUCCUUUCGAGAGAAACUCUUUUUCCAGAAAGGAUCCGUUCUUGGCAACAAAGAUCUUGCCUUCGGAUCUAAGGUAGAAGGUAUACCCAAUGGUUUCCUUAGGGUAUCCUAUGAAGACGCAUUUUUUCGACUUGGGUUCGAGCUUUUCAGGUUGAAGUUUCUUGACAUAAGCAUCGCAUCCCCAAACUUUUAGAAACGAGACCUUAGGUUUCUUCCCAAACCAUAAUUCAUACGGUGUCGUCUCAACGGAUUUAGACGAAGCCCUAUUUAAAGUGAAUGUAGCUGUCUCUAGAGCGUAUCCCCAAAAUGAUAGCGGUAAAUCGGUAAGAGACAUCAUAGAUCGCACCAUAUCCAAUAGAGUGCGAUUACGAUGUUCGGACACACCGUUACGUUGAGGUGUUCCAGGCGGCGUGAGUUGUGAAACGAUUCCACAUUUCCUUAAGUGCAUACCAAAUUCGUGACCUAAAUAUUCUCCUCCACGAUCUGAUCGUAAGAACUUUAUCUUUUGGUCACGUUGAUUCUCUACCUCAUUCUGAAAUUCCUUGAACUUUUCAAAGAUCUCAGACCUGUGUUUCAUCAAGUAGACAUACCCAUAUCUACUCAAGUCAUCACUGAGAGUGAGAACAUAACGAUAUCCUCCACGAGCCUCAACGCUCAUUGGACCGCACACAUCGGUAUGUAUGAUUUCCAAUAAGUUGGUUGCUUGCUCCAUUGUUCCGGAGAACGGAGUCUUGGUCAUUUUGCCCAUGAGGCAUGGUUUGCAUGUGUCAAAUGAUUCAUAAUCGAGAGACUCUAAAAGUCCAUCAGCAUGGAGCUUCUUCAUGCGCUUGACACCAAUGUGACCAAGGCGGCGGUGCCACAAGUAUGUGGGACUAUCGUUAUCAACUUUACAUCUUUUGGUAUUCACACUAUGAAUAUGUGUAACAUUACGUUCGAGAUUCAUUAAGAAUAAACCAUUGACCAUCGGGACAUGACCAUAAAACAUAUCUCUCAUAUAAAUAGAACAACCACUAUUCUCGGAUUUAAAUGAGUAGCCAUCUCGUAUUAAACGAGAUCUAGAUACAAUGUUCAUGCUCAAACUUGGCACUAAAUAACAAUUAUUGAGGUUUAAAACUAAUCCCGUAGGCAAAUGCAGAGGUAGCAUGCCGACGGCGAUCACAUCGACCUUGGAACCAUUCCCGACGGUCACCUUGUCCUUCGCCAGUCUCCGCUUAUUCCGCAGCUUCUGCUUUGAGUUACAAAUAUGAGCAACGGCACCGGUAUCAAAUACCCAGGAGCUACUAUGAGCACUAGUAAGGUACACAUCAAUUACAUGUAUAUCACAUAUACCUUUAGUGUUGCCGGCCUUCUUGUCCGCUAAGUAUUUGGGGCAGUUCCGCUUCCAGUGACCCUUCCCUUUGCAAUAAAAGCACUCAGUUUCAGGCUUGGGUCCAUUCUUUUACUUGUUUCCGGCAACUGGCUUACCGGGCGCGGCAACAUCCUUGCCGUCCUUCUUGAAGUUCUUAUUACCCUUGCCUUUCUUGAACUUGGUGGUUUUAUUGACCAUCAACACUUGACGUUCCUUUUUGAUUUCUACCUCUGCUGACUUCAGCAUUGAAAAUACUUCAGGAAUAGUUUUCACCAUCCCCUGCAUAUUGUAGUUCAUCACAAAGCUCUUGUAGCUCGGUGGGAGUGACUGAAGGAUUCUGUCAAUGACCGCCUUGUCUGGGAGGUUAAUGUCCAGCUGGAACAGGCGGUUGUGCAACCCAGACAUUUUGAGUAUGUGCUCACUGACAGAACUAUUUUCCUCCAUCUUACAACUAUAGAACUUGUCGGAGACUUCAUAUCUCUCGACCCGGGCGUGAGCUUGGAAAACCAUUUUCAGCUCCUCGAACAUCUCAUAUGCUUCGUGUUGCUCAAAACGCUUUUAGAGCCCCGGUUCUAAGCUGUAAAGCAUGCCGCACUGAACGAGGGAGUAAUCAUCAGCAUGUGUCUGCCAAACGUUCAAAUCGUCUUGCAGUGCUGGGAGAGUAGGUGGGUCACCUAACGGUGCUUCAAGGACAUAUGCUUUCUUGGCGGCUAUGAGGAUGAUCCUCAGGUUCCGGACCCAGUCCGUAUAGUUGCUGCCAUCAUCUUUCAGCCUGGUUUUCUCUAGGAACGCAUUGAAGUUCAUGUUGACAUGAGUGUUGGCCAUUUGAUCUACAAGACAUUUUUUGCAAAGAUUUUAGACUAAGUUCAUGAUAAUUAAGUUCAUCUAAUCAAAUUAUUUAAUGAACUCCCACUCAGAUUAGACAUCCCUCUAGUCAUCUAAGUGAUACAUGAUCCGAGUCGACUAGGCCGUGUCCGAUCAUCAUGUGAGACGGACCAGUCAUCAUCGGUGAACAUCUCCAUGUUGAUCGUAUCUUCCAUACGACUCAUGUUCGACCUUUCGGUCUCUUGUGUUCCGAGGCCAUGUCUGUACAUGCUAGGCUCGUCAAGUUAACCUAAGUGUUUUGCAUGUGUAAAUCUGUCUUACACCCGUUGUAUGUGAACGUUAGAAUCUAUCACACCCGAUCAUCACGUGGUGCUUCAAAACAACGAACUGUCGCAACGGCGCAUAGUUAGGGGGAACACUUUCUUGAAAUUAUUAUGAGGGAUCAUCUUAUUUAAUACCGUCGUUCUAAGUAAACAAGAUGCAAAAACAUGAUAAACAUCACAUGCAAUCAAAUAGUAGUGACAUGAUAUGGCCAAUAUCAUAUAGCUCCUUUGAUCUUCAUCUUCGGGGCUCCAUGAUCAUCUUCGUCACCGGCAUGACACCAUGAUCUCCAUCAUCAUGAUCUCCAUCAUCGUGUCUCCAUGAAGUUGCUCGCCAACUAUUACUUCUACUACUAUAGCUAACGGUUUAGGAAUAAAGUAAAGUAAUUACAUGGCGUUAAAUCAUUGACACGCAGGUCAUACAAUAAUUAAGACAACUCCUAUGGCUCCUGCCGGUUGUCAUACUCAUCGACAUGCAAGUCGUGAUUCCUAUUACAAGAAUAUCAUCUCAUACAUCACAAUAUAUCAUUCAUCAUUCAUCACAACUUUUGACCAUAUCACAACACAAAGCAAUUGCUGCAAAAACAAGUUAGACGUCCUUUAAUUGUUGUUGCAUCUUUUACGUGGCUGCAAUAGGGUUCUAGCAAGAACGUUUUCUUACCUACGAAAAAGCCACAGCGUGAUUUGUCAACUUCUAUUUACCCUUCAUAAGGACCCUUUUCAUAGAAUCCGCUCCAAUUAAAGUGGGAGAGACAGACACCCGCUAGCCACCUUAUGCAACUAGUGCAUGUCAGUCGGUGGAACCUGUCUCACGUAAGUGUACGUGUAAGGUCGGUCCGGGCCGCUUCAUCCCACAAUACUGCUGAAGCAAAAUAAGACUAGUGGUGGCAAGAAAGUUGACAACAUCUACGCCCACAACAGAUUUGUGUUCUACUCAUGCAAAGAGAACUACGCAUAGACCUAGCUCAUGAUGCCACUGUUGGGGAAUGUUGCAGAAAAUAAAAAAAAUCUACGGUUUCACCAAGAUCAAUCUAUGAGUUCAUCUAGCAACGAGAGAGAGGAGUGCAUCUACAUACCCUUGUAGAUCGAGCGGAAGCGUUCAAGAGAACGGGGUUGAGGGAGUCGUACUCGUCGUGAUCCAAAUCACCGGAGAUCCUAGCGCCGAAUGGACGGCACCUCCGCGUUCAACACACGUACGGUCAGCGUGACGUCUCCUCCUUCUUGAUCCAGCAAGGGGGAAGGAGAGGUUGAUGAAGAUCCAGCAGCACGAUGGCGUGGUGGUGGAUGCAGCAGGGAUCCAGGCAGGGUUUCGCCAAGCGUCUGCGGGAGGGAGAGGUGUAGCAAGGGGGAAGGGAGGCGCCAAGUGCAAGGGUGCGGCUGCCCUCCCUCCCCCCUCUUUAUGUAGGGUCCCCAGGGGGGCGCCGGCCCAAGGAGAUUGAAUCUCCAAGGGGGGGCGGCCAAGGGGGUGCCUUGUCCCCCAAGGCAAGUGGAGGCGCCCCCUCCCCUAGGGUUCCCAACCCUAGGCGCAUGGGGGGCCCAAGGGGGAGGGGCGCACCAGCCCACCAGGGGCUGUUUCCCCUCCCACUUCAGCCCAUGGGGCCCUCCGGGAUAGGUGGCCCCACCCGGUGGACCCCCUGGGAUCCUUCCGGUGGUCCCGGUACAAUACCGGUGACCCCCGAAACUUUCCCGAUGGCCGAAAGUCGACUUCCCAUAUAUAAUUCUUUACCUUUGGACCAUUCCGGAACUCCUCGUGACGUCCGGAAUCUCAUCCGGGACUCCGAACAACUUUCGGUUUGCUGCAUACUAAUAUCUCUACAACCCUAGUGUCACCGAACCUUAAGUGUGUAGACCCUACGGGUUCGGGAGACACGUAGACAUGAACGAGACGGCUCUCCGGUCAAUAACCAACAGCGGGAUCUGGAUACCCGUGUUGGCUCCCACAUGCUCCUCGAUGAUCUCAUCGGAUGAACCACGAUGUCGAGGAUUCAAGCAACCCCGUAUACAAUUCCCUUUGUCAACCGGUAUGUUACUUGCCCGAGAUUCGAUCGUCGGUAUCCCAAUACCUCGUUCAAUCUCGUUACCGGCAAGUCACUUUACUCGUACCGCAAUGCAUAAUCCCGUGACCAGACACUUGGUCACUUUGAGCUCGUUAUGAUGAUGCAUUACCGAGUGGGCCCAGAGAUACCUCUCCGUCAUACGGAGUGACAAAUCCCAGUCUCGAUCCGUGUCAACCCAACAGACACUUUCGGAGAUACCCGUAGUAUACCUUUAUAGUCACCGAGUUAUGUUGUGACGUUUGGUACACCCAAAGCACUCCUACAGUACCCGGGAGCUACACGAUCUCAUGGUCCAAGGAAAAGAUACUUGACAUUGGAAAAGCUCUAGCAAACGAACUACACGAUCUUGUGCUAUGCUUAGGAUUGGGUCUUGUCCAUCACAUCAUUCUCCUAAUGAUGUGAUCCCGUUAUAAAUGACAUCCAAUGUCCAUAGUCAGGAAACCAUGACUAUCUGUUGAACAACGAGCUAGUCAACUAGAGGCUCACUAGGGACAUGUUGUAGUCUAUGUAUUCACACGUGUAUUACGAUUUCCGGAUAAUACAAUUAUAGCAUGAAUAAAAGACAAUUAUCAUGAACAAGGAAAUAUAAUAAUAAUCCUUUUAUUAUUGCCUCUAGGGCAUAUUUCCAACACUCACCAACUGGUUCCAGCAAAAACCAUGGCUAUAUGUAGCAUCACAGUGUCCCGUUGUAGCUUUUCUCUUCGGUGAGCAUAGCUUUCUUCCGUCGUUUUUCUUCAAAGAUGGCACAUUUAUGAUUUUAUCUUAGGAGCUAUAAGGGGCAUUUACUUUUAUGUCAUCGUAUUAGAGAAAGGGCUAAGAGACGAGUAACAAAAGGGUAAUAUUUAGUAUAAAUAUUUUUUUCAUUUAGCUUUGAAUUGUCAUUUACGUCGCAAAUUUUAUAACCUCUCCAGGCCGUACCUUGUGAGCCUGCUUCAAAUUGUUCUCUUAUGAUAAUUUUCCUCUAUAUUAUUUAAGGUUUACUUAGUGAUAGUGUUUGGACGUAAGUACCAGGUUGAAGCCAAUGUGCCCAAGGUAUAGUUCCCCACUCAGGACUGCAGAGAUUACCCCUUGAUAUUUGAAACAUGGGAACUCGUACUUGAAAAAAGAAACAAGGGCAUCUCGAGGAGAAAUGAUGGUGAUAAAAAAUUCUCCCUCCGAUCCAUUAUAAGUGUCGUGGUUUAGCUCAAAUGUAUAAUACAUAUAUGACAACUAAUUAUUAGUGGAAUUACCUUUCACUACCAAAAACUAGGACCAACUAUAAAUCCUCUUUGCCAAAUAUGAUUUUAGCUAGAUGACAAGGGCGAGGCGCCUUACCCUGCAGACUAUGCAACUUUUGAAUUUGGUCAACACAACAUAUUGUCAAUAGUGAAUUUCCAUGAAUUUUGACAGUGGCAUACAUCUUAAUUAUUAUUUUAGAAGAACCUUAGUUAGUUAUGUAAUUAUUUGACGUACUCAUGUGGUACAUGUGCGGACCAACAUGUUCGGAAUGUUUAACUAGAGAAUAUGUUGGAUUAAUUUAUGUUUAGUACGGCGGGCAUCCGGAUCUAUCGAGGACAAGGUCCACUGAUGGCUACUGAUGAUCUCCUAACUAAUUUUUUGGACAUGGUCUACUGACUUUUUGGUUACUAAUCGUUUUCUCCCCAGACCCGGUCUACUGACGGCUACCAAUCUCAUCUUCUCCACUGUUAAUUUUCUAUUAAAGCUAUGGAGCCAAGCAUAUAUAAUAAUAUCAGUUUCAGGAGAUAACGUGUACGAUGUUAUUUUCAUGCACCUAGUCAACGCGCUUACACCCGAUGCUCCUUUAACACAUCCAUAGCCUAUAUAUGUCGACACACUAGUAUCAAUGAUCUCACAACACCAUCUAUCCCGCAGCCAUUUCUCUCAUUAGCUUCCUUGGAGCUUGUGAUCAUUAGUUGAUCAGAUAACAUAACCAAUUUUCUCCCUAGCGCUAACUUCCAUCCCCCAUCAUAUUUUCAGUUAGUACUACUAAGUCAGCAAGCUAGUAGAUUCAUAUUUAAUCCAUGGAGACCAAAACUCUUAUUCUGAUCACCGUGGCCAUGACCAUGCUUGGGAUGGCACUUGGUGCCAGCCACACCGUAGGCGCACCGCACGGGUCAUGGGACCUUCAGACCAACUACUCUCAGUGGGUUUCGAGAAUCAGAUUCACCACCGGCGAUGAGCUCAAGUUCCAGUACUCCGCCGCCGUGCACAACGUGGUGGAGGUGAGCAAGACGGGGUAUGACUCCUGCAACGGCUCCAGCCCCAUAGCGACUUUCCCGAGUGGUAAUGAUGUUGUUCCGCUUGCCACCGUCGGGACCCGGUAUUUCAUCUGCGGCGUCUCUAGGCAUUGCGACGCCGGCAUGAAGGUCGAGGUCAACGUCAAGUCGAAAGAAGUGCGGACUGUGCAGCGAUGCCGACGGAGAGGGAACCGGCGUCGCUGCCAGUCCGAGACAGUAUUAAGCUCAGCUGCGGCGGCUGGCGUCGAUCAGUCCACGGUGGCCCGGCUUGGUCUGAUAGUUGUUGCGGCUGGUCUUACGUUGUUCUUUUAGAGUGAACAAUGAUUCUGGUCCUUUUUUCCUUGUUCAGUCGUAAGAGGGUCCCUUCGUGUAUUAAAUUCAAUUCUUUUGUUAAAUGUAAUUGCAUUCAUUAUAAUUGAAUUUAACAUAUUUUCUUGCAAAACCCCAAAUAAUAACCAAGCGUGUAACCAUGAAAUAAAUUUAUCAAAGAUGUGUUGAGUGCAACGACAUUACAUCCAUCCAUUAUAUACAACAGAAAUUCAGGCAGAGCUAAAUUCGUCUAGAUAAGUAAAAUGAUAUUUAAGGCGAAACAUUGGGGUAAACACCCAGUGCAACAUUUUACAUUAUUGGGAAAUGUAUGUACACACUGGUUUGAGAUAAGCCUAAAAAGAAGAUAAAUGAAGAAAACAAACCCUAACAAACCGAGCCAAAAAAAAGAAGAAACGGAAAUUGCAAGACUUCAGAUCGCCAAGCUUUGAAAGCAUUGCCAUAUUUUGUUUUCAUCUUGUGUCCAAAAAUCUGCUCGCCAAGAAACAGAAAUUACAAGAGUUCAGCUCGCCAAGCCCUUGUUCAUCCUGUUACCAUCAAGCUAAAAUCAUCAGCUCAGGACCCCUUACCCGAGAUCCGCCGGAUUUAACCCCGCCACGGGCUACGUGGCUUUGCUCUCCAGGGAGCGACGUGGUGAAGGGUGCUGACGGUGUACCUUGGCCCUGUGGGUGGUGAGGUGCACGGUGAUGGGUGAUCUUGGCGUAGCAGACGACUUCGAUGAAAGCUUUGCCUUGAUCUGGAUGUGGUGCUCCCCUUCCGUCGUGACGGGGUCCCGUUAGAGUUUCCUCGAUGUGGUGGGAGUUGUGGUCGAGCGAAAGCUUUGCGCUCUGGCGCCGGCGGCGACAAGGCCUGCAGGUGUUGUAUCCCUCUUGGGGCGUCACCUUGUACUUCUUCUUGUCAUCCAACUCUUAGGGUGAAACCUUUCUUAGCUUCGGCUGAUGCGGCGGUGGCGACGCUUUGGGUCGUUACCCUCCUGGGGGCAUCGCCGGUGAGGGUGUCUUCUUGCACGCUGGUGGGUUUCAUGUGCUUCUUCUCGGUUGCUAGCUCCAGGCGUUUAGGUGCACUUAGAGCGUUUUGAGUGUUCUUGGCUAGUAUUAUCGAUUUUCUUUAGAUCAGCUUAUGAGGUUCUGCCAUGUAUCAGGUCAUUUUGUUUCGGUUUGGUUGUUUAUGCCUUUAUCUAUGAAGGGGGCGAAAGCUUGUUUCGAGAGAGAGAACGAUUCGUGAAAUCGGUUGUCCUUGAUGGCCUAUUACAAUGGCGCGCAUGGUGACCGAUCUUGACCAAAUUCAGUCGAGCAACGCCUAUUACUGCCCUUCUUGUAUUUGUUAUCCUGCCUUCUAUAUAAUAAAGGUAUGGUACGUAAUUUAUGUACCAUUGUGAAAAGAUGAUUACGUUUUAUUUUCCAAUUUUUACAGUGGCGUACAUCUUAAUAAAUCAAUUAUCGCGCGGUAGGAAUAUGCACGCGCGCACCAAUACGUUCAUAAUUUUAAUCAAAGAUUAUGUUCAAAUAAUUAAUGUUUAGCACGCUCGAGCACCAGAUCGAUAGCAGCAGCCGCCAGACCCAGUCUACUCUCGGUUAUGGAUCCCAUCGCCACCAUUAUUAGAUUAUCAUCAUGGUAUAAUAGGCGAGCCAAGCAUGCACGCACCAACAUGUAUUUAAAUUCAUCUGGGAGUACUCGUAUUCAUGCAUCUUAGACCUACUAUACCUCACCUGGUCAACACGUUCUCACCUGAUGAACCUAGCUUGACCAAUCCAUUGCCUAUAUAUUUUGACAUAGUGGCAUCAACGAUCUUACAACACCUUCCAUCGUGCAACCAUUCUUUCUGCAACUUCCUUAGAUCCUAUCAAAUUUCUCUCUAGUGCUAACUUCUAGCUCCGAUCUUUUCAGUUAGUUAGUUGGUCGACAUUUAAUCCAUGGGGGCUAAAGUUCUUAUCUUGAUCACCCUGGUCGUGGCCAUGCUCGGGAUGGUGCUCGGCGCCAGUCACACGGUGGGCGCGUCGGCCGGAUCAUGGGACCUGCAGACCAACUACACCACGUGGGCUUCGAGAACUAGGUUUACCAUCGGCGAUGAGCUCCAGUUUGAGUACUCCACCACCGUGCACAAUGUGGUGGAGGUGAGGAAGGCUGGGUAUGACGCCUGCAACAGCUCUAGCCCCAUCGUGAUGUUCCUGACCGGCAACGACAUCGUCCCACUUGCGGCCAUUGGGACGCGGUACUUCAUUUGCGGCGUUCCAGGGCAUUGCAUCGCCGGUAUGAAGGUUCAAGUCAACGUGAAGUCGAAGGCAGUGCGGACAAUACAACGGUGCCGAGGGACGGGAAAGCGGUUCCGGUGCCGGUACGAGACUGUAUUAAGCUCGGCCACGGUGGCUGGCAUUGAUCAGUCUGCGAGGGCGCGGCUAGGUCUAGCCAUUGUCGUGACUAGUCUCAUGUUGUUCAUUUAGUGACCGACGAUUGAGGUGCCUUUUCUUCUUGACGCACCGUGCAUGCUUAUUUGUGUAUUGUAAAUCGCUUCUUUUGUUAAAUGUAAUUUGUCCAUUAUAAUUUGAUUUAACAUAUCUUCUUGCAAAACCGAACUAUAAUCAAGUGUUUAUAAUCAUGGAAUAAAUAAAGCGCAGUGCUAGGUGCCAUUUGGCCGGCCCAAAUUCUGGUGGGCCGCGCACUAGUCAUCAGAUGCAAGUUGCGUAGGCCGGCUGAUUUGGCUGUUCAGCUCCUUCCUCCUCACACCUUGCGCAGCUUGCCAAUGCCCCCCCCCCUCGACAACAUCGCACGUCCUGUCGCGUAGGUCCGUAGCACCGCGCCACGCUGGAGAGAUGCAUUAUCGAUGGUUUCUGCCGCUCUGAUGCUCGCAAUAGACACUCGCACUAGUUCCAGCAAAAACUCUCUCUGGUUCCAGCAUUUGCAUGCGCUUGUUGUAACAUCUCGCCGGCAAGUCGGUGCUCACCGUCGCUGAUUCCAGCAUCUAUAGUCUCUAGUUCCAGCAAAUGCGCGAGCCAAUUCCAGCAAAAAGACUUCGCAUGUGGCCUGUUGGUUCCAGCAAAAAUGCGCAGCUCGCAGUCACCACCGUCGUAGCUACUCUGAUGACUGCUUGCAGCUUUUUUGCCGACGGGUCCCAGCACCUCGCCACGUUGCUAGAAGCAUGCCGCCAUUCGGCGUCGGUCCGCGCCGUUGUAGCUCGCGGGAACCAUGGCCGCAUGGUCGCUGAGGUUUCGCAGCUUUUCUCCCGCCUCAUUCGAGCAUCCACACAUGUCAACUCUAGCAAAAAAGAUGACCGGAUGCAGCAUCUCACUACUAGGGAAAAGCCUAGUAGUAGCGCUGGUUUUUGGCCUAUCAGUAGCGUGGGUAGGCACGCUACUGAUAAGGCGCUACAGCUAAAGCUUAGCAGUAGCGCCGACUCUGUAGCGCCGACUGGCACGCGCUACUGAUAUAUCUUCUUAGUAGUAGCGCUUUCCAUGCCAAUCGCUACUGCUAACUACUAGUAGCGCUUUCGAGAAUAACCGCUACUACUAUUAUUCCGUAUUCCAUUUCUUUUGAAUUUUAGGUCGUAUUCAUACACCUGUAUACAAUUUUUCAUACAGUAGCAAUUUAGAGAUUAUUUUAACAUCAUAAUGAGUUAUUAAAUCAUUAGGUGAAAUAACUUUGGAUUAGUUUCAAGUGCAUGGAUCCAAAGUAACCAAUGGUCACUUUGGAUCCAUCCAUUUGAAACUAAUCCGCGGUUCUUUCACCCAGUGACAUAAUAACUUAUCAUCAUCAUCAUAAUAUCAUUAACAACUUAUCAUCAUAAUAUAUCAUUGUCAUAUAACUUCUCAUAAUCAUCAUUUUCGUCCAUGAUGAGACAUCAUAUAACAACUUCGUCACUAGUUAUAAUGACAAACUCCUCCUCAUCAUCAUCAUAGUACUCAUAAUCACUACUCCUACUCAGCAUCACCAUCAAGUCUAAGACAUUGUAGUCAUAUAUAAUCAACACUAACUAUUUUUUCUUAAUAGUUAGGACCUACUCCUCUCUCCUAGCUAAAAUACCAUAAAAUAGAUAAACCGGUCCUUCACCAUAAUGGAGAAUGGACAUAAACCUAUCUCCAACUUGUGGCUUGCGCACAUUCAUUUUGUCUCCAAUUAUUUGCGUGUGUGCAUUCAUCACUUUGCUCCAUUCUUUGAUUUUGAGCCUUCCAUCAUUUGAAGAAAUCGAGUAUGCAAUAUGGUAAGCCUCCGAAGGAGUUGGUCGUAAGCUAACCAUAUGCAUAUCACCUUCGGUACAUAGCAUGUCAGGCACAACCUUCUUUGGGAGCCUCUUUUCAAAACCGAAAUAGUAACAUAUAUAGUUAGCAAUGUAGUUUACUUAAGAAUAAUGUAUGCAAUGAAGUUACCAUCAUUAACAAAAUCUUACCAAGUUUUUGGCAAUGAAGUUACCAUCAAGCAAUGUAUGGACUAGUGGCACGUAUCUAGUAUAAUUUGGGCUGAUAGAGUGACUGGUUUUGAAGGCCUCAACAUCUUCUAUGAAUGAGACAAGAUAACCUUUCUCCUCACAAUUAAGCAUGGAAUCAUAGCUGUAGUGUGUGUUGUGUAAUACCUUUCGAGUAUUUCUUGAAGAUAAGAAAUAAGAUGACAAUUAUAAAUAAAUAAGUUUAGUACGGACGAACACCAAGUAUUUUUAAAUUAACAACAUAAAUUACUGAACUUAACAAAUUAGUUUGACAAACUCACAUCUAGGUAAAACUGGAGGCAUAUCCACAUCCACCCAGAUGUCGACAUUAUCAUCAUCAUCAUCAUAAUCUUCAGGACGAAUAUCAAAUCUUAUUCGUAUUUCCUCCUCAAAUCCAUAUGCCUUGUAGAGAGCUUCACAAUUAGAGCAACCAAAAUGGGAGCGAUCGACCGCAUUGUAGAACUUAACCAGAAACUCAUAACCAUGUUUAGUUCUUAAGUGAGCCCUCAUCGUCUCCACAUUCUCAAAGUCAUCUAAACCAAAACCAAGCUUCUCCAAUACAUAUGGUCUAGCAUGGCACGGGAUGUACUAGUCGAGUUGAAAAAAAAUCCAUAAAUUACAUGUUGAACAAAAGAAGCACAAGUGAUGAUAUUUAUUACGAUGAAAUGCUUGUCGUUGUGUACCGUACAAACACCGAAGGUCUCUUCCAGCUUCACGGUGAAAAACCUAUCAUUUUGUAGGUGAGGAAACCUGUCGCACACACCACGGUCAUCGUAGCAGUACCCACACUCCGGGAUCCCAUCGUCAUCAGACAUCUCCUGUGUUCAAAAUUCAAGGAUUAUAACUCGACAGCAAAACCCAAAAAAUCCGGCAUGACCUUUGCUAAAAAGACAUAUCGAGCACCUGAAAUUUGCCGGAACGGAAAUUAAUCAACACUUCGGCAAAACAUAGGCCAUUUAUCGAUGGUCAUUGCAUUUCAGUGGUUCAAAAUAUGAAAAUAUCUUAUAUAUAAUCCUAACAGUAAAUAAACUAGUUUUAUUAACUACUUACUAAAUAAACUAGUUUUAUUAACUACUUACUAAAUAAAGUAGUUUUAUUAAGCACUUACUAUAAAUAAACUAGUUCUAUUAAGCACUUACCAAAUAAACUAGUUCUAUUAAGUACCUAAUAUAAAUAAACUAGUUAUAUUAAUCACUUACUAAAUAAACUAUUUUCUAUUAAACACUUGCUAAAAAUUCUACUACCCUAGUUCUACCCUAAAUUUUCUUACUUCUAUUUUAUUCAAAACACCUACGAUUUGCANNNNNNNNNNNNNNNNNNNNNNNNNNNNNNNNNNNNNNNNNNNNNNNNNNNNNNNNNNNNNNNNNNNNNNNNNNNNNNNNNNNNNNNNNNNNNNNNNNNNNNNNNNNNNNNNNNNNNNNNNNNNNNNNNNNNNNNNNNNNNNNNNNNNNNNNNNNNNNNNNNNNNNNNNNNNNNNNNNNNNNNNNNNNNNNNNNNNNNNNNNNNNNNNNNNNNNNNNNNNNNNNNNNNNNNNNNNNNNNNNNNNNNNNNNNNNNNNNNNNNNNNNNNNNNNNNNNNNNNNNNNNNNNNNNNNNNNGAAGGAGGGGGCGGCCGUAGGCGAAGGGAGGAGGGCGCGGUGGGAGGAGGAGGGAGGAGGGCGCGGUGGGAGGAGGAGGAGGGAUGGAAGGAGGGAGUACCUCGGUGGCGAACGGACGACGGUGAUUAUCGGCACGGGCGAGAGUGAUGGGGGAGAGUGAGUGAGCGAGGGGGGUCGAUGAGGGAGUCCUGGAUUAGGGGGUCCUUGGACAGCCGGACUAUAUGCUUAUGGCGGACUGUUGGACUAUGAAGAUACAAGAUUGAAGACUUCGUCCCGUGUCCGGGUGGACUCUUCUUUGCGUGGAAGGCAAGCUUGGCGAUUCGGAUAUGUAGAUUCCCUUCUCUGUAACCGACUCUGUGUAACCCUAGCCCCCUCCAGUGUCUAUAUAAACCGGAGGGUUUAGUCCGUAGGACGACAACAAUCAUAAUCAUAGGCUAGCUUCUAGGGUUUAGCCUCUACGAUCUCGUGGUAGAUCAACUCUUGUAAUACUCAUAUCAUCAAGAUCAAUCAAGCAGGAAGUAGGGUAUUACCUCCAUAGAGAGGGCCCGAACCUGGGUAAACAUAGUGUCCCCCGCCUCCUGUUACCAUUAGCCUUAGACGCACAGUUCGGGACCCCCUACCCGAGAUCCGCCGGUUUUGACACCGAAAUUGGUGCUUUCAUUGAGAGUUCCACUGUGUCAUCACCAUAAGGCUUGAUGGCCCCUUCGAUCAUCUACAAUGAUGCAGUCCAGGGUGAGGUUUUCCUCCCCAGACAGAUCUUCAUAUUCAGUGGCUUCGCACUGCGGGUCAACUUGCUUGGCCAUCUGGAGCAGAUCGAUAGCUACGCCCCUGGCUAUCAGGUCGGGUUUGGAUGGCUGAAUUACACUGCCGACAUCCACGAAUACUUGAUCUUCGACGGAUUCGAGCCCAUGACAGGUGCACCCUAUAGUCGCGAUGAGCAUGACUUAGAUCUGCCAUCGGACGAUGUUCAGGAGAUCACACCUGCAGCUUCCCCAGCUUUAAAUCCAGAGCAGAUCGUGCCAUCCGAGGACGGGUUGAUGGACUAGCCACGGAGGCCGCACACUCAGCGGAGAUAGAGCCGAACAUAGAUUUCACUUCCAAGGAGGUCUGUGUCAUCGGAUCCUCGGACUCAUCUCCGGCCAUAGGCUUCGAACCGCGUACAUCCGUGCCCAUCGGAUCUAAUUGGGUACCGAUCAUGGAGUUUAGCUCCACGGAUAUCUUUCAGCACUCACCCUUGGGCGACGUGCUAAACUCAUUAAAAUCUCUCUCCCUGUCAGGAGACUCUCGACCGAACUAUGUCCGGCUGGAGUGGGAAGCGGACGACGAAGGAAUUCGUACCCACCCACCACCCACUUAAUAGCCAUUGUCAAUGACUCAACCGACAUGCUUGAUUUUGACUCCGAAGACAUCGACGAUAUGGACGACGAUACCGGGGUAGAACAGGAACCACCGCCCACAGGGCGCUGGACAGCCACCUCAUCAUAUGACAUAUACAUGGUGGACACACCCAAAGAAAACAAUGGUGAGGAGCAGAAGGAUGCAACGACUCCUGAGAAGCAGCCAAAGCGCCGACAUCAGUGGCGCCGCUCUAAACCCCGCCAUAGCAAAAACAGUGAUACUGGUACAAGAAAGAAUAACACCCCAAACAAUGCCGAAGACAAUGACGACCCCGCAGACCCAGCGAUGAAGCAGGAUGGGCCAGGAGACGGCAAACACAGUCCAGGGCCGCUGUCCGAUCACAGCGAUGCCGAAGACAAAACUUAUAAACCUGUCUCUGGAGAGGAGAACAGUCCGGACGAUGAUGCACACAUCAUCUCGGAAAAGCACUUGGAACAAGAGCACCUCCACAAAAGGCUUAUUGCCACCGUGAGGAGCUUGAAGAAGCAGAAGCAAUGGCUUAAAGCCGCGCAGGAUAUGCUCAACCAUAGAUGGAACAAAGUGCUCGACACUGACGAAAUAUACGGCGGUGAUCGCCACACAAAGAGCUACCCAAAACGCAAGCUGCUACCCGAAUUCGACGACGAGGCUAUCGCGCCCAUUCCGCCAAAAAACAACACGACCGAUCUGCCGGACCGACCACCCCGUGGCCGAGACAGAGCGGCUAAUGACGCUGCACACAAGUCAGCACACGGUCUACGUGAGCACCUGGACAAAAGAGCUGGUAUGACCAAGUCCAUCUAUGGAUCUAGGAAACGUGUUCCUACGUAGGAUCACGGCCACCAAACCGACUAUAAUGAUCGACUACCAGCUCGGAAUCAACACCGAACACUACAGCCAUCGGACCCACGCCACGACACAUCCAAGUACAGGGGCACCACACACCCCCUGUGCUUCAUCGAUGAGGUGCUGGAUCAUGAAUUUCCAGAGGGGUUUAAACCCGUAAACAUCGAGGCAUACGACGGAACGACAGACCCUGCAGUCUAGAUUGAGGACUUUAUUCUUCACAUCCAUAUGGCUCACGGAGACGAUCUCCAUGCCAUCAAAUACCUGCCCCUCAAGUUGAAAGGACCAGGUCGACACUCGUUGAAAAGCCUUCCCAAAAAUUCCAUUAGAAGCUGGGAGGAACUCGAGGACGCUUUCAGGGCUAAUUUUCAAGGGACAUACGUUCGACCCCCGGAUGCAGACGAUUUAAGUCACAUAUUUCAACAACCCGGAGAGUCAGCCCGUAAGCUUUGGAACAGAUUUCUCACCAAGAAGAACCAAAUCAUCGACUGUCCGGAUGCCGAACCCCUAGAAGCUUUCAAACACAGUGUCCAGGAUGAAUGGCUUGCCACACACCUCGGCCAGGAAAAGCCAAGGACAAUGGCAGCCCUAACAACUCUUAUGACCCACUUUUGCACAGGCGAGGACAGUUGGUUGGCUCGAAGCGGCACCAACGAUCCACGCACAUCCGAAAUAAGGGAUGGCAAUGGAAAACCAUGACGCAAUAAAAACAAGCGUCGAAAUAACAAAGGCAACCCAGACAACACAAUGGUAAACACCGGAUUCAGGAGCUCCAGACCCGGUCAACGGAAAAAGCCAUUUAAAGGCAGCAGAUAUGGACCGUAUAGUCUAAAUAAAAUUUUAGACAGGUCCUAUCAAAUUCAUGGCACCCCCGAGAAACCUGCGAAUCACACCGACAGAGAAUUCUGGGUCUUCAAGAAGGCCGGCAAGCUAAAUGCUGAACACAAGAGGAGGGAGCCGCCAAGUGAAGACGAGGACGAACCUCGCCAGCCGAACACUGGGGAACAGAAAAAAAUCCACCAGAGGUCAAAACAGUGAACAUGAUUUACGUCACCCACAUACCAAAGGGGAAGCGCAAACGGGCACUCUGAGACGUAUACGCUGUAGAACCAGUCGCCCCCAAAUUCAAUCCAUGGUCGACCUGCCCAAUCACUUUCGAUCGCAAGGAUCAUCCGACUAGUAUCCGGCAUGGAGGUUCGGCCGCCUUGGUGCUCGACCCAAUAAUUGACGGAUACCAUCUCACCCGAGUCCUCAUGGACGGCGGCAGUAGUCUUAAUCUGAUAUAUCAGGACACUGUCCACAAGAUGGGGAUAGACCCGUCAAGAAUCAACCAAAGCAGUACUACCUUUAAAGGAGUAAUACCAGGCGUAGCGGCCCGCUGCACAGGCUCUUUGACGUUAGUGGUUGUAUUCGAUUCUCCCGACAACUUUCGAAGCGAAGAACUAAUCUUCGACAUCGCUCCGUUCCGAAGCGGUGGUCAUGCACUUCUCGGAAGAAUGGUCUUCACCCAUUUCAAUGCAGUACUGCAUUACGAUUAUCUCAAACUUAAGAUGUCUGGUCCACGUGGCGUCAUCACAAUCAGCGGAAACACAGACCGUUCUCUUCGUGCGAAAGAUUACAUGGAGGCUCUAGCAGCCGAACCACUGAACGGCCCUCCAACCCAAGUAACUCAUCGGUCUUCGAGACCACGGACACGGCUAGACGCGUACGGCGCACACCUAGUUAUAGCAGCCCAGAUAAACCUGAGCUUGAUUAAUGGCUAUGCCCCCAUAUGUGGUGCUAGGGGCUACCCGCAUGUAAAAGGCCCAUAGUUCGGCUUGACCCUAUUUACACUCAAGAGAUCGAAUUUUCAUGGUUCAUUAAGAUUAACCGACUUUACGCACGGUCACACCAGAUUCUUUCACCUAGGUUUUUCUUUCUUUUUAUAGAUGACCAUCGUGCUAUACCCUUCCAGGAUACAGCACAACGGAGACAAAGGCAUAGACGUGCAGCAUGGCCCCGUUCAAAGGUUUCUUUUUAGAUUAAGACCCUGUGUAAACCUUUUUUAUUGUCUCUUGUUGGCCCACACCCUCUUGGUACUUAAAAUGACCAAGAGGGAUACUGGCGUCAUUGGCAAGCUUAUGAUUCACCGAUCUAAAAUAGACAUUACAGGGGCCGCAACCAAUGUGUUUCUGGGAUCUAUGCUCUCACCACAGCCGCUCUUUCAUCACGCCAGAUUAAUGCACGUACCUAGAAAUUCAGGGCUCGUUAUCGAGGGCGGUACUCAGCCCAGUAUAUGUUGUCAAGUCCGAAUACCUUCGGGAGUGUUCGGCGUCGCGAGUUUGGCCUUAUAUGCAUCAGCUCCGAAUCAUGUCUUUGGUCAAUAGUUGGGUUUGCCCGUCUCUUGUGUUUUGCUACCUUACGUUCCGCUCUAUCGGCUAAGGUGGCACCGGGAGAACUACUGUGAUUGUGCCCUGGUUCAUCCGGAUGAGCACCUCAGUAGAGAAAGCCAAAAACUGACUGUCAUGAUAAAGCGAGAGACUGGUCGACCACUCGAUGACUCAGCGGAAUCUUCGCGAUUCAUCUGCAUUAACGAAGGACCGGUUUCAUGGUCACGUAUGUACACGCACCGUAUUCGGAUGAAAGCGAACAUACCAGGGGCUAUAUAGUAGCCCCACUGUCAAACUCCUAUGGCUAAGUGAAAGUGUUAAAGCUAUAUAGUCUGAUUGCCUUGUUCGCCGCGCUACCACCUCCUUAACGUACCAAGACGUUGGAUCAAGUGUGAUUACGCGCUUUGCCGAACACCCCCGCAUUAUAUGCGAGGGGGCUGAAGCCGACAACUGCAAACUUUCAGGUUAUAUACAUAUAUAUAUAAGCGGCCGCACAGGAGGCACUACAAUACUUUACGGGCAAAAGUAUACAUAUAGCCUUUAUUAUCAAAAGCAUUGUUUUUACAAACAAGAUACAUGUCAUUUGAACAUGGUAUUCUUUGAGCACUGAGCCUCUAUUAAACGGGCACCUUCUAAGACUUCUUCAAAAUAGUGCUCGGGCAAGUCCUGGCCCCCGGGCGGACCCCUGGUUGCAAUAUCGGUGGCCUCCAUCUUCGCCCAAUAUGUCUUAACACGGGCAAGGGCCAUCCGCGCACCCUCUAUGCACGCCGACCUCUUGACAGCGUCGAUAUGCGGCACAGCACAAAUAAAUCGUUGCACCAAACCAAAAUAACUAUCUGGACUUGGUUCCGUCGACCACAGGUGAUCCACGACGGCCUUCAUGGCAAGCCUGGAUAACCUAUGGAGCUCGGACAAUUCGGCCAUUUGCUCAUUCAACAGUAGCGGACGCCUUGGAGUACUGAACUGCGACCAGAACAAUCUUUCCAUUUCAUGAUCUUCUCGAUCUUCGAAAUACUGUGUCGCAUCAGCAGCACUCUUUGCCAAAUCCAAGUAUGCGUCUGAAGAACUCCACAAUUGAUCAAGAGGGGCAUACUUCGGAUCGCCGAAUUUCGUUCACAACAAAAAGGGCUUCCCAGCCGCGAUCUCACUGGCUUGUCGAAGCUCCUCCCGAGCCGCUCUGAUCUCAGAGUGAGUUUCCUUUCCUGCUUGGAAGGCCUUCUUUAGGUCAGCCGUUUUCUUUUGGUUUUCCCUUUCAAGAAGUUCAUAUCGGCUGGCGACAUUUUGUAGCUCAAGAGCCAUGUAGGCUAUUUUAUCCUCACUUUGGUGAUGAGCAGCCUGUUCGGCUUUUAAUUCAUCAGCUGCCUUCACGGCGGCCGCAUUGCUUCUCCUGGCUUGCUCCUUGGCCCGGGCAAGAUCUGCCCGAAGGGUCUCCACAGCGGCAGCACCAUCUGUACUCAAAGCAUAUUAUAAAUCCUAGCAUCAUGCUCUUAUUAAUAUUUGCUGACCACCCAAAUAUACAUACCCUGUGCCUCGUCAAGCCGCUUGUUCACAAGCGUGAUGUCUGCAUCCGCCACGUCAAGUUGCCGCCUCACUUCAGCAAAUUCAGCAGUUCGGUCAGCCGCCAGAGAUGCAGACGCCUGCACACAAAAUUGGCACCAUCAUUACCUAAGACUAUGAUCCUCUGCUCGCCUCGUCCGGAUGGCAACCAGAGUCUCAUGGGCUACUAUCCAUACAAAGUGCACUGAUACGUCUCCGUCGUAUCUAUAAUUUUUGAUUGUUCCAUGCCAAUAUUAUUCAACUUUCAUAUACUUUUGGUAACUUUUUAUAUUAUUUUUGGGACUAGCAUAUUGAUCCAGUGCCCAGUGCCAGUUCCUGUCUGUUGCAUGUUUUAUGUUUCGUAGAAACCCCAUACCAACGGACUCUAAACAGGAUAAAAACGGACAAAUAAUUACUUUGGAAUAUUUGUGUUUUUUGGGAAGUAAAAUCAACGCAAGACGGUGCCCGAGGUGGCCAGGAGACAGGGGCCCACGCCCACUCUAGGUGGGCACGCCCCCACCCUCCUAGGCCCCUCGUAAGGCGGUUGAUGCCCUUCUUUGGCUGCAAGAAAGCUAAUUUUUUGAAAAAUAUCUGGGCAAAGGUUUCAAUCCAAUCGGAGUUACGGAUCUUUGGAUAUAAAAGAAACGGUGCAAGGGCAGAAUUCCAGAACGCGGAAACAGAGAGAGACAGAGAGAUAGAUCCAAUCUUGGAGGGGCUCUCGCCCCUCCCACGCCAUGGGAGCCAACGACCAGAGGGUAAACCCUUCUCCCAUCUAGGGAGGAGGUCAAGGAAGAAGAAGAAGAAGGGGAGCUCUCUCCCCCUUGCUUCCGGUGGCGCCGGAGCGCUGCCGGGGGCCAUCAUCAUCAACGCGAUCUUCACCAAUACCUCCGCCAUCUUCACUAACAUCUCCAUCACCUUCCCCCAUCUAUAUUCAGUGGUCGACUCUCCCGCAACCCGCUAUACCCUCUACUUGAACAUGGUGCUUUAUGCUUCAUAUUAUCAUCCAAUGAUGUGUUGCCAUCCUAUGAUGUCUGAGUAGAUUUUCGUUGUCCUACCGAUGAUUGAUGAAUUGCUAUGAUUGGUUUGAAUUGCAUGUUUUAUUAUUGGUGUUGUCCUAUUGUGCUCUCAGUGUCGCGCAAGCGCGAGGGAUCCCCGCUGUAGGGUUUGCAAUAUGUUCAUGGUUUGCUUAUGGUGGGUGGCGUGAGUGACAGAAGCACAGACCCGAGUAAGUAGGUUGUUUCCAUAUGGGAUAAAGGGGACUUGAUACUUUAAUGCUAUGGUUGGGUUUUACCUUAAUGAUCUUUAGUAGUUGCAGAUGCUUGCUAGAGUUCCAAUCAUAAGUGCAUAUGAUCCAAGAAGAGAAAGUAUGUUAGCUUAUGCCGCUCCCUCAAAUAGAAUUGCAAUAGUGAUUACCGGUCUAGUAACGUAGUCAAUUUCUUAGGGACAAUUUCACAACUCCUACCACCACUUUUCAACACUCGCUAUAUUUACUUUAUUGCUUCUUUAUCUAAACAGCCCCUAGUUUAUAUUGGAUCGUUUGGGCUCCUUCAAACCUACUACCAUGUGUUUCAAUCUCCCCCGGAUCAUCAGACAAAUCCCUGGUCUGGAAAUGCUGCCUCUGCCUUUCUCUAAGGAGGAGAUUGACGCAGUGGUGAAAGAAAUGCCGGACGAUCGUGCCCCGAGCCCCGAUGGAUUUCAUGGUUGCUUUCUCAAGAGCUGCUGGCCAAUCAUUAAAGAGGAUUUCUAUAAAAUGUGUCAAGAUUUCCAUGAAGGCAAUCUUGAUAUUACCAGCAUCAGUGAGGGGUUCAUUACCUUGAUUCCAAAGACAUCUUCUCCUGAAACUGCCAAUGACUAUAGGCCAAUAACCCUGCUGAAUUGCUGUCCGAAAAUCAUCACCAAAAUCUUGGCCAACCGUCUGCAGAAAGUUAUCUUGAUGAUCAUCCAUAGAAACCAAUAUGGUUUCAUUAAGGGGAGGACCAUCCAGUACUGCCUUGCUUGGUCGUUUGAAUAUAUCCACCAGUGCCAGAGGUCGUCGCGUGAGAUAAUGUUGCUCAAAUUGGACUUUGCCAAAGCCUUUGACACCAUCGAACAUGCCCCGAUGAUGGAGAUCAUGAAACAUAUGGGUUUUGAUGACAAGUGGCUGGGUUGGAUGGAAUCUAUCUUUGGUUCCGGUGUCUUCUGUCUUACUCAAUGGGGUUCCUGGCAGAAAAUUCCAAUGCAAAUGCGGGAUGCACCAGGGCGACCCCCUCUCUCCUCUGAUUUUUGUCCUCGCUGCUGAUCUUCUCCAAGCCGCAGUCAAUGAAUCUUUUGCUCGUGGAUUGAUUGAUCUACCCAUCCCAUGCAAUCACGACGGGGAUUAUCCGGUGGUGCAGUACGCAGACGAUACCAUUCUGGUGAUGCAUGCCUGCCCUGACCAAGCUGCCCGUAUGAAAACAAUCCUAGAGGAUUAUGCAGCAUCUGUUGGUCUGAAAACUAAUUUUCAUAAAUCCACGCUUAUACCCAUUAACCUUGAUCAACAACGCGCACUUGACCUGGCUCACAUUUUCAGUUGCUCGAUUGGAUCUAUGCCGUUCACAUACCUUGGCCUCCCCAUGGGCACGACCAAGCCGACGCUACUUGAUCUCAUGCCGUUGGUGCAUGGGGCGGAAAGGAAAAUGUCAACGGCUCUUUCGUUAAUGUCAUCGGGGGCCAAGCUCACCUUGGUCAAUUCUACAGUCACCUCCAUGUUGAUCUACGCCAUGUGCAUGAUCAAGCCGCACCCAAAAGUGAUUGAGCACCUUGACAAGCUACGCAUGUACUGUCUUUGGGCGAAGAACUCUGAUGAUGGCGUCAAAAAUAAUUCCCUCGCUGCUUGGGAAUUGGUCUGUAGACCCAAAAGUAAAGGGGGGCUUGGAGUCAUCGAUAUCAAAACCCAGAACAUUGCCCUCCUUCUGAAACAUUUGUUUAAGUUUUACAACCACCACAAUGUCCCCUCGGUGACCUUGAUCUGGGACACAUAUUACUCUGACAGAAUUCCACAUGCAGUGGAACCGUUGGGUUCUUUCUGGUGGCGUGAUGUUAUGCAGCUCAGAGAUGUGUUCCGCGGGGUUACCAAGGUCGCUCCGGGCAAUGGCUCCUCAUCUCUGUUUUGGAAAGAUGCAUGGUUCGAUGAUCGUUACGCCCCUCUGAUGGAGAUCUACCCUAGAGCUUUCUCUUUCUGCCUGAAUGAAGACGAGCCAGUGGUUAAUAUUCUCACUGCCACUGACCCAAGCUUGAUCUUCCACCUGCCUCUCUCCACGCAAGCUAGAGAGGAAAUCGGAGAAAUCCAACAUGGGUCCAUGCAUGUCCUGCUUGACAGAGAUUGCAACGACACAUGGGUUUGCAACCUUGGUGGAUCUUUCUCCUCCAAGAGAUACUAUGAUCACUCUUUCAGGGAUACGGUUGCUGAUGUGGCCUUUGGAUGGCUGUGGAAGGCCAAGAGCCCAAUCAAGUUUAAAAUGUUUGGUUGGCUGCUGGUGGUCGAUCGAUUGAACACUAGGAAUAUGCUGAAACGCCGACAUUUUGCUGUGAUCAGGAACAACUACGCGUGCAUGCUUUGUCAAAACCCUCAUGAGGAAACGGUCAAGCAUCUCUUCUUCAACUGCCCGUUUAGCCGCCAUUGUUGAGACAAGGUUGGCAUGCUCUGGCCAAGCUCUGGGAAUAGGCUAACCCUGAUACAUGCUGACAAAGAUGGUUGGCGCCUGCCGUUGUUUAUGGAUAUUUCUUGCUGGCCGCUUGGAGCCUGUGGAAGGAGAGAAACAAUGUUCACUUCAGGGGGAUUCCACACUCUUUUGGUUCAUGGUUGGCUAGAUUCAAAGAGCUUUUGGCUUUGUUAGUUCAUAAUUGCAAGGAGGGCAUGCGUCCCUCCCUAGAAACAAACAUACAUAGCUUGUAGCCGCUGCUUAGGUGGAACUCUAGAACACAUGGCCGGGGGGCCUUACAACCCACUUGUAACAAUGUUGUAACUAGUUCCUUGUGAGUAAUACAAAGUCAGUGGGAGCCUCUCCCACUGUCGUGCAGUUUCAAAAAAAACACCUACAAAGUACUUCUAGUUUCAUACUUGUUCUAGGUAAAGCGAACGUCAAGCGUGCAUAGAGUUGUAUCAGUGGUCGAUAGAACUUGAGGGAAUAUUUGUUCUACCUUUAGCUCCUCGUUGGGUUCGACACUCUUACUUAUCGAAAGAGGCCACAAUUGAUCCCGUAUACUUGCGGGUUAUCAAGACCUUUUUCUGGCGCCGUUGCCGGGGAGUCAUAGCGUGGGGUGAAUAUUCUCGUGUGUGCUUGUUUGCUUUAUCACUAAGUAAUUUUUAUUUUCUGUUCUUAGUUGUUUUCUAUCUUUAGUUAUGGGUAGGAAACGCAAAAUACCAAAAAAAUUAGUUGUGCCUACUACACCAAUGGUUGAAGAACCACUCAAAAUCUAUCACACUCCUGAAGCUUUUUACUUGGAUCAUCUUUGAUCCGUUUGUGCUCGUGCCGAAACCCCAACUAGAUAGUCCUUGGUUGAUUUAUAGAAUUCUCAUUGCACUUCACUUAAAUAUUUUGAGUAUGGCUUUAUAGAAUGCUUCAUGUGCUUCACUUAUAUCAUUUGAAGUCUGGAUUGCUUGUUUCUCUUCACAUAGAAAACCGCCAUUUGUAGAAUGCUCUUUUGCUUCACUUAUAUUUGUUAGAGCGUGGGCAUAUCUUUUGUAGAAAGAAUUAAACUCUCUUGCUUCACUUAUAUCAAUUUAGAGAGAUGACAGGAAUUGGUCAAUCAGAUGGUUAGUCAUAAAAUCCUACAUAAACUUGUGGAUCACUGAAUAUGAUAUGUUUGAUUCCUUGCAAUAGUUCUGUGAUAUAGAGGUGAUAAUAUGUGGGAGGUACUAGUAGAUGGUUGUGUUUAGUAAGGAUGUUGGUGUUAAGGUUUGUGAUUCCUGAAGCAUGCACGUAUGGUCUACUAACUAUGUAACCAAAUUGGCACGCAUUGUAUUUUAAUUGUUUAUCUUUGCGUGAAGGUUGGGGGCGCGCUAUGGUUAACUCCUACCAACCUCCCCCCUAGGAGCAUGUGCGUAGUACUUUGUUUCAAGGGCUAAUAAAUUUUUGCAAUAAGUAUGUGAGUUCUUUAUAACUAAUGUUGAGUCCAUGGAUUAUACGCACUCUCACCCUUCCAUCAUUGCUAGCCUAUUCGGUACCGUGCAUUGCCCUUUCUCACCUCAAGAGUUGGUGCAAACUUCGCCGGUGCAUCCAAACCCCGUGAUAUGAUACACUCUAUCACACAUAAACCUCCUUAUAUCUUCCUCAAAACAGCCACCAUACCUACCUAUCAUGGCAUUUCCAUAGCCAUCCCAAGAUAUAUUGCCAUGCAACUUCCAUCAUCAUCAUAUACAUGACUUGAGCAUUCAUUGUCAUAUUGCUUUGCAUGAUCAUAAAAUAGCUAGAAUGAUGUUUUCAUGGCUUGUCCAUUUUUUGAUGUCAUUGCUACGCUAGAUCAUUGCACAUCCCGGUACACCGCCGGAAGCAUUCAUAUAGAGUCAUAUCUUUGUUCUAGUAUCGAGUUGUAAUAUUGAGUUGUAAGUAAAUAAAAGUGUGAUGAUCAUCAUUAUAGAGCAUUGCCCCAUGAAAAAAAAGAGGCCAAAGAAUCCUAAAUAAAAAAGGGGGCCAAAGAAGCCCACCCAAAAAAAGAAAAAAAAAGAAGAAAAGAAAAGGCUCAAUGUUACUAUCCUUUUUCCACACUUGUGCUUCAAAGUAGCACCAUGUUCUUCAUAUAGAGAGUCUCCUAUAUUGUCACUUUCAUAUACUAGUGGGGAUUUUCAUUAUAGAACUUGGCUUGUAUAUUCCAACGAUGGGCUUCCUCAAAUGCCCUAGGUCUUCAUGAGCAAGCAAGUUGGAUGCACACCCACUUAGUUUUUAGUUUUAGCUUUCAUACACUUAUAGCUCUUAGUGCAUCCGUUGCAUGGCAAUCCCUACUCCUCGCAUUGACAUCAAUUGAUGGGCAUCUCCAUAGCCUGUUGAUUAGCUGCGUCAAUGUGAGACUUUCUUCCUUUUUGUCCUCUCCACAUGACCUCCACCAUCAUAUUCUAUUCCACCCAUAGUUCUAUAUCCAUGGCUCGCGAUCAUGUAUUGCGUGAAAGUUGAAAAGGUUUGAGAUUACUAAAGUAUGAAACAAUUGCUUGGCUUGUCAUCGGAGUUGUGCAUGAUUAAAUACUUUGUGCGAUGAAGAUAGAGCAACAGCUAGACUAUAUGAUUUUGUAGGGAUAGCUUUCUUUGGCCAUGUUGUUUUGAAAAGACAUGAUUGCUUUAUUGGUACGCUCGAAGUAUUAUUGUUUUUAUGUCAAAUGAUAGACUAUUGUUUUGAAUCACUCGUGUCUUAAUAUUCAUGCCAUGAUUAGAUAUAUGAUCAAGAUUAUGCUAGGUAGCAUUCCACAUCAAAAAUUAUCUUUUUUAUCAUUUACCUACUCGAGGACGAGUAGGAAUUAAGCUUGGGGAUGCUGAUACGUCUCCGUCUUAUCUAUAAUUUUUGAUUGUUCCAUGCCAAUAUUAUUCAACUUUCAUAUACUUUUGGUGACUUUUUAUAUUAUUUUUGGGACUAACAUAUUGAUCCAGUGCCCAGUGACAGUUCCUGUCUGUUGCAUGUUUGAUGUUUCGCAGAAACCCCAUAUCAAACGGAGUCCAAACGGGAUAAAAAUGGAUGGAGAAUUAUUUCGGAAUAUUUGUGAUUUUUGCAAAGUAAAAUCAACGCGAGACGGUGCCCGAGGUGGCCACGAGACUGGGGCCCACGCCCACUCCAGGUGGGCGCUCCCCCCACCCUCCUGGGCCCCUCGUAAGGCGGUUGAUGCCCUUCUUUGGCCGCAAGAAAGCUAUUUUUUAGAAAAAGAUCUGGGCAAAGGUUUCAAUCCAAUCGGAGUUACGGAUCUCCGGAUAUAAAAGAAACGGUGCGAGGGCAGAAUUCCUGAACGCAGAAAUAGAGAGAGAGAGAGAGAGCGAGAUAGAUCCAAUCUUGGAGGGGCUCUCGCCCCUCCCAUGCCAUGGGAGCCAAGGACCAGAGGGGAAACCCUUCUCCCAUCUAGGGAGGAGGUCAAGGAAGAAGAAGAAGAAGAAGGGGGACUCUCUCCCCCUUGAUUCCGGUGGAACCGGAGCGCUGCCGGGGGCCAUCAUCAUCACCGCGAUCUUCACCAACACCUCCUCCAUCUUCACCAACAUCUCCAUCACCUUCCCCCAUCUAUAUUCAGCUGUCCACUCUCCCGCAACCCGCUGUACCCUCUACUUGAACAUGGUGCUUUAUGCUUCAUAUUAUUAUCCAAUGAUGUGUUGCCAUCCUAUGAUGUUUGAGUAGAUUUUCGUUGUCCUACCGGUGAUUGAUGAAUUGCUAUGAUUUGUUUGAAUUGCAUGUUUUAUUAUCAGUGUUGUCCUAUUGUGCUCUCCAUGUCGCGCAAGCGUGAGGGAUCCCCGCUGUAGGGUUUGCAAUAUGUUCAUGGUUUGCUUAUGGUGGGUGGCGUGAGUGACAGAAGCACAGACCCGAGUAAGUAGGUUGUUUGCGUAUGGGAUAAAGGGGACUUGAUACUUUAAUGCUAUGGUUGGGUUUUACCUUAAUGAUCUUUAGUAGUUGCAGAUGCUUGAUAGAUUUCCAAUCAUAAGUGCAUAUGAUCCAAGAAGAGAAAGUAUGUUAGCUUAUGCCUCUCCCUCAAAUAGAAUUGCAAUAGUGAUUACCGGUCUAGUAAUGUAGUCAAUUGCUUAGGGACAAUUUCACAACUCCUACCACCACUUUUCCACACUCGCUAUAUUUACUUUAUUGCUUCUUUAUCUAAACAGCCCCUAGUUUAUAUUUAUGUGCUCUUUAUUAUCUUGCAAACCUCCAACAACACCUACAAAGUACUUCUAGUUUCAUACUUGUUCUAGGUAAAGCGAACGUCAAGCAUGCGUAGAGUUGUGUCGGUGGUCGAUAGAACUUGAGGGAAUAUUUAUUCUACCUCUAGCUCCUCGUUGGGUUCGACACUCUUACUUAUCGAAAGAGGCUACAAUUAAUCCCGUAUACUUGUGGGUUAUCAUGCACCUUGCGUUUACGGUACAAUCAAAGAAUAUCACUUUGCGUACCUCAAAGCCUCUUAGCAGGUGAGGGAGUCCUGGAUUAGGGGGUGUCCGGAUAGCCGAACUAUGACCUUUGGCCAGACUCCUGGACUAUGAAGAUACAAGAUUGAAGACUUCGUCCCGUGUCCGGAUGGGACUUUCCUUAGCGUGGAAGGCAAGCUUGGCGAUAUGGAUAUGUAGAUCUCCUACCAUUGUAACCGACUCUGUGUAACCCUAACCCUCUUCGGUGCCUAUAUAAACCGGAGGGUUUUAGUCCGUAGGACGAACAACAAUCAUACCAUAGGCUAGCUUCUAGGGUUUAGCCUCUCUGAUCUCGUGGUAGAUCUACUGUUGUACUACCCAUAUCAUCAAUAUUAAUCAAGCAGGAGUAGGGUUUUACCUCCAUCGAGAGGGCCCGAACCUAGGUAAAAACAUCGUGUCCCUUGUCUCCUGUUACCAUCCGCCUAGACACACAGUUCGGGACCCCCUACCCGAGAUCCGUCGAUUUUGACACCGACAUUGGUGCUUUCAUUGAGAGUUCCUCUGUGUCGUCAUCGUUAGGCCCGAUGGCUCCUCCGAUCAUCAACAACGAUGUGGUCCAGGGCGAGACUUUUCUCCCCGGACAGAUCUUCAUAUUUGGCGGCUUUGCACUGUGGGCCAAUGCGCUUGGCCAUCUGGAGCAGAUUGAAAUCUACGCCCCUGGCCAUCAGGUCAGAUUUGGAAGUUUGAACUAUACGGCUGACGUCCGUGGAGACCUGAUCUUCGACGGGUACGAGCCACAGCCAAGCGCGCCGCACUAUCACGAUGGGCAUGAUCUAGCUCUACCGCCAGAGAAUGCCCUGGAGGCCGCACAAGUGUCCGCUCCGACCCUUAGCUCGGAGCCGACUGCGCCGAUCGAGGACGGGUGGCUGGACACCGCCUCGGGGGCUGCUAUCUCUAUGGCGAUUGAGCCGAACACCAACCCUGUCCUUUGCGAAGCUCGUGACUCCAAGGUGCCGGACUACUCUCCAGACUCCGAACCUUCCGCACCCCUGCCAAUCGAAUCCGAUUGGGCGCCGAUCAUGGAGUUCACCACCGCGGACAUCUUUCAGCACUCGCCCUUUGGCGACAUCCUGAAUUCACUAAAGUCUCUCUCUUUAUCAGGAGAGCCCUGGCCGGAUUAUGGUCAGCAAGGUUGGGAUGCGGACGACAAAGAAAUUCAAAGCCCACCCACCACCCACUUCGUAGCCACUGUCAAAAGUUUAAAUGAUGGGCUCGAUUUCGACUCCGAAGACAUCGACGGUAUGGACGAUGAUGUAGGAGAUAAGCAUGAACCAGCACCUAUAAGGCACUGAACAGACACCUCAUCUCACGAUGUAUACAUGGUGGACACACCUAAAGGAAGCGACAACGAGGAACAACGGGACGCCACGAGGGAUCAUUCCCUCGAAAAGCAAUCAAAACGGCAACAUAAGCGCCGCUCAAAAUCCCGCCUCGACAAAGAGAGCAGCCAUACAGAUCCAGCCAUAGAGCAGGGUGAACCAGUGGACAACGAACAUGCCAUUGAGCAACCGUCUGAACAGGACAACCUGGAUAAACAAUCCGUCCCCGACGAAGAUAACAGUCUGGACGAUCUCACGCCGGACAAGUUGCUGGAGAAGAAGAACCUCCACAAAAGGCUCGUCGCCACUACGCGUAGCCUGAAAAAGCAGAAGCGGAAGUUCCAAACAGCGGAAGAUGCACUCAGAAUCAGAUGGAGCAAAGUACUCAACACCACAGACAAAUAUGGUGAUAGUCGCCGAACAACCGAAGCGAAAACUACUGCCCGAAUUUGAUGAGGAGGCCGUAGAGCCCCCGCAAUCAAAGAACAAGGAGACCACCCGGUCGGAUAAACGACCCCAUGGCAAACAUAGAGCGGCAAACGGCGCCGCACACAAGCUAGCACACGAUCCGCACAUGGAUUCGCAUCAAAAAGAUGGCCCAGUUAGAUCUAUCUACGGGCCAAGAAAGCAAGAUCUACAAUGCAACACAUCAAGUAUCCGAAUAUUACGGUACACCUAAAUAUAGGGGUGCCACACACCCCCUAUGUUUCACCGAUGAGGUUCUGGAUUAUGAAUUUCCAGCGGGAUUCAAGCCCAUAAACAUAGAGGCAUACGACAGAACAACAGACCCUGGAGUCUGGAUUGAGGAUUACAUCCUCCACAUACACAUGGCUAGAGGAGAUCACCUCCACUCCAUAAAAUACUUACCCCUCAAGCUCAAAGGGCUAGCCUGACAUUGGCUCAAAAGCCUCCUCGAAAACACCAUUGGAAGUUGGGAAGAGCUCGAGGAUGCUUUUCGGGCAAAUUUUCAAGGGACCUAUGUCCGACCUCCGGAUGCAGACGAUUUAAGUCACAUAACUCAACAACCCGGAGAGUCAGCCCGAAAAUUCUGGAACAUAUUCCUUACUAAAAAGAACCAAAUAGUCGACUGUCCGGACGCUGAAGCCUUAGCAGCUUUCAAACACAACGUCCAAGACGAAUGGCUCACCAGACACCUCGGCCAAGAAAAGCCAAGAACAAUGGCCGCAUUAACAAGCCUCAUGACCCACUUUUGCGCGGGAGAGGAUAGCUGGCUGGCAAGAUGCAGUACCAGCAACCCAAGUACAUCCGAAGUCAGGGAUGGAAACGGGAAACCGCGACGCAGCAAGGACCAGCGCCAGACCAAGGGAAACAACCCGAAGAGCACGACAGUCAACGCCGGAUUCAAAAGCUCUCGGCAGAAUCAUAAAAAGCUGCCCCUUAAGGAUAACAGGGACGAGCUAUCUAACUUUAACAAAAUCUUGGACAAGAUAUGCCAAAUCCACAGUACUCCCAGGAAGCCUGCAAACCAUACCCACAGAGAUUGUUGGGUCUUCAAGUAGUCCGACAAACUCAACGCCGAACACAAGGGGCUUGACACACCAAGCGAGGACGAUGACGAACCCCACAAGUAGAGCACCGGAAAACAAAAGAAUUUCCCAUAAGAAGUCAAAACAGUAAACUCACUUCACGUGACAAAAGGGAAAAAUAGAGCGGCGCCCAUAGAGGUACGUGCCACACGGCCUAUCCCAGAGGAGUCACCUUCGACCAUCAGGAUUACUCUAGAAGUAUCCGGAAUGCAGGAUGGACUGCCUUGAUAUUAGAUCUGAUAAUUGACGGACUCCACUUUACACAAGUCCUAAUGGACGGCGGCAGUGAUCUAAACCUGCUAUACCAGGACACAAUCCGCAAAAUGGGGAUAGACCCAACCAAAAUUUGCCAUAGCAACACUUCCUUUCAAGGGGUUAAUGCCAGGCCCAUAUGCCCAUUGUACGGGCUCUCUACUGCUAGAAGUUGUGUUCGGCUCACCCGACAACUUCCGCCGUGAAAAGUUAACCUUCCACCUCGCCCCGUUCACAAGUAGCUACCAAGCACUACUAGGACGCGAAGCUUUCACCCGCUUCAACGCAAUACCGCAUUAUGCAUCCCUUACACUUAAAAUGCCCGGUCCGCGAGGCAUCAUCUCCUUAAAGGGAAAUAUCGAGUGUUCCUCGAGCACGGAAGAUGGUGUGACUGCCUUGACAACCACACACUAAGCCGACUUCACCAAUCAAAGCACCUAAACAGGUCAUUCAGACCAGGGGUCACGGCUAGACGAGUCCGGCGUAAACAUACAAGGGCUUACUAGCCGCAUACCCUUGUACAAGGGGCUCCACGCAUGUACAACAAGCGACAAUAAAGCUCAAUUUUAUCCAUUUUUUGCAUUGUACUUUGUUUAUUUAGUAUAAACGUACAUUUUCGCACGAUCUUUUUCAACUAAGUUUCCCUCUUUUACAGAUGAACACUGUGCUACACCCGUCUAGGAUAUGGCACAACGGAGACACAGGCGCAAACUUGCAGUAGGGACCCGUGACAAGGAUUCUUUUCAGAUUAAGACCCUGCGUAAACCUUUUUUACUUUCUCUUGUUGAUACACAUCCCCUGGUUUCUUGCCAUAACAGAGGAGGAGGCUGGCGUUUUGGCAUGGGCCACGUCAGAAUUUUGCGCGUACCUGGACACCAGGGGCUUAUUACCAAGGGCGUUGUUCGGCCCGUUUUCAUAAAGACCGAAUAUCUUAGGGAGUGUUCGGCGUCUCGAGUUAGGCCUUAUAUGCAUCAGCUCCGAAUCAUGUCUUUGGUCAAAUGUUGGGUUUGCCCGGCUCCUGUGUUUUGUUGCCUUACGUUCCGCUCUAUCGGCUAAGGCGGCACCAGGAGAACUACUACGAUUGUGCCCCGGUUCGACCAGGCGAGCACCUUAGUAGAGAAAGCCGAAAACUGACUGUCAUGAUAUAGCGUGAGACUGGUCAACCAUUCGAUGACUCGCCGGAAUCUAUAGGAUUCCUCCGCAUUGACGAAGGGCCGUUUCCCGGUCAGGCACAUACGCGCCCCGAAUUCGGGUGAGCGCGAUGCCCCUAGGGGCUAUAUAGUAGCCCCACUGUCAAACUCCUAUGGCUAAGUGAAAGUGAUAAAGCAUUAUAGUCCGGUUGCCUAGUUUGCUGCGCUACCACCUCCUUUAUAGGACCAAGAUGUUGGAUCAAGUGUGAAAAUGUGCCUUUUGCAAACACCCCCGCAUUAUAUGCAUGGGGGCUGAAGUCGAAGACUGCCAUCUUUCAGGUUAUAUAUAUAUACAUUAGCGGCCGCACAAGAGGUAUUUUAAUUCUUGAAAGGCACAAGUAUAAAAAGAUUUUAUAUUCCAUCGAUACAUUGUUUCACAAUAAUACAUGUUAUUCGAACAUAAUAUCCUUCGAGCACUGCGUCUCUAUUAAACGAGCGCCCUGCAGAACUUCCUGAAAAUAGUGCUCGACAGGUACUCGGCUUCCGUCCGAAUCUUGGGAUGCGACAUCGGUGGCCUUCAUCUCCGCCCAGUAUGUCUUGACACGGGCAAGAGCCAUCCGCACACCCUCUAUGCAUGACGACCUCCUCAUUGCAUUUACAUGCGGCACUGCACCAAGGAACUGCUGCACCAAGCCAAAAUAACUCUUCGGCUCGGGCCUUUUCGGCCACAAAAGACUCACGACAUCCUUCAUGGCAAGUCCGGAUAACCUAUUCAGCUCCGCCCAUUCGGCCAAGCGAUUUGUUAAUGGAAGUGGGCGCUCUAGAUUAUGGAACUGCGACCAAAAAACCUUUUCCAUUUCGUGAUCCUUUUGAUCUCGGAAGUGUUCGGCCACAUCCGCGGCACUUGCCGCCAAGUCCAGAUAAGCAUCCUCCGCACUCCACAGCCGGUCCAACUGAGCAUAUUUAGGAUCCACGAAUUUCCUCCGCAGCAGAAAGGGCUUUCCAGCCGCGAUAUCUCCGGCCUGACACAGCUCCUCCUUCAUAGCUCUCAUCGCAGAGCGAGCAUCCUUGGCCUCGGUAGUGGCCUUCUUCAGGUCCUCUUGCACCGCUCGAUCUUCUUUUUCAAGAAGCUUGCAGCGGUCGGCAGCAUUCUUCAACUUCACGGCCAUCUCGGCCAUUUCCUUCUUGCUUCGGCAGUGAGCAGCCUGUUCGGCUUUUAGCUCUUCGGGCGCCUUUAUGGCAGUCGCAUCACUCUUUCUGGCCUGGUCCUUGGCUCGGGUGAGCUCCGCCCGAAGGUUCUCCAUGGAAGCGGCACCAUCUGCAUCAAGCAUACAUGUUGUAAGGCACGGGCAUCAAGCUCCCUUACCAGGUGUCCGCAGAGAAAUUGCAUACCUUGUAACUCGUCAAGUCGCUUAUUGACAAGCGCGAUGUCGGCAUCCGCCACGUCAAGUUGCCGCUUUAGUUCGGCAAAUUCAUCAGUCCGGCUAGCCACCGGACCCUUCGCCACCUACAUAGGAAGGGCGACACAAUAUACCUAGGAUAAUGCUCCUCGGUGCGCUGUCAUUUUUGACAACAUACCGAGCCUCAGGGGCUACUAUCUACACAGGGUGCAUUUUAUAUGCGGAGCUGUCAGAAGGUACAUCAUUUUUGCAUACCUCAAAACCUGUCAGUAAACUUCUGACGGCUUCGUGCAAUCCGCUCUCAGCGGAUGAAAUCCUUUCAAUCACCGUACCCAUUAACGCACGGUGAUCUUCUGAGAUAGACGCUCACCCGAGCAAAUCCUUCAGCUCCUCCGACCGUACACCAGGUGGUGCCGGACUCGUCCGGUGGCCUUUUUCGAAGGCCGGACGCGAAGGGCUUUGAGGGGACAUACGACUGCCUUCCGGCCCCGCUGGACUCAGAGAAACCCUCCGCGACGACACCUCAGGGUCGCCCGCCUCGCAAGACGGUACGACAGGGGGAGGCGUUUCGCUCUCCAUCAUCUCCGGACGAAGAUCCCCCGAAGAUGAGCUCUGCUGAGAAGGGCUGAGAUCCGAACUACAAGGUAAAAUUUCGGUUAUCUUCAUCAGAAAUAGGGCAGGGAUAUCCUUUAUUUUUUUAAAACUCCCCUUUUUUACUUACGGCUCGGUGGAGGGCUGAUCCCCUUGGGGGCACAAUGCGGCCGAGGCAUCUCUCGACGUAGGACCCUCUGACGAAGAUUUCUUCUCCCGCUUUGAGACCAUGGUCUCCAGGUCUUCAGAGGCGGUCCUCUUCUUCCCUUGGAUGGAGGGAUUCUUGAUCCCUCCUUUCCUGACAGCCUCCUUCGCGGAGGCAGUAGCUUCCUUGUUCCCCCCUUCACCUUCUUCCGAAGGCACAACCUCCAGCAUCCUGGUUAACACGGGAUCCGACGUGGUCUCAGGGAGAGGGGCCGGACACCUGAUUAACUUUGCUUUCGCUAUCCACUUCUGUUCAAGGAAUAGCUCUUUUAAAGGGCAAGUUCGUGAUAAAUAUGGGAUAGCGUGUCCGGGUAUAGGGCUACUUACUUGAGUAUCCGGGCGAUUGCAGCUCAGACCUGCGUCCUCGGUUGAGUCCGGACACAUCGCUUGUGAUCCGAAGAAAAGCUUGUACAUCCCCAUGGGCGUCGCGCCAAUAAAAUAUUGGAGAGCUCGUGGUCCCUCCGGGUUAAAUUCCCACAGGCGGAGGGGGCAAAGUUUGCAGGGUUGGAUGCGACGAAUCAGCAUGACCUACGCUACUACGACCAGAGUGAUCUCUCUCUCUAGGAGGUCUUGAAUGCGGCCCUGCAACAAGGGCACAUCCUUGGACGGCCCCCAGUCAAGUCCUUUAUUGACCCAUGACGACAGCCACAGUGGAGGACCCGAGCGAAAGGCACGUGGCGCCACCCAUUUGGUGCCCCUGGGAGCUGUGAUAUAAAACCACUCUUGUUGCCAUAGGCUGAGCUCCUCUUGAAAAGAGCCCUCGGGCCAUGGAGCAUCAGCAUUCUUGCUUCUAACAGCCCCUCCGCACUCUGCCUGCUGCCCCUUGAUCAUCUUCGGCUCCACUUUGAAGGUCUUGAGCCAUAAUCCUUAGUGAGGGGUAAUGCGGAGGAAGGCUUCGCAUACGACGAUGAACGAUGAGAUGUGGAGGAUGGACUCCGGAUCCAAGUCAUGAAAUUCCAACCCAUAGUAAAACAUGAGCCCCCUCACAAAGGGGUCCGUCGGGAAGCCUAGCCCCCGAAGAAAGUAAGACGCGAACACCACGCUUUCACCAAGCUUGGGAGUGGGAAUAACCUGCCCUUGGGCAGGCAGCCUAUGCAAAAUUUUGCCGGUUAGAUACCUGGCAUCUCUUAGCUUUAACACGUCUUCUUCCGUAACGGAGGAAGGCAUCCACCGGCCAUGCAAGUCGGAGCCGGACAUCAUCAAAGGUCCGAAGCGCCUGAAUCUGGAGCUUUGGGUGUUGGAACUCGAGGCGAGGGCCGGAUUCGAUUGAGAUUGAAAGAAAGGAGUGGAGCCUUGGUCUCUUUAUAAAGAGGUUGAAUACCAAGAGCCUUCCCCGUGACCGUUCUGGACUCGCCUUCGAUAGAGGAGACGUGCCAACGGGCACGACUGGGUUACCCACGCCCGUAUUAAUGAGAAUCCCGGAAUAAGGGGACACGAUCUCUGCUUUGACAAGACGUGCCAAGGAAACCGCCUCGCUAAACGCGCUGAGGUGGGAUAGUAAAAUGAUUCGAAUAAAGGCUUGGUCGUGGUGUGAUGUCACGCCACGAAAUAUGUCAGCAGAUUGAAUUUGUGUAAAUAUUAUUCUCUCUAUGGUGGUAUGUGGAACUUAUUUUGCAGAGCCGGACACUAUCCUUGUGUUCAAAAUCUUCUAUGAAGUAAUCGUAGGAGGAACCCGCCUUGCAAUGUCGAAGACAAUAUGCGCGCCGGACUCAUCGUCAUUGAAGCCUGGUUUAGGGGCUACUAAGGGAGUCCUGGAUUAGGGGGUGUCCGGAUGGUCGAACUAUGACCUUUGGCCGGACUCCUGGACUAUGAAGAUACAAGAUUGAAGACUUUGUCCCAUGUCCGGAUGGGUCUUUCCUUGGCGUGGAAGGCAAGCUUGGCGACACGGAUAUGUAGAUCUCCUACCAUUGUAACCGACUUUGUGUAACCCUAACCCUGUUCGGUGCCUAUAUAAACCGGAGGGUUUUAGUCCGUAGGACGAACAACAAUCAUACCAUAGGCUAGCUUCUAGGGUUUAGCCUCUCUGAUCUCGUGGUACAUCUACUCUUGUACUACCCAUAUCAUCAAUAUUAAUCCAGAAGGAGUAGGGUUUUACCUCCAUCGAGAGGGCCCGAAUCUUGGUAAAAACAUCGUGUCCCUUGUCUCAUGUUACCAUCCGCCUAGACGCACAGUUCGGGACCCCCUACCUGAGAUCCGCCGGUUUUGACACCGACAGUAGGCUCGUAAAAGCUUCAUUCAACCCGCUUUUUGCGGAUGAUAUCCUCUCAACCACUGUACCCAUUAAGGUACAAUGUGCCUCUGAGAUAGCCGCUUGCUGCAGAAGACCCGUCAAUGUGUCCGGUUGUAUAUCGGACAGUUCUGGCUUUUUCUGUUGGUCUCUCUAGGAGCCGAAAACCCCUGACUUUGGACGGCCGAAGGGUUACCUUCUGGUCUUUGUGGAUCGGGAGAGAUCCUCCGGGAUGACACCUCAGGGUCGUCCGCCUCAUGAGGCGGAGAAGUAUGAGGAGGCGUUUCGCUCUCCAUCAUCUCCGGAAGAAGAUCCCCCGAGGACGAACAUUGUGGAGGGAGGCUAUGAGCCGAACUGCAAAACAUAUGUCUCGGUCGUUAUUCUUAGGAAAAGAACGGGGUAUGCUUAUUAAGCACCUUUGUUCACUUACGGCUCGGUUAACGGCUGGCCCCCUGUGGGCGCUGUGCGGCAAUGCUGCCCUCCGGGGCAAAGCCCCCUGACGAAGGUUUCUUCCCUUGUUUGGAGACCUCUUCUUCCAAGUCUUCGGGGCGGUCCUUUUCUUUCCGUGGAGAGAGGGGGUACUAGAUUCUCCUCCUCGUUUAUCCUCCGACACUGGGGUACUAAUAUUCCUAGUUAGGAUGCGUAACGUACCUCCAGCAUGAAGUCCUCUUUUGGCUUCCCCAUUCCUCUCCUUGUCUUCCCCUGAUGGCACUUGAUAAGGUGCGCGAGCCAACAUCCUGGUUAAUACAGGAUCCGGCGAAUCUUCGGGAAGAGGGGCCGAACACCUAAUCCUCUCCGCCUUUCUUAUCCAGCCCUGACCGAGAAUGGUUUUUCAGAAUAAUGUUUUGACAAAUAUAAUGACAGCAUGUUCGGUCACGGAAUUACUUACCUGGGUAUCUGGAUGGUUGCAGUCGAGGCCCGCAUCCUCUGUUCUGAUCGGACACUUUAUUCAUGACCUGAAGAAUAAUUGAUACAUUCCUUCGAGCGUCCUGCCGAAGAAGUGUUGAAUAGUUCACGGUCCUUCUGGGUUGAACUCCCACAUACGGAGAGGUCGACAUUGGCACGGCAAGACCCGACGAACUAGCAUUACUUGAAUUACUUUGACAAGACUGAUAUCCUUAUUGAGGAGAUCCGAAUGUGGCUUUGCAAUGUCCACACGUCAUCCACCGAUCCCCAGUCCAGCCCCUUGUUGACCCAUGAUGCAAGUUGUGGCGGAGGAGCGGAGCGGAAGGCUGGGACAGCCGCCCUCUUUCUACCUUGGGGUGCUGUGAUGUAAAACCACUCCCGUUUCCAUAGGUCAGAAACUUCCGGGAAGGAACCCUUCGGCCAUAAAGCAUCGACACCUUUGCUUAUUGUAGCACCUCUGUACUCCGCGUGUUGCCUGUCGAUCAUCUUCGGCUUCACAUUGAUGGUCUUGAGCCAUAAGCCGAAGUGUGGGGUAAUGCGGAGGAAGGCCUCACACGCAACGAUGAACACUGAGAUGUGAAGGAAGGAAUCUGGAGCUAGAUCAUGAAAAUCUAGCCCAUAAUAGAACAUGAGCCCUCUAACAAAGGGAUGAAGACCGACGCCUAGCCCUCGGAGGAAGUGGGAGAUGAAUACGAAGCUCUCGUUGGGUUUGGGAGUAGGAAUGACCUGCCCUUGAGCAGGAAGCCUGUGAAGGAUUUCGGCGGUCAAAUACCUAGCCUCCCUAAGCUUCUUGAUGUCCUCCUCUGUGACGGAAGAGGUCAUCCACCAGCCUUGAAGGUUGGAUCCGGACAUGAUUGAAGGACCGCAACGCUUGGACUGAACCUUGGGUGUUGGAACUCGAGGUAUGGGAAGGGAAGGAUCAGGCAUGGAAAGAAAAGUACAGGUCUUGAACUCUUUAUAUAGAGGAAGAAUGCCAAGCAUCCUCCGUGCGGCCGUUUGGAACUUGCCUAAACCAAGGAGUCGUACUAAUGGAGCGGAUGGGUUACCCACACCCGUAUUGAUGAGAAUCCCGUGAUAAGGGGGACACGAUCUCUGCGUCGACAAGACGUGCCAAUAAAAUCGCCUCGCAAGACGUGUAGUGCCAGGUUGGGAAAAACGGUAUGAAUAAUAACCAGGCCGCGGCAUGAUGUUACGCUAGGUAAAAGUUGUCAGCAGAUUAGACUCGUGGUAUAUUGUUCUCUCUACGGUGGUACAUGGAAUUUGUUUUUGCAGAGCCGGACACGAUUCAUGUGUUCAAGAUCUACUUUGGAGUAUUCGGAGAAGGAACCCGCCUUGCAAUGUCGAAGACAAUCUGCACGCCAGACUCAUCGUCAUUGAAGCCUGGUUCAAGGGCUACUGAGGGAGUCCUGGAUUAGGGGGUCCUCGGACAGCCGGACUAUAUGCUUAUGCCGGACUGUUGGUCUAUGAAGAUACAAGAUUGAAGACUUCGUCCCGUGUCCGGGCGAGACUCUUCUUUGCGUGGAAGGCAAGCUUAGCGAUUCGGAUAUGUAGAUUCCCAUCUCUGUAACCGACUCUGUGUAACCCUAGCCCCCUCUGGUGUCUAUAUAAACCGGAGGGUUUAGUCCGUAGGACGACAACAAUCAGAAUCAUAGGCUAGCUUCUAGGGUUUAGCCUCUACGAUCUCGUGGUAGAUCAACUCUUGUAAUACUCAUAUCAUCAAGAUCAAUCAAGCAGGAAGUAGGGUAUUACCUCCAUAGAGAGGGGCCGAACCUGGGUAAACAUCGUGUCCCCCGCCUCAUGUUACCAUUAUCCUUAAACGCACAGUUCGGGACCCCCUACCCGAGAUCCGCCUGUUUUGACACCGACAGUCGGCCGCGCGCAUGGGGAUAAGGUAGGGUUAGUAGUAGCGCGGGUAGCAAAACACGCUGCAGCUAAGGAGAAUAGCAGUAGCGAUGCUCUAAGAUGAACACUACUGAUAAGUUGGACUAGCAGCAGCGCUUUGCUACUAAACGCGCUACUGCUAAGUUGUCUGUCAAUGCAAAAUACAUUGGCCAUCAAUGAUCUUUUUGCGUACAAUCUGAAUUGUCAAUAUGAGUCAUCUCCGGUAGUAACCGGAGAAGACUCAUAUUGCAGCCAAAAAUUCUACACAUAGAGUUCAGUGAAGACCAACUGGUUGUGAUAGUUUGAGGAGUAACAUAUUUAAGAUGGUAACCACCCUGGUCGCGGAGCGAGGUGGGACUAAACUUGUGGGCUGAACUUAGCAGUAGCGAGUUUCAAAGAAGUGUGCUGCUGCUAACAUUUGUAGCAGUAGCGUGGUCCAUUAUAGGGUGCUACUGCUAUAACUAGUUGUACGGCCAGGUCAUGGCAAUUAGAGUAGUAGCGCGGUUUUGUGGGAACGCGCUACUGCUACUUUUCUUUCAGCAGCGCGUUUUCCUGGAGCACGCUGCUGCUAAAUAGUAGCAGCGUUGUAUUUUGAAGAUCGCCGCUGGUAAAAUUCUGUGUAUAAGGUUUUCCCUAGUAGUGUCUAUUGCCGUUGGCUUCCCGGGAUGCACCACGGCUGGUUCCAGUGUCCUCACCAACUGGUUCCAGCAAAAACCAUGGCCGCAUGUAGCAUCACAGUGUCCCGUUGUAGCUUCUCUCUUCGGCGAGCAUAGCUUUCUUCCGUUGUUUUUCUUCAAAGAUGGCACAUUUAUGAUUUUGUCUUAGGAGCUAUAAGGGGCAUUUACUUUUAUGUCAUCGUAUUAGAGAAAAGGGCUAAGAGAUGAGUAACAAAAGGUUAAUAUUUAGUAUAAAUAUUCUUUUCAUUUAGCUUUGAAUUGUCAUUUACGUCGCAAAUGUUAUAACCUCUCCAGGCCGGAACUUGUGAGCCUGCUUCAAAUUGUUCUCAUAUGAGAGUUUUCAUCUAUAUUAUUUAAGGUUUACUUAGUGGAAGUGUUUGGACGUAAGUACCAGGUUGAAGCCAAUGUGCCCAAGGUAUAGUUUCCCACUCAGGACCGCAGAGAUUACCCCUUGAUAUUUGGGCGCACUGCAAAAUGGUGUGGUUUUAUUGUAUGAAAUGGAACAUGGAACUCAUACUAAAAAAACAAGAUUAUCACGAGGAGAAAUGGUGGUGAUAAAAAAUUCUCCCUCCGAUUCAUAAUAAAUGUCGUGGUUUAGCUCAAAUGUAUAGUGUACAUAUAUGACAACUAAUUAUUACUGGAAUUACCUUUCACUACCAAAAACUAGGACCAACUAUAAAUCCUCUUAGCCAAAUAUGAUUUUAGCUAUAUGACAACCGCGAGGCGCCCUUACCGUGAAGACUAUGCAACUUUUGAAUUUGGUCAACGCAACAUAUUAUCAAUAGUGAAUUUACGUGAAUUUUGACAGUGGCAUACAUCUAAAUUAUUAUUCUAGAAGAAACUUAAUUAGUUAUAUAUAAUUAUUUGAUGUAUCGAUGUAGUAUAUGCGCACACCAACACGUUCAGAAUGUUUAACUAGAGAAUAUGUUGGAUUAAUUUAUGUUUAGUACGUACGUUUCCCUCAAAAAAAAUAUGUUAGUACGCUCGUGCAGGCAGCCGGAUCGAUCGAGGACAAGGUUACUGAUGGCUAAUGAUGAUUUCCUAACUAAUUGUUUGGACAUGGUCUACUG
RNAcentral lists this long non-coding RNA (127395 nucleotides) under Triticum aestivum (bread wheat). Its description in RNAcentral is "long non-coding RNA (TAES_LNC008631)". The stretch from base 900 to 1034 matches the Rfam family "MIR1120/MIR1122 microRNA precursor family". The record is from RNAcentral. Lineage: Eukaryota; Viridiplantae; Streptophyta; Magnoliopsida; Poales; Poaceae.